GUUGAUGCACAUUGUUUUUUUUGCCACCUAUUGCAUUGAUUGAAUGAAGGCUAUCAUGUAAUUUAAUUAGUUGUUUUGCAAUAUUAUGUCCAUUGAUUUAUGUUUCUCUAUGGGAUUCAUGUGUAUCCAGCUCUGAAUGAAGCACUAACGGGUGAGGUCCAGCGGCUGAAACUUGCAACCGGUGAGAUUACGGAUGCUCGUAUGUCGAAGGCGGGCCUACAGCAGCAGAUGAACUCCCAGCUGAUUCAAAUGCAGCAGCUGCAAAUACAGCAGCAGCAACAGCAGCAGUCAUCACAGACGCAGCAGGCUCAGCAACAACACCAGCAGCAGCAGCAGUCGCAGCAAUCAGCAUAGACCAAGUUACAAAGAACCUGGAUCUCUGUAGCAGAGGAGAAACGCGAAUCUAGACAAGCAUGAUGAGUUGAAGGAUGGUGAUCGUAUGUGCUAUGUGCGAGCGGAGAGAAAAUAAUAUCUUUUGAUUAUAUCAGACAGGUUGUAGGAUUGAUAGCAGUGGUUGGGCAACGGAUGCUGCCCGAGUUCUUUUGUUUAAGGUGGUCAGCGUGGAGCAUGGUCGUCGUCGUACCGUAUUGUCUGUCGUAUAUUCGUGCUGUACAUGAGUACCUUCCUGGUGAGUCACUGUGGUAGUCUUCUCAUUAAAGAUUCUUCCCGACGAGUUGUUUCUGCGAGUCUAUGAGAUUAUUAUAUUACAAAAUCUACAACAGUACCUGUGCCGUGAUCGUGUAAUGGAGUGAGAAAAUAUCAGGUGAUACAAGCACUUAGAUGCUACUACCAUGAUACAGGUUCCCGUGAGCCGUUCGGGCUAUGCUUGUAUUCACGUUUUGGCGUUGGUUGCUUGUGAAAGUAACCGUUGCAGAUCUGGCUCUCCAAAAAUUCGAGUGUGGCGAGCUAGGUAAGCAAUCCAUUCAAAAGAAAAAAAGUUCCAGUCCGCGAACAACGAACGUGGACAAGCUCAGCCGGCCUCAGAGCAUCUACAUUUUAUCCCUAAACGUCUAGACUAACCAGUGUAUCUCAUACCUGUCUAAAAAGGUGAUUCGAUCGGACUCCCAUUUUGUAAGCACAAAAUCAGGGGAAUUCCAUCGAUCUAUGCAUUUUCUCUCACUUAACAGCAAUUUCUCAAGUCUGGGAUACAAAUCGGGAUAGAUCGAAGGUCAGAGACCCCGUCUUGCAGUACAAGUAGUUAGGGUUCUAAGCUAUUACAAGAAAUGGGGAAAGAUAACAUGCUUCUGGUGAUCUCGAUCGGCAAGAUAUAAAUGGGAAGGGGCCAGCGAUACAGCUGGCACUGUCGUAACGGACACGCCACAGUACUUUGCGUUUAAUUUGAGAGGAGACGCGAGGAAGCAUCCGAGCCGUCGAUCUUCUGUGAGGUUUAUCCUUUCAUCUGAACUGUUGCUUGACUGAAACUCCUAGUGUGUGUUGUUUCUUCAGUACCGUCUGGGUUCAGGCCCUGACAAUGCCGCCGCCAUGACGAUCGCCUUGUCCCCAAGGUGAAAAAGCUUGUGACCUGGAAAAGUUUUGUUCAGAAAUGCUGCGUCUUCCCAAGUUGCAUCAUCUGGCGCUAAGCUUUCCCAUUGCACCAGACACUGGCCCACUGGAGUUUUGUUCCUCUGAAUCACUCUCCUGUCGAGCACUGCCACCGGAAUAGUCUUGAUGCAACCUUCUGGAGUAACUAGUGGAACAUGAGGGAGUGGGAUUGCUUGAUGUCCAAUGUGUUUCUUGAGUUGACUUAUGUGGAAUACUGGGUGUAUGUUCGUUCCUUCAGGCAGAGCCAACUUGUACGAUACCUCUCCAAUUCUUUCAAUGAUCUUGUAUGGACCGUAGAAUUUGGACCUGAGUUUCAAUGAGCCUCUCAGUCCAAAUGCAUUUUGUCUGUAGGGUUGUAUCUUUAAAUACACAUUGUCUCCCACUUGAAAGGAUCUUUCAGUUCUGUUUUGAUCAGCAAAAUACUUGAUUCUGCUUUGGGCAUGUUCUAAAUUUGCUUUCAAUCUCUGUACCAUAUGUUCUCUUUCAGAAAUAGUAAGAGCUGCUUCCGGUGAGAGUGAAGUAUCCACUGCAAAUUCCCCAAUUUGAGGUGGUUUAUAUCCAUACAAUGCCUGAAAAGGAGUGCAUUUCAGUGAGGGGUGGUAACUUGUGUUGUACCAUAGCUCAGCUAAGGGAAGCCACUUGAUCCACUUCGUAGGUUCCUGGAACACCAUGCCUCAUAAAUAAGCUUCGAGACACUGAUUUACUCGCUCCGUUUGCCCGUCAGUUUGUGGGUGAGACGUUGUACUGAACCUGAUUUUUACUCCAAACGCUGCAAAGAGUUCUUGAUAGAGUUUGCUGGUGAAAAUUGAAUCCCUGUCUGAAACUAUGCAGAUGGGCAAUCCAUGUAACUUCACCACAUUAUCCAUGAGUGCCUCAAACACCAUCUGAACCGUAAAUGGAUGAGCUAGAGGGAUAAAAUGGGAGUACUUGGUGAACCUAUCCACUACCACUAGUAUCACUUCUUUCCCUUGUGAUUUCGGCAAAGCAGUGAUAAAAUCCAUGGUUAUGUGAGCCCAAGCCAUGUCAGGUACAUGAAGUGGUUGCAGCAGUCCCGGUGGAUGAAUGUGCUCUACUUUGCUUAAUUGGCACACAGGACAGUUGGAUACAUACUGCUCAAUAUCCUUUCUCAUGUUGGGCCAGUAGAGCACUCUUUUUAUUCUGUAAUAGGUGGCUUUAAUUCCAGAAUGGCCCCCUAAAGCAGAAGUAUGGAAUGUCUGUAGCAGAUGCUGUCUGAAUUCAGUACUGGCUCCCACAUAAAUUCUGUUGUUGUAUUUAAUGAGGCCAUUUUGAGCAGUAAAUUUGGGUGUUGGUCCUGUAUCAGCAGCUACCUUUGUUAACAGAUUGGAACUGUCCUGAUCUCCUUGGUAGCUCUUUUUAACAUCCUCAGUCCAAGUUGGAACUACCACAGUCAUGCUAUUGCAACACAGGCUGCUGGAGUUGCUUUUUCUUGACAAGGCAUCAACUACCACAUUUUCUUUUCCCUUCUUAUACUCUAUGGUAUAAUCAUACUCUAGCAGCUUAAGCAACAGUUUGUGUUGCACUCCUUCUGUCAAUCUCUGUGUGGUCAUGUAUUUGAGAGAAUGUUGAUCUGUUUUGAUGAUUAGUGAAUUUCCCCAGACAUAGUGUCUCCACUUUUUCAGAGCUUCUAGAAUAGCCAUUGCUUCUUUUUCAUAGAUGGAUUGAGCAGCUGAUUUGGGCCCUAAACUUUUACUAAGGAAGGCAAUAGGUCUCCCUCUCUGCAUGAGUACUGCUCCAAUCCCUGUGGCACAUGCACCAGCUUCAAUAGUGAAAGAUAAGGAGAAAUCUGGCAUGGCUAACACUGGGCAACUUGUCAUUUUCUGUUUCAAAAGUUGGAAUGAUUGGCUUUGUGGAGGGCCCCAGUUGAAAGCAUCUUUUUUCAGCAUGUCAUGCAGUGGUCUACAGAUUUGACCAUAGUUCUUUACAAACCUUCUAUAGUAACCAAUUAAACCCAAAAAUCCUCUUAAUUGUGUCACAUUCUCAGGUUCCUCCCAAUCCAGUACUGAUUUGAUUUUUCCUGGAUCUGUUGCUACUCCUUCUGCUGAAAUAAUGUGCCCUAAGUAUGCCACUUGGUCAGUAGCAAAAGUGCAUUUAGAUAAGUUGGCAUAUAACUGAUGUUUCCUUAAGGCUGUGAGAGUCUUUUCCACAUGCCUGAUGUGAUCUUCCAUUGACUUGCUGAAAACCAACAUAUCAUCAAAGAAAACUAGCAGAAACUUAGGUUUUUCUGUUUCAUUGACUUCUUCAGCAACUGUGUUCAUCAGACCUUGAAAUGUCCCAGGGCCACAUGAAAGACCAAAAGGAACAACUGUAUAUUCAUAGUGUCCCAUGUGAGUUCUAAAUGCUGUUUUGUGUAUAUCUUCAGGUGCCAUUCUAAUUUGAUGGUACCCUGACUUCAGAUCCAACUUUGAGAAAAUCUUUGCUCCAUGCAUCUCAUCUAGCAGAUCUUCAAUAAUGGGCAUUGGAAAUUUAUUCUUGAUAGUCACAGCAUUUAACUCUUUGUAAUCUACACAAAGUCUCCAGCCUCCAUCCUUCUUUCUGACCAUGAUAGCUGGAGAAGAAAAGGGACUGAAACUUUCUUGUAUUUCUCCUUUCUUGAUGAGUUGUUUAAUGAUCUCUUCCGCAGCAGCCUUUUGGUAAUGUGGUACUCUAUAUGGUCUUAAAUUGGGUGGUUUUGCUCCUUCCUGUAAAAUGAUCCUGUGAUCACAGUUUCUUUUUGGGGGUAGUUGUUGUGACUCUUCAAACACAUCAGCAAAUUUUUGCAGUAGAGGUUGGAGUGCUCUGGGAGGAGGAAGGACUUGUUUGUUUUGUUCUGUUUCCACUUCAUGCACUUUGAGAAUGUACCCCAUUACUCCCUUGCGUAACAAUUUUUCCAUUUUGGCUGCUUUUAUCACACACUUUUUCUUUGGGAUGGUGUAAUCAAACAAGGUCACUGGUUGUCCUUGCUUGGUCACAAUUAGAAUUCUCUCCACUAAGUCCAGACAAAUUGGACUAUACUGAUAAAUCCAAUUGGCUCCUAUGAUUAUAUCAUAAGAAGCAAGAUCUAAUACUUUGAAACUGCUGCUAAAAGUGUGACCCUGAAUUUUAAACUGAACUUCUGGAAUUUUUGAUACUGACAAUAGCUGUCCUCCCCCAGCUACAGUCACUUUUCUUGGCUGCAUUGGUUGCUGGUAACAAUUACUUUUAAUGGCAAACUCUUUGCUCAUAAAAGUGUCAAAGGAUCCACUGUCAAAUAAUGCUGUAGCUUUCAUACCAGCAAUUUCUACAAUCAAGGAGAAUGUAUUGGGUCCUGUAGUUCCUUCUGCAACAUUACCUGAAAUGUGCAUAGCUUGUGAUGUUUUUGCUGUGCUCAUAUCAGGAACUUUCUCUUUGUCUGGGGUGUUUGGAGCUGUGUGGUAAGCUUGCUCAGGGCCAUUCACAUCCUCAGUUCCUUCACUGUCAUCUUCAUCAUCUACUUCCUGUAAGAUGUGCAAAGUUUUUCCAAUUUUGCAUUUGUGUUGUCUGGACCAUGGUUCUCUACAGUACCAACAUGCUCUUGCAUCUUUAGGAAAUGGUACUGAGUAUUUUUCCUGAUUGGGCACUUGUACUUGUAGUGGAGGGCUAGAUUGUUUCACAUUGUGUGUAUAAGGUCUUGCCUUAUACCCUGUGGAAGGAAAAACUUUUCUGGCUGCUGCAGCUUUUUCAUAUACCUUGGCAUACUAGUAAGCUUCAAUAAUGCCUUGUGGUUUCUGACCACACACUUCAUGCUUAAUCUCAGCUUUCAGACCUCCAAUAAAGCAACUGAGCAAGAAAUUUUCCUGUAAACAAGGAUGAUCCCUCUUGACCAGAGCCACACAAUGUUCAAAAUCAUCUAUGUAUUGAGCAACUGAUGUGUGCUGUUGUAUACUUUUGAGGAGUUCCACUGCUUCAUGUACACUAGCUUCAGAAAAUCUAUCAGCUAUCAUCUGGCAGAACUGUUGCCAUGUGAUCAUCUGCCAAGGCACAUAGAUAUUCUUUAACCAGUUAGAUACUCUUCCUUGCAAAUGCACUGUAGCUAAGUUCACCCAUUGAUCACAAGGAGUACCAGACAUAUCAUAGAACUUUUCACAAGCAAUUAACCAUCCUAUAGGAUCUUCUCCACUGAACAAGGGAAUUUCUAAUCUAGGCCCUUUUAACACAACUUCAGCAAAAUAAGAUGGACCUCCUAGCUGAGUGGCCUGCUGAUUUCUUUGAGCAUUAUAGAGAUUUCCCACUGCUUGAUAUACUGGUGGUUGAGAACACCCAGGAUUUGACAGAUUUAUGUAUUGUCCUGUGAUAGGAUUAUAUGUAGGAGCUGGGUUGUACAGUGGAGCAGUAAUUGGAGCAAAAUAUCCACUGUUUCCUGAAAAACCCAAGGUAUGUGCCUGUACUGCUACACUGGUACUUUCUGGAGUGAGUCUGAAUUGUUGUUGUUGCCCUUGUGCUUCUGGUUGCUUGUCAGUAUGCACUUUUGUGCUUUCUGUGAACAAGCUGGUGGUGGGAAGCGAUGUUAAACCUGAGACAUUGUGUGUGGAAACACCGGCCUUGUUGUUAAACUCCUGCUGUAAAUUUCUGUUGACCUGCUGGUGUCCUGCUCCUAUUGUAUCAGCUAUAGGAACAACAAGGGGAACACUGGUCACAGAUGCUCCAGUGCACACUGGCGGUGGAGCGCUUGGAGUAACCACCUCAGUUUUCUGCUGCCCCAAAUUCAUGCUCUGCAAAAUCAGUUGCAAUCUUUUUUGAAUUUCAGCAUUCAUGUCGGUCAGCUUGGCUUCUACUUUUGGCAUCGUCACCAUCUCUGCUCGCAACUGCUUCACCUCUUGAUGAAGGCCCUGCAGUCCUUCAAUGUCCGCCCUCAGAUCCGCCACUUCCUUCUCCACCUUAUCGACUGUGAUCUGCACCUUGGACCUUGUGUCUGCCAUGGUUUGUCUUGAUCCAACACACUCGCCCUUCCUGCGACUUUGGCGCACGGAUCGCUGCAGAGACCGGAAUUUCACUACCAGGAUAUUUUCUCCCAGCAACCGUCUCGGCGUCAACGAUCUACGCCCGAAUUUCACCGCCGCCGCGUCGCCGCCACCGCAACACUCCGCCGCCGCGUCUCCACCACUGGAACACACUGCCGCCGCGAACAAGGAGGGACGGGAGGGAUUUUACGAGAGAGCCCAACCUCCUGCUCUCCGCUGCCUGAAUCGCCGCCGACCACUAUCGCCGAGGAUCAACCUAUCGCUCUGAUACCUUUGUAAGCACAAAAUCAGGGGAAUUCCAUCGAUCUAUGCAUUUUCUCUCACUUAACAGCAAUUUCUCAAGUCUAGGAUACAAAUCGGGAUAGAUCGAAGGUCAGAGACCCCGUCUUGCAGUACAAGUAGCUAGGGUUCUAAGCUAUUACAAGAAAUGGGGAAAGAUAACAUGCUUCUGGUGAUCUCGAUCGGCAAGAUAUAAAUGGGAAGGGGCCAGCAAUACAGCUGUCACUGUCGUAACGGACACGCCACAGUACUCUGCGUUUAAUUUGAGAGGAGACGCGAGGAAGCAUCUGAGCCGUCGAUCUUCUGUGAGGUUUAUCCUUUCAUCUGAACCGUUGCUUGACUGAAACUCCUAGUGUGUGUUGUUUCUUCAGUACCGUCUGGGUUCAGGCCCUGACACAUUUUAUUCCUAAACGUCUAGACUAACCGGUGUGUCUCAAACACGUCUUAAAUCUGGGAGCAAUAUGAGGCUGCCUGGGCACCCCCAGACACUCCUGCCACCUCAGCUAGCUAGCACACGGACCCACAAGCCAUCCACACUUUUCCUUUCAUCUCUCUCCUCACGCCCAUGGCCGAAGCAAAUAAAUAAAUUUACCGGUUCCGGGAGGUACCGGUUAGGAAUUGAUCGUCCAUCAAUUUCAUCUAGAUCCGUGAGACCAGUUGCGUAACAUGCAAAGCAUUUCGCACCACUAUACUGAGACUAGCCACAAUGGGUAGUAAUCUAUGUUACUACUCUAUGUUACUACCUCUAUAGUAGGGAGUAAGAUAUGUGUGGUAACAUGCAACACUUCAUUUAUUAAGCUAUAGACUCAUUUUGCCUUGAUAUGUGUGAUGUUACUCAUACUAUUAGUAACUACUCCCUCCGUUUCUAAAUACAAGUCUUUGUAGAGAUUCCACUAUGAACCACAUACAGAUGUAUAUAGAUGCAUUUUGAGUGUAGAUUCACUCAUUUUGCUCUGUAUGUAGUCCAUAGUGAAAUCUCUACAAAGACUUACAUUUAGGAACGGAGGAAGUAGCUAUGUUACCACAUGCCUCUCUUUCUUCAUUUAUUGCUUGCCACGUCAUCUUUUUUAUCUAUAUAUGUGUGAUGUUACUACCUAUGUUACUCCCAUUAUGGGUAGUCUUAGCAAUACGGGCUGACACACCUGACAUCUUUUCAGAGGAAAAGGAGUGUGAGGCUGGAUGACCGCAUGCAUGUAAUAUUCUCUCUCCCACAUAAAGACUUGGGUUUUAAUUUCAGGACCACAAUUUAAAUGACUGAUAACUUGUCAACCAUAUUUCUGUUUUUGUAAAUUUUUAUAUAUUUGAAUCCAGGACGACAAGACCUUUCAAACAAGACCAAUAUUGGAUACAUUUUGACUAGUUUGAAUUUUAUGUAUCAUAUUUCAAUUUUAGUUCAUUUUGACUAUUUCACUUAUCUCAAACGACUAAUUUCAUUCAUUUCAAUUGAAAAGCAUGUCUCAAUUUUCCGAAACGGAUUUCAAUUCAAAAACUAUUUCACUCAUUUCAAUAAACAGAUUUUACUCACUCCUAUCAAAUUAUUUCACUAAUUUGAAAAUACAUAUUUCACUCAUUUACAGAACAUAUUAGAUUCACUCAUAGAGAACUAAUUUCACUCAUAAAAAUAUGUAGGUUUUAAAACAAUAUUUCACUCGUUUCAAGAAACUAAUUAAAAUACCAUAUUUCACUUGUUUCAAAAAAAGUGAUUUCACUCAUUACAAAAGAUAGAUUUUGCUCAUCUCACUAGUUUUCAAAACACAUAACACUCACAAUAUACACAUUGAAAUAAGGAGUUUAAAAAUAUUAAUUUAAAAACAAUUUCAUUCAUUUAAAAAUAUCAUUCAAAUAAAAAUUAUUUUACUCAUUUUAGAAAGUUUAUUUCACUCAUUUGAAAUACUAAUUUCGCUCGCUCCAGUUGAAAAGACAUGCUUGAAUUAUUUCACUCAUUUUAGAAAACUGAUUUCACUCAUUUUAAAACAAAAUUUCACUAAUUUAUAAAUAGUUUGAAAUAAUCAGCUUCACAUUCCACUAGAUUCAGAAAACACAUUACACUCGUUUACACCAGUUAGAUUUUACUCAUUUUGGAAAUCACAUUUCACUAUAUUUAACGUAUUUCACACCGAAAUAAGUGUAAUAUGUAUGGAAAACAAAUUUCACUCAUCUAAAGAAAAUAAUUUCACACGGUUGAGAAAACAUACUUCACUCAGUAGAGAAAACAUAUUUCCAAAUUGAUUUCACUCAAUGAAAAAACUAAUUUCAAUUAUUUCAAAAAACAUAUUUCAUUUGUUUCAAAAACCUGAUUUCAGUCAUUUGAAAUGUUCAAAUUAGAACAUGUUUGAAAUGCAUCCAAAUUUGGUCUUAUUCUAAAGCUCUUGGCUUCAGGAAUUCAAAUAUAUAAAAUAUUUCAAAAAUAACAGUAUGGUUUAAAAGAUAGAAACGAUUGAAAAUCCUAAAGAGAAAAUAAAAGGAAAGGAUUUGUACCACGACACCACAUGCAACGUCAGGAUAGACUCUUUCUCUCACCUGACAUGGGUCCCAUCGAUCUGAUAUUGAUUUGACUUAAAGCAGAAAUACAAGAAAUUAUUUACAUCAAUACUUUGAUAUACACAUGCAUGUGGUCCCACACCUUUACACAUGGCAGCAAGGCAUUGGUGAGAGAAUCAUCGUGUCAGCGACCCAAAUACAGUUACAGUCUCAGGUGACAGGCUUGCCGCCAAAUCAGCAAGGAGAAACAACGUGGCCGAGGAAAGGCAACAUACCACCAAUCAGGGACAAGGGCGCGUCACCUCCAGGCCACCUCGGAUCAAACAGCCUAACCACAGGUACGUGGGGCCAAAGUGGGUGAGCUCUACAUAAUGGACCAGUCGCGAGGUAAUCGUCAUCCAGUGGGAUCAGGCAAUCGGCAAGGCACGGCACAACUCCUGUAUUUUCUUGCUUUCUUUCUUCCUCCCAAAGACAAAGUAUAUUCCUGUAAGCUACUUGUGAGUGCUAAGUACCAGAUUAGAGAUCCAUUGCCUAACAUCAUGGUAUUAGACAGCCACCUACCACCCUUCUCCGCCGCCGCCGCCACCUACCACCCUCGUCGCCGCUGUCGCCGCCCUGGAAACUCGCAGCCAGAAGCAAGCUCGCGAUCGCCUCAUCGCUACCAUGGACCCCGCCCUGAAGGCCUACCUCAACAAGAUGAGCGACAAAGCCGCAGCCUGCGCCAACAAGAUGCGUGAAGAGGCCGCCGCCCGCGCCAUCAAGCAAGACAGCGACAACACCGCUAUCCUCCAGGCCUUGGCGACACAAACAACGUGGAUCGACUGCCUCGUCACCUGGAAGCCGGAGCUGGAAGCGCGCUUCGCGCAAUUGGAGCUCUUGGUCGCGGCUCUACAAGCGGCGAGGCCUUCAGUGCCGCCAUCCAAUGGAUCACCACCGCCGGUGACCUCUCCUCUGGUCACGUGUGAGAUCCAAGGGCAACUAAGCCGCGGCGCGUCUCUGCACAUCGGGGAUCCCUCGUCGGUGACCCCCAAGUCACCGAUGACGCGCCUGGUCACGGGUAUGACCAUGAUCCUGUCUCAGAUCUCAUCUCCUCUGUCUUCGCAAGUGCUUGCGGCUAUGGGUCAAGCGCCGUGCAGAUCACAUUUCCCAAUUUCACAGGCGAGAACUCACUGCUGGGGAACGUAGAAUUUAAAAAUUUGCUUACGAUCACGCAAGAUAUAUCUAGGAGAAGCAUAGCAACGAGCGGGAGAGUGUGUCUACGUACCCUCGCAGACCGAAAGCGGAAGCGUUUAGUAACGCGGUUGAUGUAGUCGAACAUCUUCGCGAUCCAACCGAUCAAGUACCAAGCGCAUGACACCUCCGUGAUUUGCACACGUUCAUCUCGGUGAUGUCCCUCGUACUCUUGAUCUAGCUAAGGCCGAGGGAGAGUUUCCUCAGCACAACGCCGUGGUGACGGUGAUGAUGAAGUUACCAGCGCAGGGCUUCGCCUAAGCACUACGACGAUAUGACCGAGGUGUGUAACUGUGGAAGGGGGCACCGCACACAGCUAAAAGAUCAACUUGUGUGUCUUGGGGUGCCCCCUUGGCCAUGUAUAUAAAGGAGGGAGGAGGAGAAGGCCGGUCCAGGAGGGGCGUGCCUAUAGGGGGAGUCCAACUAGGAUUCCCAAUCCUAGUUGGAGUCCCCUUCCUUUUCCAAGAGGGGAGAGAGGGAAGGAGUAGGAGAAGGAGAAGGAAAGAUAGGGGGCGUCGCCCCCUCCCUAGUCCAAUUCGGACUUGCCAUGGGGGAGGGGGGGCGGCCACCCCUUGAGGCCCUUCUCUCCUUUCCCGUAUGGCCCAUUAAGGCCCACUACUUCCUCCGGUGAAUUCCCGUAACUCUCCGGUACUCCGAAAAAUACCCAAAUCACUCGGAACCUUCUCGAUGUCAGAAUAUAGCCUUCCAAUAUAUCGAUCUUUAUGUCUCGACCAUUUCGAGGCUCCUCAUCAUGUCCGUGAUCUAAUCCGGGACUCCAAACAACCUUUGGUACAUCAAAUCACAUAACUCAUAAUACAAAUCGUCAUCGAACGUUAAGCGUGCGGACCCUACAGGUUCGAGUACUAUGUAGACAUGACCGAGACACAUCUCCGGUCAAUAACCAUUAGGGAACCUGGAUGCUCAUAUUGGCUCCUACAUAAUCUAUGAAGAUCUUUAUCGGUCAAAUCGCAUAACAACAUGCGUUGUUCCCUUUGUCAUCGGUAGUUUACAUGCCCGAGAUUCGAUCGUUGAUAUCAUCAUACCUAGUUCAAUCUCGUUACCGGCAAGUCUCUUUACUUGUUCCAUAAUGCAUCAUCCCGCAACUAACUCAUUAGUCACAUUGCGUGCAAGGUUUAUAGUGAUGUGCAUUACCGAGAGGGCCCAGACAUACCUCUCUGAUACACGGAGUGACAAAUCCUAAUCUCGAUCUAUGCCAACCCAACAAACACCUUCGGAUAUACCUGUAGAGCAUCUUUAUAAUCACCUAGUUAAGUUGUGACGUUUGAUAGCACACAAGGUGUUCCUCCGGUAUUCGGGAGUUGCAUAAUCUCAUAGUCAGAGGAACAUGUAUAAGUCAUGAAGAAAGCAAUAGCAAUAAAACUCAAUGAUCAUAAUGCUAAGCUAAUGGAUGGGUCUUGUCCGUCACAUCAUUCUUUAAUGAUGUGAUCCCAUUCAUCAAAUGACAACACAUGUCUAUGGUCAGGAAACAUAACCAUCUUUGAUUAACGAUCUAGUCAAGUAGAGGCAUACUAGGGACACUCUGUUUUGUCUAUGUAUUCACACAUGUACUAAGUUUCCGGUUAAUACAAUUCUAGUAUGAAUAAUAAACAUUUAUCAUGAUAUAAGGAAAUAUAAAUAACAACUUUAUUAUUGCCUUAGGGCAUAUUUCCUUCACCCGCAACUUUGGAAAACUCUCGCUGAGAAGUAUUUCGAGAUGUUUGCGGUUUAGGAAUCGUAUUGGGUGCCGAUGGCAAGUCUGAAUUUCUCAGGCCCGGCUGCCAUUUGGCUGCAGUCGUUGCAACAGAAGAUCAUCGGUCCUACGUGGGAAUCGUUUACAGCUCUGCUGUGUACUCGAUUCGAGCAUGAUAAGCACCAACUCCUCAUCCAUCAGUUUUAUGCUAUCCGUCAGACAGAUUCAGUUGCAGAUUUCAUUGAAUGUUUUGAGACUCUGAUAUCAUAUGAUCUCUUAUUCUGAACUGACACAUCCUUAUUUCUUUCUUACACGAUUAAUCGAGGGUCCGCAGACGGAUAUUCGUGCUCAUUCAGAGACCUCCCGAUCUCGAUAUGACGUGUUCUCUUGCCUUGCUCUAAGAGGAAGUGGUUGAUGGGGAGAACACCUUGCGCAUCGGGUACACCCACUCGCCGGUGCCACGUUUCAUGGUAACCAAUACACCGAGUCUGCCUGCGAGUUCUGCAAAACUGUCCACACCAACAUCCAAAGCAAAAGAUCACCGAGGUACAGAAGCAGCGAGGGCAGGAGCAGAGAGCAGCAAGAUAGCAGCGCUGCGUUCCUCAAACGAGCAGCAAUAUAAAUAACAACUUUGAAAAACUCCUUUCAAACACUCCUUUAUGCUUCCAGAAAAUUCUACAUCAUUUUCGAUGAACAAUAUGUCAUUCACAUAUACUUAUCAGAAAGGUUGUAGUGCUCCCACUCACUUUCUUGUAAAUACAGGCUUCACCACAAGUCUGUAUAAAACUAUAUGCUUUGAUCAACUCAUCAAAGAGUAUAUUCCAACUCCGAGAUGCUUGCACCAGUCCAUAGAUGGAUCGCUAUUGCUUGCACAUUUUGUUAGCAUCUUUAGGAUUGAUAAAACCUUCUGGUUGUAUCUGUCGGCGUUCUGGGAACGGGGGUCCGCAGACUUGCCUACCUGCGGCCUGCAGCGUGGCUCAAGCUGUGGCCUAGUACGGCCCGUCUUCAUUAACCCUAGUUCAAGACCCUCGCGAGGGGCCAAGCCUCGCGGGGCGAAUGACACAAGGCUUCCUCAGGGGCGACCUCAUCAGGCAGGCUCGUGAGGAGGCGGAGAGAUCAAGGCAAGGAGUACCUCGCGAGGUGCUCAUGACGCAAGCCAUGACGAUCAAGACCAGGCGGGCGCGAGGAGAGCGCGAGCCUACGCAGUGUCCUCGUUUCCUCUUUGGUGCAAAGGGGCAAGCGCAGGCGCGGAGUACCAAGGCAUCAAGCAAAGGUUUCCAUAUCGUUGCAACGAGACCAAGAACAGCAGAGCGGUGGGAUGGAGAUCACCGUGGAGCCCAAGACGGCGUAAUUACCAAUGUCUUUGGCAGUCGAAGACCACUUUUAGUCAGGAUAGCUUGUACUAGCUGUCCCCCUUCAAAAUGGCCGUUGUUGGCUCCCUUCCCGCUCAAUAUUUGGGAAGAGGACCAGGGCCUCUAUAUAUAGAGAUAUCCACCACAGUAGAAGGCAUCUGGAUCUCACCUAGAGCCAACAGAGACGGAGCAAUUCCUCUCCAAGCACACCACCAUAAGAACACCCCUCGCGAGGUUGUUCUUCCUCUGUACUGUUCAUCAUCAGCCCCAGAGGCAAUCCACCACACCACACACUGGAUUAGGGUAUUACACCACAACGGUGGCCCGAACCAGUAUAAACCUCAUGUCCCUUGUGUUGUUCAUCGUGCUAGCUUAGAUUCGCGGUGAGGUUUUGAGGCGUGGAUCGGUAGGGAGAAGAUCUUCAUGCGCACCCCAGAGUUUGAACCUCAAGGGUUUUGCUGGAACCCAAUAUCCGACAUUUGGGCACCAGGUAGGGGUGCGCUGGAAUCUUCUUUCCGCGGUCCCGCGUUCCAUCGCUUUGUCGCAUCCAUGGCGGACGCUCGCCGAGCUUGCGCCGAGCGUCGGGCUGCUCUUGCUGCCCGCAUCACCCAGACGGCUCCUGUCGGUGGGCCUCCUCGUCGUUCUCCGUUGCCUGCCGCCAACGCUGCCACCGGCCCGACGGGGAACGAGCAGCAAGCAUCAUCGCUACACCCCUUGGUGCGGCGGGAAGGCUGCACCGCCACUCCGUCGCUGACUCCAGCUGGUUCGUCAUCUCACGCUCGUCGCGCUCCCAGGGACGCGCAUGCUGCGUUGCUCCUGGCACGUGAGCUCCUGCACUACCGCCCCAUCGACGACCUCUACGAGGAGUGGCUCGCUUGCAUCACCGAGCUCGUCAGCGCCGCAGGGGGCUCUCCUGCGCCAUCCCUCUCACUGCCUCACCCGCCGUCCUGCAUGGGCGAUGCAGCUCAAGAGGUGCCUCCGCCACCUCCUCCCCAAGAAGGCGCCCUGGCCCCAAGGCGCGCGGCCCCUGGACAAGACCCACCGCAUCCAGUGCCCGUGCAACAAGAAAGGAGCUGCCAAGAAAUCCCUCGGCCCCAAGAAGGCGCUUGCGUGCUCCCUGCUCCAGCACAUCAAGACCACAUCCCCGCACCAGCACGUCAAAACCCCAUGCUGCCCCUGGUGGCGGCGCACGGGAAUCUCCAAGAGCAGGCCCCACGACUGCAAAGGGCUCCGAUGGCCACGGCAGGCUGCCGCGCCUUCACCACCGAGCUAUGCAGCGUCGCCUGGCCAGGCAAUUUCAAGCCGGAUCUGCCUCCUCGCUAUGACGGCACUGCCGACCCCGCGGAGUUCCUGCAGCUCUAUGAGCUGGGCAUCGAGGCGGCCAACGGAGAUGAAAAGGUCAUGGGGAAUUGGUUUCCCAUGGCGCUCAAGGAUGGUGCCCGCACCUGACUCCUGAACCUGCCUCCCAGCUCAAUGUCCUCCUGGGACAAGAUGCGCAGACGUUUCAUCGCCAACUUCCAGGGCACUCGCGACCGUCCUCCGAUCGGGGGUGACCUGCGCCACAUCAAGCAACAGCCGGGAGAGACCUUGUAGAAGUACAUCCAACACUUCAACAACGCUCACCUCAAGAUUCUCAAGGUGACCAAGGAGGCCAUCAUCUUAGUGUUCUUCGAUGGCGUCUGCGGCGUCAAGAUGAAGGAGGAGUUGUCCAUCCACCAGGAUCUGUGCACAUCUCUGGAGCUAUUCAACCUAGCGACCAAGUGCGCAAGAGCUGAGGAGGGGCGCCUCUCCCUCCUCGAGCUUCCAGCUGCCGACCCAGAAGAGAAGAAAGCCAAGGCCAAGGACGUGAAGCGCAAAGGAGCAGUCGUGCUCGCAGCAGAACCAGACACGAUGCACGGCAAGGACCAGUCGGAGUGGUCCAAGGGCAACCGAUUCUGCGCCUACCACAACCUCUGCACCCACAACACCAACGAAUGCCAGGAGCUCAGAGCCGUUCGAGAAGGACGCAUCGGUCGACGCCCUGAGCGCAACGACCGGGGCUAUGGUCGAAGAGGAGGAAGAGGUGGAGGACGAUGGGACGACCAAGGCCCUCGCCAGGAGUGGCAUGACCGCCCUCACGAGGAUCGCUGGCAGGACCAGCCUCGCGAGGGGGCUUGGAGGGAUCAGCCUCGUGAGGAUCACCCGCAGGGCAACAUAGGCCUUCCUCCUCUGCCACCACCGCCAAGAAGGAAUGAUGACCACCACCAGGACGAGGGGGCUGGGGGCUUCCAGGAGCCAUGUGCUAUCGCUUGCAUCCUGGGCGGUGCCUAGGCCCCAACCUCUCAGCGCAUCUUCAAGCAGUUUGCUCACGAGGUGAAUGCAGUCCUCCCAAAGCUCGAGGCCACGCACCCUCUCAGGUGGUCCAUGUGCGCCAUCACGUUCAGCUCAGCGGACCAGCUCAAGUGUGCGGCUAUGGCUGGCAUCCUCCCAAUGGUCUGUUCCCCAGUCAUUAGCAAUGUGCAAGUUACCAGGACUCUCAUCGAUGGCGGCGCAAGACUCAAUGUUCUGUCCGUCGAGAUGUUCAACAACCUUCAAGUGUCGUACGAUCAACUUCAGCCAACCAAGCCUUUCUCAGGGGUUACUGAUGGCUCCACUACUCUGAUAGGGCAGGUCCGCCUCCCUGUCACUUUCGGACAGUGCAAGAACUACCGUACCGAGCUCAUCAACUUCGACGUUGCCCACAGUCGCCUGCCAUACAAUGCCCAUCCUCGGGUAUCCAGCCCUGGCCAAGUUCAUGGUGGUAACUCACCAUGGUUACAACGUCCUCAAGAUGCCAGGAAGCGGCGGAAUCAUCACAGCCCCCGUGGCCAAGUUCAUGCAAAGAGAAGGAUGCGGUGUGCUCCCUCGAGCGCGCCUUCCAAGCUGCAUCAAUCGAGGACCCAGACAGCAGGAGCGAGAACCCUCCCGAAGCAGUUCCCAAGAAGAAGAAGACAUCACUCAGCUCAAGGCCUCAGGAGGUUGGCAUCUCUGGAGGCGUCGCGUCAGGAUCUGCGCUCGUGCAAGGGGGCGCCUCCCUCCGUUGCAUAGGAAGGCACGCCCGGCGCCCUCCUCGGGCAGGGCUCGGGGGCUCUCUUCUGGAGGACCUCCGACCUUGCCAAGAUCACGAGAGGCACUCGGGCACCACUUGGAGGCGUGCUUCGUGGCGCGCUUCCCUCAAGAAGGCAUGGGGAAAGGAAGGCCCGACCCUCAGGAGUUCAUCACCAAGGCCACUCAGGAGCUGCAGGAAUCAAGAGUCAUACGCGGCGAUCGCCGCCUACCUGGCGUAGCUCCCCAUCCAGGUGAGGAUGGCGGGCUGCGCGUCUGCAUCGACUACCCGGGGCUCAGCCGAGUCGCGUCUCAGGAGCGCUUUUGGCCUUCGCAUGUGGGAUGCUGCAAGGGUCCGCUGCAUAGCUACAUUCACAUGCCUUUCGGUCUGCCGAACGCGGCUGCCACUCACCAGCGUCUUCUGCGGAGCAUUCUGGCAGCUCAGGAGGCCAGGCACCACGCGGUCCUGGCGGAGAUGAAGAUGGUCCUCGAGGAACCGCCCAGACCCCCAGAGCCUCCCGAGGCUCGGGGCUCCGGUGGCUCGUGAGGAUCGGCCUCUUCACCGCGCAUCGUUAGCUACUCCAACACCCGCUCUACAAUGGUAUCAGGUGACAUCUUUCGAGUUCAUUUCAGCUGGGAGCGCCCUCAGGGCUGCAUCAUUCCCAGGUCGCGUGGGUUUCUCCCUGCGCCAUGUAUCCCUUUUGCUUAUGUCUUUAGUUUACCUUGUUGGGGGUGCCCCUCGGGAUACAUCAUCCCCAAGCCGCUCGGGCCUGACCUAGUGGCAUGUAUCCUCCCUGCUUUUAUCUAAGCUGAUUUGCCUUUCAUGCCUAACCUGCUUAUGAUUAUCAUCUCCCGCCUACCAUGGGCCUUUUUCUCCCUCACGCAAAUCGCUUGCACGUUAAAAGGGGGGCUCCUGAGCAUCACGACUCAGGAGCUCUUACUGGCUCUCCAGCCCUCACCCCUUGGCCUUGUCCACGACAUCGCGACCUGGCAUACUAGCGGCGGCUGAGCCCGCUCGAGGGCUGGGACCUGAGGACGUAGAGCAUUUGUAUCUAACCAUCCUGCAGGAACACUCAGCCGCCCAAGGCUCAAGAUCAGGCGCAACCCGCCUUGAGGUAGGGCCUCGUGAGUCCCGUGCUAGCUCACGAGUGCCCAGAUACACCUCGUCUAGCCCUACCAUGCCAGCCACGUGUCAGGGCGGGGUUGUACACGCCCAGGGGGCUCCUCCUGGAGGGGAUCUCCCCUCCCACGUACAAGUGGAAGCACCAUGCUCCGCGAUGGCUGACGACACUGCCGAGGAGCGGCUAUGCCCGUACACAUAUGGAAGCGCUAUGCUCCGCACUGGUGAUAAACAACUGAGGGCAGCCCACGGCUGUAUCAACCUCAAGGAGCCCAGUGCUCAGUGUCUGGCCUCAUCGCAACGCCUCCUCUCGGGAGCGCCACGCGAGGGGGCUGGACACGGGGGCUGCGCCCGGGUCACGCCCGAGCGCACGCCACCCAGCCAGGUCCCUCGAACUUGGUCGUCGCGCGCCCCUCCCCGAGCGGAGCCAAGGUAUGAAGAUCGUUUUAGCAUCAAGGAGGACUCCUGAGCAUCACGACUCAGGAGCCUAACUGGUCAUGUAGCCCCUCACUCCUUAGUUCCACAAGGCUAAUGGCGGUUGAGGUAUGCGCGGGGCCGGGCCCUGCCGACAUAGAACGACAGAUCUAUUCCUACACCCCUCCCUAUUUGCUGUUUGCACGUCAAGGGGGACUCCUGAGCAUCGCGACUCAAGAGCCUAACUUGUCACGUAGCCCCUCACUCCUUGGUCCCGUCCUGGUGAUCCGGUCGGUGCUAAUGGCAGCUGAGGUAUGUGUGGGGCCAAGCUCUACCAACGUAGAACACAAAGCAAAUAGGAAGGAAACCGCAAAAUCUCGCAAAUUCAGAAGCAAAUAUUACAAACCAUAAAUUGUACUCACAAUACCAGACACAAGUUUAAAUGCCUCCACGAGGCACGGUGCAUGUUGCAGGAGUUGAAACAGGAAAGAAGCCGCAAGAAGAUCACCCUUGGGCAGCGCCGUCAUUCGCCAGGAGCCCCGCCUCUGUGGUGGUGUUGCGCCUGUCAGCUCCACCUCCCGAGGCCGCGGAACCAGCAGUACCUGCCUUGGGCACAGUGGCGAAGGCGCGGAACUUCGCCAGCAGGGCUUCCGCUCGGCCCUUCAUGGCUUUAGCAGCAGCGGCGGAGCACUCGAUGUCCACAGGCUCCAGUAGCUCGUCGAGGUUGGUGCCAGGGUCACGAAGGUAGACGUGGCUGAGGACCCGCGUCAGUGCCGCAGAAGAAAGGACGCGAGCUUCAACCUCGACCAUGGGGCCGACGCCGGUCAUGACUUCCUCAAGCACUUCGACCAAGAAGGGAAGCAGCUUGGCGGGGCCGUCCUUGGCCCCGGCCAGCGGCUUCUCCAGGCCACCGUCGUAGAGCGUCUUCAGCGCCUUGCGAGAUCUCUCCUCAAGAUCUGCAAAGGCCACGCGAUCCUCGGCCAGGACCUUCGCCUUGGCAUCUAGCUCGGCCCUCUCCGCCUUCAGCUUCUGCUCCAGCGUCUUCAGUCGGCUGCGAUCAGCAGACAACUCGGUGUCGCAGUCCCUGAUGGCGGCCUCCCGAGCCUUCAUCUCUUCCUCCUUUGCCUGACGGCCGUGAGCCCCUUUGGCGAGCUUGUCGCGCAAACCCUACAGCUCGUCCUCCAGUGCCUUGCACCGGUCUUGGGCGACCAUGGCAUCCUUCAGCGCCACAUCACGGGCGGCUGCAACCUGGGUGGCGACUUGCUUCUCCUCCUCGGAAGCUGCCGCUGCCCGACUCAGCGCCACUCGGACGGAGGUGUCGGAGUGAACCCAGCCAAAGAUCAGCUCCAGGCGCCCGACCACCAGGUGGGGGUUGGUGCCCUAGAGGUCUUCUCGCAGCUGGCCUAGCCCCGCAAGGGCAUGGUCCAAGACGGCGGAGGAGUUAGAGGAGUCAGGAACCAAUGGAGCAGGGGGAGAAGGCGGCAGCGUGACCACGACUUGGGAGACUGGGAGCUCCUGGGUCUUGGCAGCCUCAGCAACAACAUCAAGCACCGGCAUCUCCAGAGUCAGCGGGGCCACGGGGGCUGGCACCCUGCCAGGGCGCUCCUCCUGGCCUCACGAGGACGACCGGGCAGGGGAGGUGCGAGCUCCACUGCCUCCCCUUCCCACAGACGAAGGCGCGGCCACAACGGAUGAGCUUGCCCCAAGUGGAGCCACCGUGUCCCCCUUCAGCUUCUUCGCCACAAGCGGCGGCCUAACCAGAUGAUGGAGGACGUCAAGCCCUGAUAGCAAAGACAAGAACAACACGGAGUUCGAGCACUUACUGGUUAAUCGCACGUAUUCUGGCGGUCUCUUGCCGAGCUUAAAGCCCUUGAGCCUCUUGGUCCGGGGCGCAGCCUUGGGAGGUCCAGAGGCAGAGGAGGGCGCACCAGAAGGGUUGGAGCUAGCUUUGAGCAGUGCAUGGGCCGGGGUAGCCCCUCGGGAGAUCAGCCCCGACCUGUCCUUCUUCGGGAUCGCGGGCGGGUCCUCUCCCCCUUCCCUGGUGUCGGCCUCGUCAUCGUCCAACAGGGUGCAGAGGAUGUUGGACCUGCACCGGGGGGAAGUCUCCCCCGUCCCCUCAGCAGUCGCCUCUGAGUCGCGCUCCUCUUCUUAUUCGUCUUCCUCUCCUCCUCCACGGGAAUCAUCGGAAGACAAUUCCACUGGCGCCGCUGUCGGUGUCAAAUCCGACAUAUCUCGUAGUAGGGGUCCUAAGCUAGGCGUCUUGGAGCGAUGGUAACACAGACACAGGAUUUUACCCAGGUUUGGGCUCUCUUAAAGAGAUAAUACCCUACAUCCUGCUUUUGAUUGUAUUCAUAUGGGGGAUAGUACAUAGUAUAGGUGUCUACCACGAGAUUGUAGUAAUGAAUAUGAGAUUGUCUAUUGACCAGCCUGGCCUUCAGUUUAUAUAAGACACCGGAGGCCUAGGGUUUAAGAGAGUCCUUGUCUUGGGCGCCAAGUCUUGUGGAGUCUUCCUUGUAUGAAGCAGGGGUUGUCCGAACUGGCCCAUGAGUAUACGGCCAUGGGGGUCCUCGACCCAAUCCAACUGACUGGGAGACGACGUGGUGAGUACCCCCUAGUCCAGGACACCGUCAGCCACCGCCUCCUGGCCCUCAGGAGGCACCUCCGACACCAGACCGCUCCUAUCAAAGGUGGGCAUGGCUUCCACCACUUGUUGCCAGUUUUCGCGAAGGAACAAGGGGACAUAAGCGCCCUCCAGGCCUUCCACGUCCUCUCCAACCAGGAGGCGGAGAGAUGCGACCAGAUCCUCAUCAGCUAGGGCCUCCGAGUUUAGGUGGAGAUCAUCGUCCGCACCUUCAAGCCUCCACAACGGGCGCGAGUGCGCCUGAAGUGGAGCCACCCGCUCCGCCAGGAACUCCCUCAGGAGCGUGGCCCUGGUCAGCUUCGCCGCCUUCAUAUUGCUCGGUCUCAAGUCAGUGUUCAUCUUCUCCAGCAUCGACUUCACCCAUCGGUCGUCAAGCUUCGCGCGAGACCAUGCCUCGUCAGCCUGGUGCUGCUCCAUGGGUAGCACCAACCGAGAGUGGGUGCAUAUGGCGUCCAUCAUGACCCACUUGCUCCGAAAGCCAUCGACCCUCUUCCCGGUCUUCGAAAUCGCGUUGGCCUUGGAGUACGUGAUGAAGCCAGCGCACGCUGAGGUAUGGCUGCCGGAGAUUCGGAGGGAGAAGAAGUGGUGCAGCAAGGCCACAGACGGCAUCACCCCAACGUGCGCCUCAUAGUAGUAGGCGAAAAUCGAUAGAAGGAGGACAGAGUUUGGAUGGAGAUGAAGGGCCUGCAGCUUGUAAUGGCGGAUGACGGCGUAGAAGAACUCGGAGAAAGGAGGCACCAGGCCGGCGAUGACGGUGCUCAUGAAGAAGGGGUAGAAGGUACUCCCCUUGGCCUCCGGCUGGGCGGAGCCGACCCGGAGCACGGUCUCCCCCAUCUCAUUGCCCUGCACUGCCAUCAUCAGGCGCGUGGCGGUGAGAUUCUUCUCCGUCAUGUUGGGGGGAUCCAGAGCCGGUGAGUACCAAGCUGGCAGGGACUCACCUACGACCUUGCGGGGUGCUAUUGCUCGCUGGAAGAGAAAGGAUGAGGCUGAUCUGGAGAUUUUGGAAGCAAGAGAGCAAGAGCAAGGAAGGGGAUCUGAAGCAAGGCGAAUGAGAGCAAUGAAGGUAAGCCUAACCCAGGCCAACCUUUUGUCAGUCGGGCAGUUGCCGAGGCAGCAUGGGGAAGCGGAGACGCCCACGUCCAAUCAACCGCCAUGCCGCGACCAAGGCCGCAGACUGUUGGGGCCCGCGGUGCUCUACACUUGCCCUUUGGCUUUGCUGCUAAGCCAAGUCCGAGCGUGCCUUAGGCCCGGGGGCUACUGUCAGCGUUCUGGGAACGGGGGUCCCCAGACUUGCCUGCCUGCGGCCUGCGGCGUGGCUCAAGCAGUGGCCUAGUACGACCCAUCUUCAUCAACCCAAGUUCAAGAUCCUCGCGAGGGGCCAAGCCUCACGGGGCAGAUGACACAAGGCUUCCUCAGGGGUGGCCUAAUCACGCAGGCUCGCAAGGAGGCAGAGAGAUCAAGGCCAGGAGUACCUCGUGAGGUGCUCAUGACGCAAGCCAUGACGAUCAAGACUAGGCGGGCGCCAGGCGGGUGCCAGCCUAUGCAGUGUCCUCGUUUCCUCUUUGGUGCAAAGGGGGCAAGCGCAGGCGCGGAGUACCAAGGCAUCAAGCAAAGGUUUCCAUAUCGGCGCAAUGAGACCAAGACCAGCAGAGCGACAGGACGGAUAUCAUCAUGGAGCCCAAGACGGCAUCAUCACCAGUGCCUUUGGCAGUCGAAGACCACCUUUAGUCAGGAUAGCUUGUACUAGCUAUCCCCCUUCAAAAUGGCCGUUGUUGGCUCCCUUCCCGCUCAAUAUUUGGGAAGAGGACCAGGGCCUCUAUAUAUAGAGAUAGCCACCACAGUAGAAGGUAUCUGGAUCUCACCUACAUCCAACAGAGACGGAGCAAUUCCUCUCCAAGCACACCACCAUAAGAACACCCAUCGCGAGGUUGUUCUUCCUUUGUACUGUUCAUCAUCAGCCCAGAGGCAAUCCACCACACCACACAUUGGAUUAGGGUAUUACACCACAACGGUGGCCCGGACCAGUAUAAACCUCGUGUCCCUUGUGUUGUUCAUCGUGCUAGCUUAGAUUCGCGGCGAGGUUUUGGGGCGUGGAUCAGUAGGGAGAAGAUCUUCGUGCGCACCCCAGAGUUCGAACCUUAAGGGUUUUGCCAGAACCCGAUAUCCGACAGUAUCAUAUACAACUUUUCUUUAAUAAAUCCAUUAAGGAAUGCAGUUUUGAUAUCCAUUUAUCGGAUUUCAUAAAAUGUGGCAAUUGCUAACAUGAUUCAGAUAGACUUUAAGCGUUGAUACGAGUGAGAAAAUCUCAUCGUAGUCAACAUCUUAAACUUGUCAAAAACCCUUUUCGACAAGGUCGAGCUUUGUAGAUAGUAACACUACUAUCAUCGUCCGUCUUCCUCUUGAAGAUCCAUUUAUUCUCAAUGGCUUGCCGAUCAAUCGGGCAAGUCCACUAAAGUCCAGACUUUGUUCUCAUACAUGGAUUCUAUCUCAGAUUUCAUGGCCUCAAGCCAUCUGUCGGAAUCUGGGCUCAUCAUUGCUUCCUCAUAGUUCAUAUGUUUAUCAUGGUCUAGUAACAUGACUUCCAGAACAGGAUUACCGUACCACUCUGGUGUGGAUUGUACUCUGGUUGGCCUACGAGGUUUGGUAGUAACUUGAUCUGAAGUUUCAUGAUCAUCAUCAUUAACUUCCUCACUAAUUGGUGUAGGAAUCACUAGAACUGAUUUCUGUCAUGACCUACUUUCCAAUUCGGGAGAAGGUACAGUAACCUCAUCAAGUUCUACUUUUCCUCCCACUCACUUCUUUCGAGAGAAACUCCUUCUCUAGAAAGGAUCCAUUCUUAGCAACAAAGAUCUUGCCUUCAGAUCUAUGAUAGAAGGUGUACCCAACAGUUUCUUUUGGGUAUCCUAUGAAGACACAUUUCUUCGAUUUGGGUUCAAGCUUAUCAGGUUGAAGCUUUUUCACAUAAGCAUCGCAGCCCCAAAUUCUAAGAAACGACAACUUGGGGUUCUUGCCAAACCACAACUCAUAUGGUGUCGUCUCAACGGAUUUAGAUGGUGCCCUAUUUAACGUGAAUGCAGAUGUCUCUAAUGCAUAACCCCAAAACGAUAGUGAUAAAUCGGUAAGAGACAUCAUAGAUUGCACCAUAUCUAAUAAAGUACGGUUAUGAUGUUCGGACACACCAUUACACUAUGGUGUUCCAGGUGGUGUGAGUUGUGAAACUAUUUCACAUUGUUCGCACAUGAGGCAUCAUAGAACGGAGUUUUAGUCAUCUUUCACAUGAGGCAUCAUAGAACGGCAUUUUAGUCAUCUUGCACACGAGGCAUGGUUCGCAAGCAUCAAGUGAUUCCAAAAGCCGAUCAGCAUGGAGUUUCUUCAUGCGCUUUACACCAAUAUGACCUAAACGAUAGUGCCACAAAUAUGUUGCACUAUCAUUAUCAACUUUGCAUCUUUUGACAUAAAUAUUAUGAAUAUGUGUAUUACUACGAUCGAGAUUCAAUAAAACAUUCACCUUGGGUGUAUGACCACAGAAGGUUUUAUUCAUGUAAACAGAAUAACAAUUAUUCUUUGACUUAAAUGAAUAAUGUGUUGCAAUAAACAUGAUCCAAUCAUAUUAUGCUCAACGCAAACACAAAAUAACAUUUAUUUUAGGUUCACCACUAAUCCCGAAGGUAAAGGGAGUGUGCGAUGGUGAUCUUAUCAACCUUGGAAUCAUUUCCAACACACAUCGCCACCUUGCUCAACUAGUCUUUGUUCAUUUUGUAACUCCUGUUUCGAGUUACUAAUCAUAGCAACUGAACCCGUAUAAAAUACCUAGGGGCUAUUAUGAACACUAGUAAAGUACACAUAAAUAACAUGUAUAUCAUAUAUACUUUUGUUCACUUUGCCAUCCUUCUUAUCCGCCAAGUAUUUGGGGCAGUUUCGCUUCUAGUGACCAUUUCCUUCGUAGUAGAAGCACUCAGUUUCAGCCUUGGGUCUAGCUUUGGGCUUCUUCAUGGGAGUGGCAACUUGCUUGCUAUUCUUCUUGAAGUGCCAUUUCUUUCCCUUGCCCUUUUACUUGAAACUAGUGGUCUUGUCAACCAUAAACAUUUGAUGCUUUUCUUGAUUUCUACCUUAGUCGAUUUCAGCAACACGAAGAGCUCGGGAAUCGUUUUCAUCAUCCCUUGCAUAUUAUAGUUCAUCACAAAGUUCCAGUAACUUGGUGAUAGUGGCUAGAGAAUUUUGUCAAUCACUAUUUUAUCUGGAAGAUUAACUCCCACUUGAGCUAUUCUCCUCCAUCUUGUAGGCAAAGUACUUGUUAGAGGUCUCAUACCUCUCGACUCGGGCAUGAGUCUGAAAUACCAAUUUUAGCUCUUGGAACAUCUUAUAUGCUCCAUGGCAUUCAAAAUGUUUUUGAAGUCCCGGUUCUAAGCCGUAAAGCAUGGCGCACUAAACUAUCAAGUAGUUAUCAUACCGAGCUUGCCAAACGAUCAUAAUGUCUACAUCUGCUCCUGCAAUAGGUCCGUCACCUAGCGGUGCAUCAAAGACAUAAUUCUUCUAUGCAGCAAUGAGGAUAAUCCUCAGAUCACGGACCUAGUCCGCAUCAUUUCUAAUAUCAUCUUUCAACAUAGUUUUUCUCUAGGAACAUAUCUAAAAUAAAUAGGGAGCUACAUCGCGAGCUAUUGAUCUACAACAUAGUUAUGCAAAUACUACCAGGACUAAGUUCAUGAUAAAUUAAAGUUCAAUUAAUGAUAUUACUUAAAAACUCCCACUUAGAUAGACAUCCCUCUAAUCAUCUAAGUGAUCACGUGAUCCAUAUCUACUAAACCAUGUCCGAUCAUCACGUGGGAUGGAGUAGUUUUCAAUGGUGAACAUCACUAUGUUGAUCAUAUCUACUAUAUGAUUCAUGCUCGACCUUUCGGUCUCAGUGUUUCGAGGCCAUAUCUGCAUAUGCUAGGCUCGUCAAGUUUAACCCGAGUAUUCUACGUGUGCAAAACUGGCUUGCACCUGUUAUAUGUGAACGUAGAGCUUAUCACACCCGAUCAUCUUGUGGUGUCUCGGCACGACGAACUGUAGCAACGAUGCAUACUCAGGGAGAACACUUAUACCUUGAAAUUUAGUGAGAGAUCAUCUUAUAAUGCUACCGCCGUACUAAGCAAAAUAAGAUGCAUAAAUGAUAAACAUCACAUGCAAUCAAAUAAGUGAUAUGAUAUGGCCAUCAUCAUCUUGUGCCUUUGAUCUCCAUCUCCAAAGCACUGUCAUGAUCACCAUUGUCACUGCCUUGACACCUUGAUCUCCAUCGAAGCAUCAUUGUCGUCUCGCCAACUAUUGCUUCUACGACUAUCGCUACCGCUUAGUGAUAAAGUAAAGCAAUUACAUGGCGAUUGCAUUUCAUACAAUAAAGCGACAACCAUAUGGCUCCUACCAAUUGCCGAUAACUGUUACAAAACAUGAUCAUCUCAUACAACAAUUUAUAUAUCAUCACGUCUUGACCAUAUCACAUCACAGCAAGCCCUGCAAAAAUAGGUUAGAUGUCCUCUACUUUGUUGUUGCAAGUUUUACGUGGCUGCUAUGGGCUUAGCAAGAACCGUUCUUACCUACGCAUCAAAACCGCAACAUUUUUUACCAAGUGUAUUGUUUUAACCUUCAACAAGCACCGGGCGUAGUGACAGUCGAUUCAACUAAAGUUGGAGAAACAGACACCCACUUGCCACCUGUGUGCGAAGCACGGCGAUAGAACCAGUCUCAUGAACGCGGUCAUGUAAUGUCGGUAUGGGCUGAUUCAUCCAGCAAUACCGCCGAAUCAAAGUAUGACAUGCUGGUAAGCAGUAUGACUAUUAUCGCCCACAACUCUUUUUGUUCUACUCGUGCAUAUAACAUCUACGCAUAGACCUGGCUCGGAUGCCACUGUUGGGGAAUGUAGUAUUUCAAAAAAUUUGCCUACGAUCAUGCAAGAUCUAUCUAGGAUAGGCAUAGCAACGAGCGGGGAGAGUGUGUCUACGUACCCUUGUAGACCGAAAGUGGAAGCAUUUAGUAAUGCGGUUGAUGUAGUCGAAUGUCUUCGUGAUCCAACCGAUCAAGUACUGAACGCACGACACCUCCGUGAUUUGCACACGUUCAGCUCGAUGACGUCCCUCAUACUCUUGAUCCAGCUAAGGCCGAGGGAGAGUUUUGUCAGCAUGAUGGUGAGGUGACGUUGAUGAUGAAGUUACCGGCACGGGACUUCGCCUAAGCACUACGAUGAUAUGACCAAGGUGUGUAACUGUGGAGGAGGGCACCGCACACGGCUAAAAGAUCAACUUGUGUGUCUUGGGGUGCCCCCUUAGCCAUGUAUAUAAAGGAGGGAGGAGGUGGAGGCCGACCUAGGAGGGGCGCGCCUAUAGGGGGAGUCCAACUAGGAUUCCUGAUCCUAGUUGGAGUCCCCUUUCUUUUCUAAGAGGGGAGAGAGGGAAGGAGUAGGAGAAGGAGAAGGAAAGAGAGGCCCCCCUCCCUAGUCCAAUUUGGACUUUCCAUGGGGGGGGGGAGGCCACCCUUGAGGCCCUUCUCUCCUUUCCCGUAUGGCCCAUUAAGGCCCACUACUUCCUCCGGUGAAUUCCUGUAACUCUCCGGUACUCUGAAAAAUACCCGAAUCACUCGGAACCUUUCCCAUGGCCGAAUAUAGCCUUCCAAUAUAUCGAUCUUUACGUCUCGACCAUUUUGAGACUCCUCGUCAUGUCCGUGAUCUCGUCCGGGACUCCUAACAACCUUUGGUACAUCAAAUCACAUAACUCAUAAUAUAAAUCGUCAUCGAACGUUAAGCGUGCGGACCCUACGGGUUCGAGUACUAUGUAGACAUGACCGAGGCACAUCUCCGGUAAAUAACCAAUAGCGGAACCUGGAUGCUCAUAUUGACUCCUACAUAUUCUACGAAGAUCUUUAUAGGUCGAACCGCAUAACAACAUACAUUAUUCCCUUUGUCAUCGGUAUGUUACUUGCCCGAGAUUUGAUCGCCGGUAUCAUCAUACCUAGUUCAAUCUCGUUAUCGGCAAGUCUAUUUACUCGUUCCGUAAUGCAUCAUCUCGCAAUUAACUCAUUACUCACAUUGCUUGCAAGGCUUAUAGUGAUGUGCAUUACCGAGAGGGCCCAGAGAUACCUCUCCGACACACGGAGUGACAAAUCCUAAUCUCGAUCUAUGCCAACCGAACAAACACCUUCGGAUACACCUGUAGAGUAUCUAUAUAAUCACCCAGUUAUGUUAUGACGUUUGAUAGCACACAAGGUGUUCCUCUGGUAUUCGGGAGUUGCAUAAUCUCAUAGUCAGAGGAACAUGUAUAAGUCAUGAAGAAAGCAAUAGCAAUAAAACUGAACAAUCAUAAUACUAAGCUAAUGGAUGGGUCUUGUACAUCACAUCAUUCUCUAAUGAUGUGAUCCCAUUCAUCAAAUGACAACACAUGUCUAUGGUCAGGAAACAUAACCAUCUUUGAUUAGCGAUCUAGUCAAGUAGAGGCAUACUAGGGACAUUCUGUUUUGUCUAUGUAUUCACACAUGUACUAAGUUUCCGGUUAAUACAAUUCUAGCAUGAAUAAUAAACAUUUAUCAUGAUAUAAGGAAAUAUAAAUAACAACUUUAUUAUUGCCUCUAGGGCAUAUUUCCUUCACCAACAGCUCUGGAAAACUCUCGCCGAGCAGUAUUUCCAGAUAUUUGUGGUUCAGGAAUUGUAUUGGGUGCCGAUGGCAAGUCUGAAUUUCUCGGGCCCGCCUGCCAUCUGGCUGCAGUCGUUGCAACACAAAAUCGUCGGUCUUGCGUGGGAAUCGUUCACAGCUCUGCUGUGUACUUGAUUCGAGCGUGAUAAGCACCAACUCCUCAUCCGUCUGUUUUACGCUAUCCGUCAGACAGAUUCAGUUGCAGAUUUCAUGGAAUGUUUGAAACUCUGAUGAAUCAUAUAAUCUCUUACUCUGAACUGACACAUCCUUAUUUCUUUCUUACACGAUUAAUCGAGGGACCUGCAGACGAAUAUUUGUGCAGUGGUGCUCAUUCAGAGACCUCCCGAUCUCGAUAUGACGUGUUCUCUUGCCUUGCUCUAAGAGGAAGUGGCUGAUGGGGAGAACACCUUGUGCACCGGGUACAGCUGCUUGCUGGUGCCACUUUCAUGGUAACCAAUACACCGAGUCUACCUGCGAGUUCUGCAAAACUGUCCACACCAACAUCCAAAGCAGAAGAUAACCGAGGUACAGAAGCAACGAGUGUUGGGGAACAUAGUAAUUUCAAAAAAAAAAUCCUAGGCACACGCAAGAUCAUGGUGAUGCAUAGCAACGAGAGGGGAGAGUGUUGUCCACGUACCCUCGUAGACUGAAAGUGGAAGCAUUAUGACAACGCGGUUGAUGUAGUCGUACGUCUUCGGAAUCAACCGAUCCUAGUACCGUACGUACGGCACCUUCGCGAUCUGCACACGUUUAGCUCGGUGACGUCCCAUGAACUCAUGAUCCAGUAGAGCUUCAAGGGAGAGUUCCGUCAGCACGACGACGUGAUGAAGGUGAUGAUGAAACUACCGAUGCAGGGCUUCGCCUAAGCACCGCUAUGAUAUGACCAAGGUGGAUUAUGGUGGAGGGGGGCACUGCACACGGCUAAAAGAUCAAUGGUCAACUUAUGUGUCUAUGGGGUGCCCCCUCCCCAUAUAUAAAGGAGUCGAGGAGGGGGGGGGGAGGCCGGCCUCCUAGGCACGCCUCAAGGGUUGUCCUACUCCCACCGGGAGUAGGAUUCCACCCCUUCCAAGAGUAGGAAUAGGAGGGAAGGAAGGAGGAGAGAGGGGGAAGGAAAAAGGGGGGCGCCGCCCCCCUUCCUUGUCCAAUUCGGACUAGAGGGGGAGGGGGCGCGCGGCCUGCCCUGGCCGCCCCUUUAUCUCUCCACCAAGGCCCAUGAGGCCCAUUACACUCCUCGGGGGGUUCCGCUAACCCCCCGGUACUCCGGUAUUCGUUCGAACUCACUCAGAACCUUUCCGAAGUCCAAACAUAGUCAUCCAAUAUAUCAAUCUUUAUUUCUCGACCAUUUCGAGACUCCCUGUCAUGUCCGUGAUCAUAUCCGGGACUCUGAACUACCUUUAGUACAUCAAAACACAUAAACUCAUAUUAUCGAUCGUCACCGAAUGUUAAGCGCGCAGACCCUAUGGGUUCGAGAACUAUGCAGACAUGACCGAGACACGUCUCCGGUCGAUAACCAAUAGCAAAACCUGGAUGCUCAUAUUGGUUCCUACAUAUUCUACAAAGAUCUUUAUCGGUCAAACGCAUAACAACAUACGUUGUUACCUUUGUCAUCGGUAUGUUACUUGCCCGAGAUUUGAUCAUCGGUAUCUCAAUACCUAGUUAAAUAUCAUCAGCGGCAAGUCUCUUUACUCGUUCCGUAAUGCAUCAUCCCGCGACUAAGUCAUUACUUACAUUGCUUGCAAGGAUUAUAGUGAUGUGCAUUACCGAGAGGGCCCAGAGAUACCUCUCCGACAAUCGGAGUGACAAAUCCUAAUCUCGAUCUAUGCCAACUCAACAAGUACCAUCGGAGACACCUGUAGAGCACCUUUAUAAUCACCCAGUUAUGUUGUGACGUUUGGUAGCACACAAAGUGUUCCUCCGGUAUUCGGGAGUUGCAUAAUCUCAUUGUCAUAGGAACAUGUAUAAGGCAUGAAGAAAGCAGUAGCAAUAUACUAAACGAUCAAAUGCUAAGCUAACGGAAUGGGUCAAGUCAAUCACAUCAUUCUCUAAUGAUGUGAUCUCGUUAAUCAAAUGACAACUCAUGUCUAUGGUUAGGAAACUUAACCAUCUUUGAUUCAACGAGCUAUCAAGUAGAGGCAUACUUGUGACACUCUAUUUGUCUAUGUAUUCACACAUGUACUAAGUUUCCGGUUAAUACAAUUCUAGAAUGAAUAAUAAACAUUUAUCAUGAUAUAAGGAAAUAUAAAUAACAACUUUAUUAUUGCCUCUAGGGCAUAUUUCCUUCAGUCUCCCACUUGCACUAGAGUUAAUAAUCUAGAUUACACAGUAAUGAUUCUAACACACAUGGAGUCUUGGUGUUGAUCAUGUUUUGCUCGUGAGAGAGGCUUAGUCAACGGGUCUGCAACAUUUAGAUCCGUAUGUAUCUUGCAAAUCUCUAUAUCUCCUUCCUUGACUUGAUCGCGAAUGGAAUUGAAGCGUCUCUUGAUGUGCUUGGUUCUCUUGUGAAAUCUGGAUUCCUUUGCCAAGGCAAUUGCAUCAGUAUUGUCACAAAAGAUUUUCAUUGGACCUGAUGCACUAGGUAUGACACCUAGAUCGGAUAUGAACUCCUUCAUCCAGACUCCUUCAUUUUCUACUUCCGAAGCAGCUAUGUACUCCGCUUCGCACGUAGAUCCCGCCAUGACGCUUUGCUUAGAAUUGCACCAACUGACAGCUCCACCGUUCAAUAUAAACACGUAUCCGGUUUGUGACUUAGAGUCAUUCGGGUCAGUGUCAAAGCUUGCAUCGACGUAACCAUUUACGAUGAGCUCUUUGUCACCUCCAUAAACGAGAAACACAUCCUUAGUCCUUUUCAGGUAUUUCAGGAUGUUCUUGACCGCUGUGCAGUGAUCCACUCCUGGAUUACUUUGGUACCUCCGUGCUAAACUAAUAGCAAGGCACACAUCAGGUCUGGUACACAUCAUUGCAUACAUGAUAGAGCCUAUGGCUGAAGCAUAGGGAACACCUUUCAUUUUCUCUCUAUCUUCUGCAGUGGUCGGGCAUUGAGUCUGACUCAACUUCACACCUUGUAACACAGCCAAGAACCCUUUCUUUGCUUGAUCCAUUUUGAACUUCUUCAAAACUUUAUCAAGGUAUGUGCUUUGUGAAAGUCCAAUUAAGCGUCUUGAUCUAUCUCUAUGGAUCUUGAUGCCCAAUAUACAAGCAGCUUCACCGAGGUCUUUCAUUGAAAAACUCUAAUUCAAGUAUCAUUUUAUGCUAUCCAGAAAUUCUAUAUCAUUUCCAAUCAACAAUAUGUCAUCCACAUAUAAUAUUAGAAAUGCUACAGAGCUCCCACUCACUUUCUUGUAAAUACAGGCUUCUCCAAAAGUCUAUAUAAAACCAUAUGCUUUGAUCACACUAUCAAAAUGUUUAUUCCAACUCCGAGAUGCUUGCACCAGUCUAUAGAUGGAUCGCUGGAGCUUGCACAAUUUGUUAGUAUCAUUUGGAUCGAUAAAACCUUCAGGUUGCAGCAUAUACAACUCUUCUUCCAGAAAUCCAUUCAGGAAUGCAGUCUUUACAUCCAUUUGCCAAAUUUCAUAAUCAUAAAAUGCGGCAAUUGCUAACAUGAUUCGGACGGGCUUAGGCAUCGCUACGGGUGAGAAAGUCUCAUCGUAGUCAACUCCUUGAACUUGUCAAAAACCUUUCGCAACAAGUCGAGCUUUGUAGACAGUAACAUUACCGUCAGCGUUUGUCUUCUUCUUGAAGAUCCAUUUAUUCUCGAUGGCUUGCCGAUCAUUGGGCAAGUCAACCAAAGUCCACACUUUGUUCUCAUACAUGGAUCCCAUCUCUGAUUUCAUGGCCUCAAGCCAUUUCUUGGAAUAUGGGCUCAUCAUCGCUUCCUCAUAGUUCGUAGGUUCGUCAUGGUCAAGUAACAUGACCUCCAGAACAGGAUUACCGUACCACUCUGGUGCGAAUCUUACUCUGGUUAACCUACGAGGUUCGGUAGUAACUUGAUCUGAAGUUACAUGAUCAUCAUCAUUAGCUUCCUCACUAAUUGGUGUAGGAUUCACAGGAACAGAUUUCUGUGAUGAACUACUUUCCAAUAAGGGAGCAGGUACAAUUACCUCAUCAAGUUCUACUUUCCUCCCACUCACUUCUUUCGAGAGAAACUCCUUCUCUAGAAAGGAUCCAUUCUUAGCAAUGAAUGUCUUGCCUUUGGAUCUGUGAUAGAAGGUGUACCCAACAGUCGCAACGAAUGUCUUGCCUUCGGAUCUGUGAUAGAAGGUGUACCCAACAGUCUCCUUUGGGUAUCCUAUGAAGACACAUUUCUAUGAUUUGGGUUCGAGCUUAUUAGGCUGAAGCUUUUUCACAUAAGCAUCACAGCCCCAAACUUUAAGAAACGACAACUUUGGUUUCUUGCCAAACCACAGUUCAUAAGGUGUCGUCUCAACGGAUUUAGAUGGUGCCUUAUCUAACGUGAAUGCAGCCGUCUCUAAAGCAUAACCCCAAAAUGAUAGAGGUAAAUCAGUAAGAGACAUCAUAGAUCGCACCAUAUCUAGUAAAGUACGAUUAUGACGUUCAGAUACACCAUUACGCUGUGGUGUUCCGGGUGGCGUGAGUUGCGAAACUAUUCUGCAUUGUUUCAAAUGAAGACCAAACUCGUAACUCAAAUAUUCUCCUCCAUGAUCAGAUCACAGAAACUUUAUUUUCUUGUUACGAUGAUUUUUCACUUCACUCUGAAAUUCUUUGAACUUUUCAAAUGUUUCAGACUUAUGCUUCAUCAAGUAGAUAUACCCAUAUCUGCUCAAAUCAUCUGUGAAGGUGAGAAAAUAACGAUACCCGCCGCGAGCCUCAACAUUCAUCGGACCACAUACAUCAGUAUGUAUGAUUUCCAACAAAUCUAUUGCUCGCUCCUUUGUUCCGGAGAACGACAUUUUAGUCAUCUUGCCCAUGAGGCAUGGUUCGCAAGUACCAAGUGAUUCAUAAUCUAGUGAUUCCAAAAGUCAAUCAGAAUGGAGUUUCUUCAUGCUCUUUACACCAAUAUGACCUAAACGGCAGUGCCACAAAUAAGUUGCACUAUCAUUAUCACCUCUACAUCUUUUGGCUUCAAUAUUAUGAAUAUGUGUAUCACUAUUAUCGAGAUUCAAUAUAAAUAGACCAUUCUUUAAGGGUGCAUGACCAUCAAAGAUAUUACUCAUAUAAAUAGAACAACCAUUAUUCUCCGAUUUAAAUGAAUAACCAUCUCGCAUCAAACAAGAUCCAGAUAUAAUGUUCAUGCUCAACGCUGGCACCAAAUAACAAUUAUUCAGGUCUAAAACUAAUUCCGAAGGUAGAUGUAGAGGUAGCGUGCCGACACCGAUCACAUCGACUUUGGAACCAUUUCCCAUGCGCAUCAUGAAGGAAAUAUGCCCUAGAGGCAAUAAUAAAGUUAGUAUUUAUUUCCUUAUAUCAUGAUAAAUGUUUAUUAUUCAUGCUAGAAUUGUAUUAACUAGAAACAUAAUACAUGUGUGAAUACAUAGACAAACAUAGUGUCACUAGUAUGCCUCUACUUGACUAGCUUGUUGAUCAAAGAUGGUUGUGUUUCCUAGCCAUAGACAUGAGUUGUCAUUUGAUUAACGGGAUCACAUCAUUAGAAGAAUGAUGUGAUUGACUUGACCCAUUCUGUUAGCUUAGCACUUGAUCAUUUAGUAUGUUGCUAUUGCUUUCUUCAUGACUUAUACAUGUUCCUAUGACUAUGAGAUUAUGCAACUCCCGUUUACCAGAGGAACACUUUGUGUGCUACCAAACAUCACAACGUAACUGGGUGAUUAUAAAGGAGCUCUACAAGUGUCUCCGAAGGUACAUGUUGGGUUGGCAUAUUUCAAGAUUAGGAUUUGUCACUCCGAUUGUCGGAGAGGUAUCUCUGGGCCCUCUCGGUAAUGCACAUCACUAUAAGCCUUGCAAGCAAUGUGGCUAAUGAGUUAGUUGCGGGAUGAUGCAUUAUGUAAUGAGUAAAGAGACUUGCCGGUAACGAGAUUGAACUAGGUAUUGAGAUACUGACGAUCAAAUCUCGGGCAAGUAACAUACCGAUGACAAAGGGAACAACGUAUGUUGUUAUGAAGUUUGACCGAUAAAGAUCUUCAUAGAAUAUGUAGGAGCCAAUAUGAGCAUCCAAGUUCCGCUAUUGGUUAUUGACCGGAAACGUGUCUCGGUCAUGUCUACAUAGUUCUCGAACCCAUAGGGUCCGCACGCUUAAGGUUUCAAUGACAGUUAUAUUAUGAAUUUAUGAGUUUUGAUGUACCGAAGGUUGUUCGGAGUCCUGGAUGUGAUCACGGACAUGGCCAGGAGUCUCGAAAUGGUCUAGACAUGAAUAUUGAUAUAUUGGAAGCCUAUAUUUGGAUGUCGGAGGUGUUCCGGGUGAAAUCGGGAUUUUACCGGAGUACCGGGGGUUACGGGAACCCCCCCGGGGGCUUAAUGGGCCUACAUGGGCCUUAGUGGAAAUAGAGGGCAGCAAGGGGAGUGUGGGGCGCCCCCCAAGGCCCAAACCGAAUUGGUUUUUGGCAAGCCCCCUCCCCCUCUUUCCUUCUCCUCCUCUCCCUUUCCUCCCCCCUCUCCUACUCCUACUAGGAAAUAGGAGGAGUCCUACUCCUAGUGGGAGUAGGACUCCCCCUUGGUGCGCCUCUCCCUGGCCGGCCGCCUCCUCCCCUUGCUCCUUUAUAUACGGGGUAGGGGGGCACCCCAUAGACACAACAAUUGAUCUCUUGAUCUCUUAGCCGUGUGCGGUGCCCCCCUCCACCAAAGUCCUCCUCGAUAAUAUUGUAGCAGUGCUUAGGCGAAGCCUUGCGACUGUAGAACAUCAAGAUCGUCACCACGCCAUCGUGCUUACGGAAGGUGCCGUAGUUUUGGUGCUUGAUCGGUCGGGCCGUGAAGACGUACGACAACAUCAACCACAUUGUUCUAACGCUUCCGCUUUCGGUCUAUGAGGGUACGUGGACAACACUCUCCCCUCUUGUUGCUAUGCAUCACCAUGAUCUUGCGUGUGCGUAGGAAAUUUUUGAAAUUACUACGUUCCCCAACGGUGACAUCAGAGCUAGGUUUUAUGCGUAGAUGUUAUAUGCACGAGUAGAACACAAGUGAGUUGUGGCCGAUACAAGUCAUACUGCUUACCAUCAUGUCAUACUUUGGUUCGGCGGUAUUGUUAGAUGAAGCGGCCCGAACCGAUAUUACGCGUACGCUUACGUGAGACUGGUUCUACCGACGUGCUUUGCACACAGGUGGCUGACAGGUGUCAGUUUCUCCAACUUUAGUUGAACUGAGUGUGGCUACGCCAGGUCCUUGCAAAGGUUUAAACAUCACUAACUUUACGAACUAUCGUUGUGGUUUUUGACGCGUAGGUAAGAACGGUUCUUGCUCAGCCCGUAGCAGCCACGUAAAAUUUGCAACAACAAAGUAGAGGAUGUCUAACUUGUUUUUGCAGGGCAUGUUGUGAUGUGAUAUGGUCAAGACGUGAUGCUAUAUUUUAUUGUAUGAGAUGAUCAUGUUUUGUAACCGAGUUAUCGGCAAGUGGCAGGAGCCAUAUGGUUGUCGCUUUAUUGUAUGAAAUGCAAGCGCCCUGUAAUUGCUUUACUUUAUCACUAAGUGGUAGUGAUAGUCAUAGAAGCAAUAGAUGGCGUAACGACAACGAUGCUAUGAUGGAGAUCAAGGUGUCGCGCCGGUGACGAUGGUGAUCAGGACGGUGCUUCGGAGAUGGAGAUCACAAGCAGAAGAUGAUGAUGGCCAUAUCAUAUCACUUAUAUUAAUUGCAUGUGAUGUUUAUCCUUUAUGCAUCUUAUUUUGCUUUGAUUGACGGUAGCAUUAUAAGAUGAUCUCUCACUAAUUAUCAAGAAGUGUUCUCCCUGAGUAGGCACCGUUGAGAAAGUUCUUCGUGCUGAGACACCACGUGAUGAUCGGGUGUGAUAGGCUCUACGUUCAAAUACAACGGUGCAAAACAGUUGCACACGCGGAAUACUCAGGUUAAACUUGACGAGCCUAGCAUAUACAUAUAUGGCCCCAGAACACGGAGACCGAAAGGUCGAGCGUGAAUCAUAUACUAGAUAUGAUCAACAUAGUGAUGUUCACCAUUGAAAACUACUCCAUCUCACGUGAUGAUCGGACAUGGUUUAGUUGAUUUGGAUCACGUGAUCACUUAGAUGACUAGAGAGAUGUCUGUCUAAGUGGGAGUUAAGUAAUAUGAUUAAUUAAACUUAAAUUUAUCAUGAACUUAGUCCUGGUAGUAUUUUGCAAAUUUUGUUGUAGAUCAAUAGCUCGCGUUGUUGCUUUAUAUGUUUAUUUUGAUAUGUUCCUAGAGAAAAUUGUGUUGAAAGAUGUUAGUAGCAAUGAUGCAGAUUGGAUCUGUGAUCUGAGGUUUAUCCUCAUUGCUGCACAGAAGAAUUAUGUCCUUGAUGCACCGCUAGGUGUCAGACCUAUUGCAAGAGCAGAUGCAGACAUUAUGAACGUUUGGCUAGCUCAAUAUGAUGACUACUUGAUAGUUUAGUGAACCAUGCUUAACGGCUUAGAAUCGGGACUUCAAAGACGUUUUGAACAUCAUGGACCAUAUGAGAUGUUCUAGGAGUUGAAGUUAAUAUUUCAAGCAAAUACCCGAGUUGAGAGAUAUGAAGUCUCCAACAAGUUCUAUAGCUAAAAGAUGGAGGAGAAUCGCUCAACUAGUGAGCAUGUGCUCAGAUUGUCUGGGUACUACAAUCGCUUGAAUCAAGUGGGAGUUAAUCUUCCAGAUAAGAUAGUGAUUGACAGUGUUCUCUAGUCACCAUCACCAAGUUACUAGAACUUCAUGAUGAACUAUAGUAUGCAAGGGAUAGCGAAAAUGAUUCCCGAGUUCUUCGUGAUGCUGAAAUCAACGAAGGUAGAAAUCAAGAAAGAGCAUCAAGUGUUGAUGAUUGACAAGACCACUAGUUUCAAUAAAAGGGCAAAGGGAAAGAAAGGGAACUUCAAGUAGAAUGACAAGCAAGUUGUCACUCCCGCGAAGAAGCCCAAAGCUGGACCAAAGCCCGAAACUGAGUGCUUACACUGCAAAGGAAAUGGUCACUGGAAGCGGAAAUGCCCUGAAUAUUUGGUGGAUAAAAAGGAUGGCAAAGUGAACAAGGGUAUAUUUGAUAUACAGGUUCUUGAUGUGUGCCUUACUAGUGUUUAUAGUAGCCCCUGAGUAUUUGAUACUUGUUCGGUGGCUAAGAUUAGUAACUCAAAACAGGAGUUACAGAAUAAACAAAGACUAGUUGAAGGGGAAGUGACGAUGAGUGUUGGAAGUAGUUCCAUGAUUGAUAUGAUCAUCAUCACACACUCCCUAUACUUUUGGGAUUAGUGUUAAACCUAAAUAAAUGUUAUUUGGCGUUUGCGUUGAGCAUGAAUAUGAUUUGAUCAUGUUUAUUGUGAUACGGUUAUUCAUUUAAAGUCAGAGAAUAAUUGUUAUUCUGUUUACAUGAAUAAGACCUUCAAUGGUCAUACACCCAAUAAAAAUAGUUUGUUGGAUCUCGAUCAUAGUGAUACACAUAUUCAUAAUAUUGAUGCCAAAAGAUGCAAAGUUAAUAAUGAUAGUGCAACUUAUUUGUGGCACUACCGUUUCGGUCAUAUCGGUGUAAAGCGCAAGAAGAAACUCCAUAAAGAUGGAUUUUCGGAAUCACUUGGUUAUGAAUCAUUUGAUGUUUGCGAACCGUGCCUUUUGGGCAAGAUGACUAAAACUCCGUUCUCCGGAACAAUGGAACGAGCUACUGACUUGUUGGAAAUAAUACAUACUGAUGUAUGCAGACCAAUGAGUAUUAAGGCUCGUGGCGGGUAUCGUUAUUUUCUCACCUUCACAGAUGAUUUGAGCAGAUAUGGGUAUAUCUACUUGAUGAAACAUAAAGUCUGAAACAUUUGAAAAGUUCAAAGAAUUUCAUAGUGAAGUGGAGAAUCAUCGUAACAAGAAAAUAAAGUUUCUACGAUCUGAUCGUGGAGAAAGAAUAUUUGAGUUACGAGUUUGGCCUUCAUUUAAAAACAAUGUGGAAUAGUUUCACAGCUCAUGCCACCUGGAACACCACAACGUUAUGGUGUGUCCGAACGUCGUAACCACACUUUAUUGGAUAUGGUGCGAUCUAUGACGUAUCUUACAUGUUUACCAAUAUUGUUUUGGGGUUAUGCAUUAGAGACAGCUGCAUUCACUUUAAAAAGGGCACCAUCAAAAUCCGUUGAGACGACGCCUUAUGAACUGUGGUUUGGCAAGAAACCAAAGUUGUUGUUUCUUAAAGUGUGGGGCCACGAUGCUUAUGUGGAAAAAAGUUUCAACCUGAUAAGCUCGAACCCAAAUCGGAGAAGUGCGUCUUCAUAGAAUACCCAAAGGAAACUGUUGGGUACACCUUCUGAGGGAGUCCCGGAUUAGGGGGUGUCCGGAUAGCCGGACUAUGACCAUUGGCCGGACUCCUAGACUAUGAAGAUACAAGAUUGAAGACUUCGUCCCGUGUCCGGAUGGGACUUCCCUUGGCAUGGAAGGAAAGCUUGGCGAUACGGAUAUGUAGAUCUCCUACCAUUGUAACCGACUCUGUGUAACCCUAACCCUCUUUGGUGCCUAUAUAAACCAGAGGGUUUUAGUCCGUAGGACGGACAACAAUCAUACCAUAGGCUAGCUUCUAGGGUUUAGCCUCUCUGAUCUCGUGGUAGAUCUACUCUUGUACUACCCAUAUCAUCAAUAUUAAUCAAGCAGGAGUAGGGUUUUACCUCCAUCGAGAGGGCCCGAACCUGGGUAAAAACAUCGUGUCCCUUGUCUCCUGUUACCAUCCGCCUAGAUGCACAGAUCGGGACCCCCUACCCGAGAUCCGCCGGUUUUGACACCGACAUUGGUGCUUUCAUUGAGAGUUCCUCUGUGUCGUCAUCUUUAGGCCCGAUGGCUCCUCCGAUCAUCAACAACGACACGGUCCAGGGUGAGACUUUUCUCCCCGGACAGAUCUUCGUAUUCGGCGGCUUUGCACUGCGGGCCAAUUCGCUUGGCCAUCUGGAGCAGAUUGAAAGCUACGCCCCUGGCCAUCAGGUCAGAUUUGGAAGUUUGAACUACAUGGCUGACGUCCACGGAGACUUGAUCUUGGACGGGUUCGAGCCACAUCCAAGCGCGCCGCACUGUCACAAUGGGCAUGAUCUAGCUCUGCCGCCGAACAGUGCCCUGGAGGCCGCACCAGUGUCUGCUCCGACCCUUAGCUCGGAGCCGACUGCGCCGAUCGAGGACGGGUGGCUGGACACCACCUCAGGGGCUGCUACCUCUAUGGCGAUUGAGCCGAACACCAACCCUAUCCCUCGCGAAGCUCGUGACUCCAAGGUGCCGGACUCCUCUCCGGACUCCGAACCUUCCGCGCCCCUGCCAAUCGAAUCCGAUUGGGCGCCGAUCAUGGAGUUCACCACCGCGGACAUCUUUCAGCACUCGCCCUUUGGCGACAUCCUAAAUUCACUAAAGUCUCUCUCUUUAUUAGGAGAGCCCUGGCCAGAUUAUGGUCAGCAAGGCUGGGAUGUGGACGAAGAAGAAAUUCAAAGCCCACCCACCACCCACUUCGUAGCCACUGUCGAAAGUUUAAAUGACGUGCUCGAUUUCGACUCCGAAGACAUCGAUGGUAUGGACGACGAUGUAGGAGAUAAGCAUGAACCAUCACCUAUAAGGCACUAGACAGCCACCUCAUCUCACUAUGUAUACAUGGUGGACACACCUAAAGGAAGCGACGACGAGGAACAAUGGGACGCCACGAGGGAUCAUUCCCCCGAAAAGCAGUCAAAACAGCGACGUAAGCGCCGCUCAAAAUCCCGCCUCGACAAAGACAGCAGCCAUACAGACCCAGCCAUAGAGCAGGACGAACCGGUGGGCGACGAACAUGCCAUCACGCAACCGUCCGAACAGGACAACCUGGAUAAACAAUCCGUCCCCGGCGAAGAUAACAGUCCGGACGAUCUAACGCCGGACAAGUUGCUGGAGCAGAAGAACCUCCACAAAAGGCUCGUCGCCACUACGCGUAGCCUGAAAAAGCAGAAGCGGAAGCUCAAAACAGCGGAAGAUGCACUCAGAAUCAGAUGGAGCAAAGUACUCAACACCGCACACAAAUAUGGCGAUAGUCGCCGAACAAAGAGCUACCCGAAGCGAAAACUACUGCCCGAAUUUGAUGAGGAGGCCGUAGAGCCCCCACAAUCAAAAAACAAGGAGACCACCCGGUCGGAUAGACGACCCCAUGACAAACAUAGAGCGGCAAACGGCGCCGCACACAAGCCGGCACGCGAUCCGCACACGGAUUCACAUAAAAAAGAUGGCCCAGUUAGAUCUAUCUACGGGCCAAGAAAGCAAGCUCUAGUAAGCAAUGCAACACAUCAAGUAUCCGAAUGCUACGGUACAGCUAAAUAUAGAGGUGCCGCACCCCCCCUAUGUUUCACCGAUGAGGUUCUGGAUUACGAAUUCCCUGCAGGAUUCAAGCCCGUAAACAUAGAGGCAUACGACGGAACAACAGACCCCGGAGUCUGGAUUGAGGAUUACAUCCUCCACAUACACAUGGCUAGAGGAGAUGACCUCCACGCCAUAAAAUACCUACCCCUCAAGCUCAAAGGGCCAGCCCGGCAUUGGCUCAAAAGCCUCCCCGAAAACACCAUUGGAAGUUGGGAAGAGCUCGAGGAUGCUUUUCGGGCAAAUUUUCAAGGGACCUAUGUCCAACCUCCGGAUGCAGACGAUUUAAGUCGCAUAACUCAACAACCCGGAGAGUCAGCCCGAAAAUUCUGGAACAGAUUCCUUACUAAAAAGAACCAAAUAGUCGACUAUCCGGACGCCAAAGCCUUAGCAGCUUUCAAACACAACGUCCGAGACGAAUGGCUCGUCAGACACCUCGGCCAAGAAAAGCCAAGAACAAUGGCCGCAUUAACAAGCCUCAUGACCCGCUUUUGCGUGGGAGAGGAUAGCUGGCUGGCAAGAUGCAGUACCAGCGACCCAAGUACAUCCGAAGUCAAGGAUGGAAACGGAAAACCGCGACGCAGUAAGGACCAGCGCCGGACCAAGGGAAACAACCCGAAGAGCACGAUAGUCAACGCUGGAUUCAAAAGCUCUUGGCAGAAUCAUAAAAAACUGCCCCUUAAGGAUAACAGGGACGAGCUAUCUAACUUAAAUAAAAUCUUGGACAAGAUAUGCCAAAUCCACAGUACUCCCGGGAAGCCUGCAAACCAUACCCACAGAGAUUGUUGGGUCUUCAAGCAGUCCGGCAAACUCAACGCCGAACACAAGGGGCUCGACACACCAAGUGAGGACGAUGACGAACCCCACAAGCAGAGCACCGGAAAACAAAAGAAUUUCCCACAAGAAGUCAAAACAGUAAACUCACUUCACGUGACAAAAGGGAAAAAUAGAGCGGUGCCCAUAGAGGUACGCGCCAUACGGCCUAUCCCAGAGGAGUCUCGCAACUAGUUGUUAAAACCAAUCACCUUCGACCAUCAGGAUUACUCUAGAAGUAUCCGGAGUGCAGGAUGGACUGCCUUGAUAUUAGAUCCGAUAAUUGACGGACUCCAAUUUACACAAGUCCUAAUGGACGGCGGCAGUGAUCUAAACCUGCUAUACCAGGACACAAUCCGCAAAAUGGGGAUAGACCCAACCAAAAUUCGCCAUAGCAACACUUCCUUUCAAGGGGUAAUGCCAGGCCCAUAUGCCCAUUGUACAGGCUCUCUACUGCUAGAAGUUGUGAUCGACUCACCCGACAACUUCCGCCGCGAAAAGUUAACCUUCCACCUCGCCCCAUUUACAAGUAGCUACCAAGCACUACUGGGACGCGAAGCUUUCGCCCGCUUUAACGCAAUACCGCAUUAUGCAUCCCUUACACUUAAAAUGCCCGGUCCGCGAGGCAUCAUCUCCUUAAAGGGAAAUAUCGAGUGUUCCUCGAGCGCGGAAGAUUGUGUGACUACCUUGACAGCCACACACUAAACCAGCUUCACUAAUCAAAGCACCUAAAUAGGUUGUUCAGACCCCGGACACGGUUAGACGAGUCCGGCGUAAACAUACAAGGGCUUACUAGCCGCAUACCCCCGCACAAGGGGCUCCGCGCAUGUACAACAAGAGACAAUAAAGCUCAAUUUUAUUCAUUCUUUGAAUUGUACUUUGUUUAUUUAAUAUAACGUACAUUUUCGCACGAUCUUUUUCAACUAAGUUCCUCUCUUUUAUAGAUGAACACCGUGCUACACCCGUCCAGGAUACGGCACAACGGAGACACAGGCGCAGACGUGCAGCAGGGACCCGUGACAAGGAUUCUUUUCAGAUUAAGACCCUGCGUAAACCUUUUUUACUGUCUCUUGUUGAUACACAUCCCCUGGUUUCUUGCUAUAACCAAGGAGGAGGCUGAUGUUUUGGCAUGGGCCAUGUCAGAAUUUUGCGCGUACCUGGACACCAGGGGCUUAUUACCAAGGGCGUUGUUCGGCCCGUUUUCAUAAAGACCGAAUACCUUAGGGAGUGUUCGGCGUCUCGAGUUAGGCGUUAUAUGCAUCAGCUCCGAAUCAUGUCUUUGGUCAAAUGUUGGGUUUGCCCGGCUCCUGUGCUUUGCUGUCUUAUGUUCCGCUCUAUCGGCUAAGGCGGCACCAGGAGAACUGCUGCGAUUGUGCCCCGGUUCGGCCAGGCGAGCACCUCAGUAGAGAAAGCCGAAAACUGUCUGUCAUGAUAUAGCGUGAGACUGGUCAACCACUCGAUGACCCGCCGGAAUCUAUAGGAUUCCUCCGCAUUGACGAAGGACCGUUUCCCGGUCAGGCACAUACACGCCCCAAAUUCGGGUGAGCGCAGUGCCCCUAGGGGCUAUAUCGUAGCCCCAUUGUCAAACUCCUAUGGCUAAGUGAAAGUGAUAAAGCAUUAUAGUCCGGUUGCCUAGUUUGCUGCGCUACCACCUCCUUUAUAGGACCAAGACGUUGGAUCAAGUGUGAAAACGCGCCUUUUUGCAAACACCCCCGCAUUAUAUGCGUGGGGGCUGAAGCCGAAGACUACCAUCUUUCAGGUUAUAUAUACAUAUACAUUAGCGGCCACACAGGAGGUAUUUUAAUUCUUGAAAGGCACAAGUAUAAAAAGCUCUUAUAUUCCAUCGAUACAUUGUUUCACAAAUAAUGCAUGUUAUUCGAACAUAAUAUCCUUCGAGCACUGUGUCUCUAUUAAAUGAGCGCCCUGCAGAACUUCCUGAAAAUAGUGCUCGACAGGUACUCGGCUUCCGUUCGAAUCUUGGGAUGCAACAUCGGUGGCCUUCAUCUCCGCCCAGUAUGUCUUGACACGGAAAAGAGCCACCCGCGCACCCUCUAUGCAUGCCGACCUCCUCAUUGCAUUGAUAUGCGGCACCACACCAAGGAACUGCUGCACCAAGCCAAAAUAACUCUUUGGCUCGGGCCUUUUCGGCCACAAAAGACUCACGACAUCCUUCAUGGCAAGUCCGGAUAACCUAUUCAGCUCCUCCCAUUCGGCCAAGCAAUCGCUUAAUGGAAGUGGGCGCUCUGGAUUAUGGAACUGCGACCAAAAAACCUUUUCCAUUUUGUGAUCCUUUUGAUCUCGGAAGUGUUCGGCCGCGUCCGCGGCACUUGCCGCCCGGUCCAGAUAAGCAUCCUACACACUCCACAGCCGGUCCAACUGAGCAUAUUUAGGAUCCACGAAUUUCCUCCGCAGCAUAAAGGGCUUUCCAGCCGCGAUAUCUCUGGCCUGACGCAGCUCCUCCUUCAUAGCUCUCAUCGCAGAGCGAGCAUCCUUGGCCUCGGUAGUGGCCUUCUUCAAGUCCUCUUGCACCACUCGAUCUUCUUUUUCAAGAAGCUUGCAACGGUCGGCAGCAUUCUUUAACUUCACGGCCAUCUCGGCCAUUUCCUUCUUGCUUUGGCAGUGAGCAGCCUGUUCGGCUUUUAGCUCUUUGGCCGCCUUUAAGGCAGCCACAUCACUCUUUCUGGCAUGCUCCUUGGCUCGAGCGAGCUCCGCCCGAAGGUUCUCCAUGGUAGCGGCACCAUCUUCAUCAAGCAUACAUGUUGUAAGGCACGGGCAUCAAGCUCCUUUACCAGGUGUCCGCGGAGAAAUUACACACCUUGUGACUGGUCAAGUCGCUUAUUAACAAGCGCGAUGUCGGCAUCAGCCACGUCAAGUUGCCGCUUUAGUUCGGCAAAUUCAUCAGUCCGGCUAGCCACCGGACCCUUUGCCACCUACAUUGGAAGGGCGACACAUUAUACCUGGGAUUAUGAUCCUCGACGCGCUGUCAUUUUUGACAACACACCGAGCCUCAGGGGCUACUAUCUACACUGGGCGCAUUUUAUAUGCGGAACUGUCAGAGGGUACAUCAUUUUGUGUACCUCAAAUCCUGUUAGUAAACUUCUGACGGCUUCCUGCAAUCCGCUCUCAGCGGAUGAAAUCCUUUCAAUCACCAUACCCAUUAACGCACGGUGAUCUUCUGAGAUAGACACUCGCCCGAGCAGAUCCCUUAGCUCCUCCGACUGUACACCAGGUGGUGCCGGACUCGUCCGAUGGCCUUUUUCGAAGGCCAGACAUGGAGGGCUUUGAGGGGACAUACGACUGCCUUCCGGCCCCGCCGGACUCGGAGAAACCCUCCGCAACGACACCUCAGGGUCGCUCGCCUCGCAAGACGGUAUGGCAGGGGGAGGCAUUUUGCUCUCUAUCAUCUCCGGACGAAGAUCCCCCGAAGAUGAGCUCUGUUGAGAAGGGCCGAGAUCCGAACUACAAGGUAAAAUUUCGGUCAUCUUCAUCAGAAAUAGGGCAGGGAUAUCCUUUAUUUUAAAAUAAACUCCCCUUUUUACUUACGGCUCGGUAGAGGGCUCAUCCCCUUGGGGGCAUAAUGCGGCCGAGGCAUCUCUCGGCGCAGGACCCUCUGGAGAAGAUUUCUUCCCCCGCUUUGAGACCAUGGUCUCCGGGUCUUCAGAGGCGGUCCUCUUCUUCCCUUGGAUGGAGGGAUUCUCGAUCCCUCCUCUCCUGACAGCCUCCUUCGCGGAGGCGGUAGCUUCCUUGUUCCCCCCUUCACCCUCUUCCGAAGGCGCAACCUCUAGCAUCAUGGUUAACACGGGAUCCGACGUGGUCUCAGGGAGGGGGGUCGGACACCUGAUUAACUUUGCUUUCGCUAUCCACUCCUGUUCAAGGAACAACUCUUUUAAAGGGCAAGUUCGUAAUAAAUACGGGAUAGUGUGUUCGGAUACAAGGCUACUUACUUGAGUAUCCGGGCGAUGGCAGCUUAGACCUGCGUCCUCGGUCAAGUCUGGUCACAUCGCUUGUGAUCCGAAGAGAAGCUUGUACAUCUCCACGGGCGUCACGCCCAUAAAAUGUUGGAGAGCUCGUGGUCCCUCCGGGUUAAAUUCCCACAGGCGGAGGAGGCGAUGUUUGCAGGGCAGGAUGCGAUGAAUCAGCAUGACCUGCGCUACUACGACCAGAGUGAUCUCUCUCUCUCUAGGAGGUCUCGAAUGCGGCCCUGCAACAAGGGCACUUCCUUGGACGGCCCCCAGUCAAGUCCUUUUUGACCCAUGACGCCAGCCGCGGUGGAGGACCCGAGCGAAAGGCAGGUGGCGCCACCCAUUUGGUGCCCCUGGGAACUGUGAUAUAAAACCACUCUUGUUGCCAUAGGCCGAGCUCCUCUUGAAAAGAGCCCUCGGGCCACGGAGCAUCAACAUUCUUGCUUAUAACAGCCCCUCCGCACUCUGCCUGCUGCCCCUUAAUCAUCUUCGGCUCCACCUUGAAGGUCUUGAGCCACAAUCCGAAGUGAGGGGUAAUGUGGAGGAAGGCUUCGCAUACGACAAUGAACGAUGAGAUGUGGAGGAUGGACUCCGGAUCCAAGUCAUGAAAUUCCAACCCAUAAUAAAACAUGAGCCCCCUCACGAAGGGGUCCGUCGGGAAGCCUAGCCCCCGAAGAAAGUGAGACGCGAACACCACGCUUUCGCCAGGCUUGGGAGUGGGAAUAACCUGCCCUUGGGUAGGCAGCCUAUGCAAAAAUUUCGCCGGUUAUAUACCUGGCAUCUCUUAGAUUUAGCACGUCUUCUUCCGUAACGGAGGAAGGCAUCCACCGGCCUUGCAGGUCAGAGCCGGACAUCAUCGAAGGUCCGAAGCUCCUGAAUCUGGAGCUUUGGGUGUUGGAACUCGAGGCGAGGGGCGGAUUCGAUUGAGAUUGAAAGAAAGGAGUGGAGCCUUGGUCUCUUUAUAAAGAGGUUGAAUACCAAGAGCCUUCCCCGUGACCGUUCGGGACUCGCCUUCGAUAGAGGAGACGUGCCAAUGGGCACGAUUGGGUUACCCACACCCAUAUUGAUGAGAAUCCCGGAAUCAGGGGACACAAUCUCUGCUUCAACAAGACGUGCCAAGGAAACCGCCUCGCUAAACACGCUAAGGUGGGACAGUAAAAAUGAUUCGAAUAAAGGCUUGGCCGCGGUGUGAUGUCACGCCAUGGAAUACGUCAGCAGAUUGAAUUUGUGUAAAUAUUAUUCUCUCUAAGGUGGUAUGUGGAACUUAUUUUGCAGAGCCGGACACUAUCCUUGUGUUCAAAAUCUUCUAUGAAGUAUUCGGAGGAGGAAGCCGCCUUGCAAUGCCGAAGACAAUAUGCGCGCCGGACUCGUCGUCAUUGAAGCCUGGUUCAGGGGCUACUGAGGGAGUCCCGGAUUAGGGGGUGUCCGGAUAGCCGGACUAUGACCAUUGGCCGGACUCCUGGACUAUGAAGAUACAAGAUUGAAGACUUCGUCCCGUGUCCGGAUGGGACUUUCCUUGGCGUGGAAGGCAAGCUUGGCGAUACGGAUAUGUAGAUCUCCUACCAUUGUAACAAACUCUGUGUAACCCUAACCCUCUUCGGUGCCUAUAUAAACCGGAGGGUUUUAGUCCAUAGGACGGACAACAAUCAUACCAUAGGCUAGCUUCUAGGGUUUAGCCUCUCUGAUCUCGUGGUAGAUCUACUCUUGUACUACCCAUAUCAUCAAUAUUAAUCAAGCAGGAGUAGGGUUUUACCUCCAUCGAGAGGGCCCGAACCUGGGUAAAAACAUCGUGUCCCUUGUCUCCUGUUACCAUCCGCCUAGACGCACAGAUCGGGACCCCCUACCCGAGAUCCACCGGUUUUGACACCGACACCUUCUAUCAUAGAUCCGAAGGCAAAAUAUUCGUUGCUAAGAUGGAUCCUUUCUAGAGAAGGAGUUUCUCUUGAAAGAAGUGAGUGGGAGGAAAGUAGAGCUUGAUAAGGUAAUUGUACCUUCUCCUGAAUUGGAAAGUAGUUUAUCACAGAAAUCAGUUCUAGUUAUUCCUACACCAAUUAGUGAGGAAGCUAAUGAUGAUGAUCAUGAAGCUUCAGAUCAAGUUACUACUAAACUUUGUAGAUCUUCCAGAUUAAGAUCCGCACCAGAGUGGUACGGUAAUCCUAUUCUGAUGUCAUGUUACUAGACCAUGAUGAACCUACGAACUUUGAGGAAGCGAUGAUGAGCCCAGAUUCCGCGAAAUGGCUUGAAGGCCAUGAAAUCUGAGAUGGGAUCCAUAUAUGAGAACAAAGUGGACUAUGGUGGACUUGCCCGAUGACCGGGAAGCCAUAGAAAAUAAAUGGAUCUUCAAGAGGAAGACAAAUGCGGAUAGUAGUGUUACUAUCUACAAAGCUCGAAUUGUCGCAAAAAUGUUUUCGACAAGUUCAAGGUGUUGAAUACGAUGAGAUUUGCUCACUUGUAUUGAUGCUUAAGUCUGUCCGAAUCAUGUUAGCAAUUGCCACAUUUUAUGAAAUUUGGCAAAUGGAUGUCAAAACUGCAUUUCUUAAUGGAUUUAUUAAAGAAGAGUUGUAUAUGAUGCAACCAGAAGGUUUUGUCAAUUCUAAAGAUGCUAACAAAAUAUGCAAGCUCCAGCGAUCCAUCUAUGGACUGGUGCAAGCAUCUCAGAGUUGGAAUACACGCUUUGGUAAGUUGAUCAAAGCAUAUAGUUUUAUACAAACUUGCAAUGAAGCCUGUAUUUACAAUAAAGUGAGUGGGAGCACUACCGCCUUUCUGAUAAAUAUAUGUAAGUAACAUAUUGUUGAUCAGAAAUGAUGUAGAAUUUUUCUAGAAAGCAUAAAGGAGUAUUUGAAUGGAGUUCUUUAAAAAGAAAGACCUUAGUAAAGCUACUUACAUAUUGAGCAUCAAGAUCUAUUGAGAUAGAUCAAGAUGCUUGAUAAAUUUUUCAAUAAAGUACAUACCUUGUCAAGUUUUUGAAGUAGUUCAAAAUGGAACAGUCAAAGAAGGAGUUCUUGCCUGUGUUGCAAGGUGUGAAGUUGAGUAAGACUCAAAACCCGACCAUGGCAGAAAAUAGAAAGAGAAUGAAUAGUCAUUCCCUAUGCCUCAGUCAUAGGUUCUAUAAAGUAUGCUAUGCUAUGUACCAAACCUAUUGUAUACCUUGCUCUGUAUUUGGAGAGGGAGUACAAUAGUGAUCUAGGAGUAGAUCACUGGACAUUGGUCAAGAAUAUCCUUAGUGAGGACUAAGGAAAUAUUUCUCGAUUAUGCAGGUGAUAAAAGAGCCCGUCAUAAAGAGUUACAUUGGUGCAAGAUUUUACACCAAUUCAGAUGACUCUAAGUCUCAAUCUGGAUACAUAUUGAAAGUGGGGGCCAUUAGCUAGAGUAGCUCCAUGCGGAGCAUUGUGGACAUAGAAUAUUUGCAAAAUACAUACAACUCUGAAUGUGACAGGCCCAUUGACUAAACUUCUCUCACGAGCAAAACAUGAUCACAACUUAGUACUCUUUGGGUGUUAAUCACGUAGCAAUGUGAACUAGAUUAUUGACUCUAGUAAACCCUUUUGGGUGUUGGUCACAUGAUGAUGUGAACUAUGGGUGUUAAUCAUAUACAGGUAUGAAUAUUGGUGUUAAAUCACAUGGCGAUGUGAACUAGAUUAUUGACUAUAGUGCAAGUGGGAGACUGAAGGAAAUAUGCCCUAGAGGCAAUAAUAAAGUUAUUAUUUAUUUCCUUAUAUCAUGAUAAAUGUUUAUUAUUCAUGCUAGAAUUGUAUUAACCGUAAACACAAUACAUGUGUGAAUACAUAGACAAACAUAGUGUCACUAGUAUGCCUCUACUUGACUAGCUUGUUGAUCAAAGAUGGUUGUGUUUCCUAGCCAUAGACAUGAGUUGUCACUUGAUUAACGGGAUCACAUCAUUAGAAGAAUGAUGUGAUUGACUUGACCCAUUCCGUUAGCUUAGCACUUGAUCGUUUAGUAUGUUGCUAUUGCUUUCUUCAUGACUUAUACAUGUUCCUAUGACUAUGAGAUUAUGCAACUCCCGUUUAUCGGAGGAAUACUUUGUGUGCUACCAAACGUCACAACAUAACUGGGUGAUUAUAAUGGAGCUCUACAGGUGUCUCCGAAGGUACAUGUUGGGUUGGCGUAUUUCAAGAUUAGGAUUUGUCACUCCGAUUGUCGGAGAGGUAUCUCUGGGCCCUCUCGGUAAUGCACAUCUCUAUAAGCCUUGCAAGCAAUGUGGCUAAUGAGUUAGUUGCAGGAUGAUGCAUUACGUAACGAGUAAAGAGACUUGCCGGUAACGAGAUUGAACUAGGUAUUGACAUACCGACGAUCGAAUCUCGGGCAAGUAACAUACCGAUGAGAAAGGGAACAACGUAUGUUGUUAUGCGGUUUGACCGAUAAAGAUCUUCGUAGAAUAUGUAGGAGCCAAGAUGAGCAUCCUGGUUCCACCAUUGGUUCUUGACCGGAAAUGUGUCUCGGUCAUGUCUACAUAGUUCUCGAACCCGUAGGGUCCGCACGCUUAAGGUUUCGAUGACAGUUAUAUUAUGAGUUUAUGAGUUUUGAUGUACCGAAGGUUGUUCAGAGUCCUGGUUGUGAUCACGGACAUGACGAGGAGUCUCGAAAUGGUUGAGACUUGAAGAUUGAUAUAUUGGAAGCCUAUAUUUGGAUGUCGGAAGUGUUCCGGGUGAAAUCGGGAUUUCACCGGAGUACGGGGGUUACCGGAACCCCCCCGGGGGCUUAAUGGGCCUACAUGGGCCUUAGUGGAAAUAGAGGGCAGCAAGGGGAGUGUGGGGCACGCCCCCAAGGCCCAAACCGAAUUGGUUUAGGGCAAGGGGGCCGGCCCUCCUCUUUCCUUCUUCUCCUCUCCCUUUCCUUCCCCUCUCCUACUCCUACUAGGAAAUAGGAGGAGUCCUACUCCUAGUGGGAGUAGGACUCCCCCUUGGCGCGCCUCUCCCUAGCCGGCCGCCUCCUCCCCUUGCUCCUUUAUAUACGGGGGCAGGGGGCACCCCAUAGGCACAACAAUUGAUCUCUUGAUCUCUUAGCCGUGUGCGGUGCCCCCCUCCACCAUAGUCCUCCUCUAUAAUAUUGUAGCGGUGCUUAGGCGAAGCCCUGCGACGGUAGAACAUCAAGAUCAUCACCACGCCGUCAUGCUGAUGGAACUCUCCCUCGACACUCGGCUGGAUUGGAGUUCGAGGGACGUCAUCGAGAUGAACGUGUGCUAGAACUCGGAGGUGUCGUAGUUUCGGUGCUUGAUCGGUGGGGCUGUGAAGACGUACGACUACAUGAACCGCAUUGUUCUAACGCUUCCGCUUUCGGUCUACGAGGGUACAUGGACAACACUCUCCCCUCUCAUUGCUAUGCAUCACCAUGAUCUUGCGUGUGCAUAGGAAAAUUUUGAAAUUACUAUGUUCCCCAACACAUCGGCACCUCGUCGUUAGCCAAUCUUCGCUUAAUCCGUCGUCCCUAUUUCGAGUUGCAAAUAUUAGCAACAAAACCAGUAUCAAAUUCCCAGGUGCUACUGCGAGCAUUAGUAAGGUACACAUCAAUACCAUGUAUAUCACAUAUACCUUUGUUCACCUUUCCAUCUUUCUUAUCCGCCAAAUACUUGGGGCAGUUCCGCUUCCAGUGACUAGUCCCUUUGCAGUAGAAGCACUCAGUCUCGGGCUUAGGUCUAGACUUGGGUUUCUUCACUUGAGCAGCAACUUGCUUGUCAUUCUUCUUGAAGUUCCCCUUCUUCCCUUUACCAUUUUUCUUGAAAUUGGUGGUCUUGUUGACCAUCAACACUUGAUGCUCCUUCUUGAUUCCUACCUCCCCAGCCUUUAGCAUCGCGAAGAGCUCGGGAAUUGUCUUAUUCAUCCCUUGCGUAUUAUAGUUCAUCACGAAGCUCUUGUAGCUUGGUGGCAGUGAUUGAAGAAUUCUGUCAAUGACACUAUUAUCCGGAAGAUUAACUCUCAGUUGAAUCAAGUGAUUGUUAUACCCAGACAUUUUGAGUAUAUGCUCAUUGACAGAACUAUUCUCCUCCAUCUUACAGCUGUAGAACUUAUUGGAGACUCCAUAUCUCUCAAUCCAGACAUUUGAUUGAAAUAUUAACUUCAACUCCUGGAACAUCUCAUAUGUCCAUGACGUUCAAAACAUCGUUUAAGUCCCGGUUCUAAACCAUAAAGCAUGGCACACUAAACUAUCGAGUAGUCAUCAGCUUUGCUCUGCCAGACGUUCAUAACAUCUGGCGUUGCUCCUGCAGCGGGUUUGGCACCUAGCGGUGCUUCCAGGUGGUAAUUCUUCUGUGCAGCAAUGAGGAUAACCCUCAAGUUACGGACCCAAUCUGUGUAAUUGCUACCAUCAUCUUUCAACUUUGCUUUCUCAAGGAACGCAUUAAAAUUAAACGGAACAACAACACGGGCCAUCUAUCUACAACAACAUAGACAUGCAAAAUACUAUCAGUUACUAAGUUCAUGAUAAAUUAAAGUUCAAUUAAUCAAAUUACUUAAGAACUCUCACUUAGAUAGACAUCCCUCUAAUCAUCUAAGUGAUCGCGUGAUCCAUAUCAACUAAACCAUGUCCGAUCAUCACGUGAGAUGGAGUAGUUUUCAAUGGUGAACAUCACUAUGUUGAUCAUAUCUACUAUAUGAUUCAUGCUCGACCUUUCGGUCUUAGUGUUCCGAGGCCAUAUCUGCAUAUGCUAGGCUCGUCAAGUUUAACCCGAGUAUUAUGCGUGUGCAAAACUGGCUUGCACCCAUUGUAUGUGAACAUAGAGCUUAUCACACCUGAUCAUCACAUGGUGUCUCGGCAUGACGAACUUUCACAACGGUGCAUACUCAGGGAGAACACUUAUACCUUGAAAUUUAGUGAGAGAUCAUCUUAUAGUGCUACCGUCGAUCUAAGAAAAAUAAGAUGCAUAAAAGAUAAACAUCACAUGCAAUCAAUAUAAGUGAUAUGAUAUGGCCAUCAUCAUCUUGUGCCUUUGAUCUCCAUCUCCAAAGCACCAUCAUGAUCACCAUCAUCAUCGGCGCGACACCUUGAUCUCCAUCGUAGCAUCGUUGUCGUCUCGCCAACUAUUGCUUCUAUGACUAUCACUACCGCUUAGUAAUAAAGUAAAGCAAUUACAUGGCGAUUGCAUUUCAUACAAUAAAGCGACAACCAUAUGGCUCCUGCCAGUUGCCGAUAACUCUGUUACAAAACAUGAUCAUCUCAUACAAUAAAAUUUAGCAUCAUGUCUUGACCAUAUCACAUCACAACAUGCCCUGCAAAAACAAGUUAGACACACUCUACUUUGUUGUUGCAAGUUUUAUGUGGCUGCUACGGGCUGAGCAAGAACCAUUCUUACCUACACAUCAAAACCACGACGAUAUUUCAUCAAGUAUGUGCUGUUUUAACCUUCACAAGGACCGGGCGUAGCCACACUCGAUUCAACUAAAGUUGGAGAAACUGACACCCGCCAGCCACCUGUCUGCGAAGCACGUCGGUAGAACCAGUCUCGCGUAAGCGUAUGCGUAAUGUCGGUCUGGUCUGCUUCAUCCAACAAUACCGCCGAAUCAAAGUAUGACAUGUUGGUAAGAAGUAUGACUUGUAUCGCCCACAACUCACUUGUGUUCUACUCGUGCAUAUAACAUCUACGCAUAAACUUGGCUCGGAUGCCACUGUUGGGGAACGUAGAAAUUUCAAAAAGAUUCCUACACACACGCAAGAUCAUGGUGAUGCAUAGAAACGAGAGGGGAGAGUGUUGUCCACGUACCCUCGUAGACCGAAAGCGGAAGCGUUAUGACAACGCGGUUAAUGUAGUCGUACGUCUUCACGAUCGACCGAUCCUAGUACCGAACGUACGACACCUCCGCGAUAUGCACACGUUCAGCUCAAUGACGUCCCACAAACUCACGAUCCAGUAGAGCUUCGAGGGAGAGUUCCGUCCGCACGACGACAUGAUGACGGUCCUGAUGAAACUACCGACGCAGGGCUUCACCUAAGCACCGCUACGAUAUGACCGAGGUGGAUUAUGGUGGAAGAUGGCACUGCACACGGCUAAAAGGUCAAUGAUCAACUUGUGUGUCUAUGGGGUGCCGCCCUCCCCCGUAUAUAAAGGAGUGGAGGAGGGGGAGGAGGCCGGCCUCCUAGGCGCGCCCCAAGGGAAGUCCUACUCCCACCGGGAGUAGGAUUUCACCCCUUCCAAGAGUAGGAGUAGGAGGGAAGGAAGGAGCACAAGUAUAGGGGAUCAAUUGUAGCCUCUUUCAAUAAGUAAGAGUGUCGAACCCAACGAGGAGCUAAAGGUAGAACAAAUAUUCCCUCAAGUUCUACUGACCACCGUUACAACUCUACGCACGCUUAACGUUCACUUUACCUAAAACAAGUAUGAAACUAGAAGGACUUUGUAGGUGUUGUUGGAUAGGUUUGCAAGAAUAUAAAGAGCACGUAAAUAUAAACUAGGGGUUGUUUAGAUAAAGAAGCAAUAAAGUUAGUAUAGUGAGUGUGGAAAAGUGGUGGUAGGAGUUGUGAAAUUGUCCCUAAGAAAUUGACUACUUUACUAGACCGAUAGCAAGUUUUAUGUGGGAGAGGCAUAAGCUAACAUACUUUCUCUUCUUGGAUCAUAUGCACUUAUGAUUGGAACUCUAGCAAGCAUCCGAAACUACUAAACAUCAUUAAGGUAAAACCCAACCAUAGCAUUAACAUAUCAAGUCCCCUUUAUCCCAUACGCCACAACCCCCUUACUCGGGUUUAUGCUUCUGUCACUCAAGCAACCCACUAUAAGCGAAUCAUGAACAUAUUGCAACACCCUACAGCGGGAAUCCCUCAUGCUUGCGCGACACGGAGGGAACAAUAGGACAACAACAUAACCACAAGCAAAUUAAACCAAUCAUAGCAAUUCAUCAAUCAUCGGUAGGACAACGAAAAUCUACUCAGACAUCAUAGGAUGGCAACACAUCAUUGAUAAGAAUAUGAAGCAUAAAGCACCAUGUUCAAGUAGAGGGUGCAGCAAGUUGCGGGAGAGUGGACCGCUGAAUAUAGAUGGGGGAAGGUGAUGGAGAUGUUGGUGAAGAUGAUGGAGGUGUUGGUGUAGAUCGCGGUGAUGAUGAUGGCCCCUGGCGGCAUUCCGGCGCCACCGAAAGCAAGGGGGAGAGAGCCCCGCUUAUUCUUCUUCUUCCUUGACCUUAUCCCAAGAUGAGAGAAGGGUUUCCCCUCUGGUCCAUGGUCUCCAUGGUGUGGGAGGGCAAGAGCCCCUCUAAGAUUGGAUCUGCUCUCUGUCUCUCUCUGUUUCUGCGUUCUCAGAUUCUGCCCUUUCAGCGUUUCUUUUAUAUCCGGAGAUCCGUAACUCCGAUUGGGUUGGAACCUUCGCCCAGAAUUUUCUCCGAAAAUUAGCUUUCUUGCGGCAAAAGAAUAGCUUCAACCGCCUUACAGGGUGCCCACGAGGGUCAGGGGCGCGCCCCCCUACCUCGUGGCCCCCUCGGGCACCGUCUCGCGUUGAUUUUUCUUCCAGAAAAUCAUAAAUAUUCCAAAAAUAUUCUCCGUCCGUUUUUAUCCCGUUUGGACUCCGUUUGAUAUGGGGUUUCUGCGAAACAUAAAACAUGCAACAAACAGGAACUGGCAUUGGGCACUGGAUCAAUAUGUUAGUCCCAAAAAUAGUAUAAAAAGUUGCCAAAAGUAUAUGAAAGUUGAAUAACAUUGGCAUGGAACAAUAAAAAAUUAUAGAUACGAUGGAGACGUAUCACCGCCCCCCCUUCCUUGUCUAAUUCGGACUAGAGGGGGAGGAGGGCGCGGCCUGCCCUGGCCACCCCUUCCUCUCUCCACCAAGGCCCAUGAAGCCCAUUACACUCCCCGGGGGGUUCCGGUAACCCCCCAGUACUCCGAUAUUCAUCCGAACUCACUCGGAACCCUUCUGAAGUCCAAACAUAGUCAUCCAAUAUAUCGAUCUUUAUGUCUCGACCAUUUUGAGACUCCUCGUCCUGUCCAUGAUCAUAUCCGGGACUCCGAACUACCUUCAGUACAUCAAAACACAUAAACUCAUAUCACCGACCGUCACCGAACGUUAAGCGUGCGGACCCUAUGGGUUCGAGAACUAUGUAGUCAUGACCGAGACACGUCUCUGGUCAAUAAACAAUAGCGGAACCUGGAUGCUCAUAUUGGUUCCUACAUAUUCUACGAAGAUCUUUAUCGGUCAAACUGCAUAACAAUGUACGUUGUUCCCUUUGUCAUCGGUAUGUUACUUGCCCAAGAUUCGAUCAUCAGUAUCUCAAUACCUAGUUCAAUCUCGUUAUCGGCAAGUCUCUUUACUCGUUUCGUAAUGCAUCAUCCCGCAACUAACUCAUUAGUUACAUUGCUUGCAAGGCUUAUAGUGAUGUGCAUUACCGAGAGGGCCCAGAGAUACCUCUCCGACAACCGGAGUGACAAAUCCUAAUCUCGAUCUAUGCCAACUCAACAAGUAUCAUCGGAGACACCUGUAGAGCACCUUUAUAAUCACCCAGUUACGGUGUGACGUUUGGUAGCACAGAAAGUGUUCCUCCGGUAUUCGGGAGUUGCAUAAUCUCAUAAUCAUAGGAACAUGUAUAAGUCAUGAAGAAAGCAAUAGCAAUAUACUAAAUGAUCAAAUGCUAAGCUAACGGAAUGGGUCAAGUCAAUCACAUCAUUCUCUAAUGAUGUGAUCCCAUUAAUCAAAUGACAACUCAUGUCUAUGGUUAGGAAACUUAACCACCUUUGAUUCAAUGAGCUAGUCAAGUAGAGGCCUACUAGUGACACUGUGUUUGUCUAUGUAUUCACACAUGUACUAAGUUUACGGUUAAUACAAUUCUAGCAUGAAUAAUAAACAUUUAUCAUGAUAUAAGGAAAUAUAAAUAACAACUUUAUUAUUGCCUCUAGGGCAUAUUUCCUUCAGCGAGGGCGGGAGCAGAGAGCAGCAAGAUAGUAGCGCUGCGUCCCUUCAGACGAGUUCGUGGUCUCUGUUUUAAGUGUGGCGAAAGGUGGGGGAAGGAUCAUACAGGUCCACCUAUAGUACAUAUGCAUGUCGUCGAAGAGCUUUUAGCAUUGUUUGCAACAAAGGAGGUGUUGGUUGAAGAUCGCCACGGUCCAACAUAGAUUGACAAAGAUGGUCUUUGUACUAUCUCCAAGCAAGCUAUCGAUAGGUUUGUUGGGCCGGGCGUGAUGCAAUUGCACGCGUGGAUUCAGGGUAAGGAAGUGUCGUUGCUGGUUGAUUCGGGUAGGUCAUCAUCAUUUGUGGACUGGCAGUUGGCUGCCAAACUAUCUGGAAUAAUGUGUAAACUACCUAAGACCUCCCGUGUUAAGUUUGCAGAUGGAGCCAUGCUAAGCUGUGACAGUGUUAUACCACAGUGUCAAUGGACAUCCCAGGGCCAUGAAUUUGUCAUAGAUUUCAAGAUACCGUCACUCGAGGCCUAUGAUGCUAUCUUGGGGAUGGAUUGGCUUAAGAAGCAAAACCCAAUACAUAUCGAUUUGGAGGCACACCAUAUGAAGGUUACCACUGAAAAAGGUUCUGUCAACUUGCAGGCGAUCGCCAACAGUCAGCAUCAGUGUUCUGCUAUCUCCUCCCAGGAACUCUUGGCCACAUGCAAGCAAGGUUCAGUGGCAUAUGUGGUUCACCUGAAUGCUGUGAAUGAGACAGGCUUACAAGAGGAAGCCAUUCCAGUAGAAAUUCUCUGAGUUUUGGAGCAGUACACGGAUGUCUUCGAAGAGCCAAAAGGUCUUCCACCCAGACAUGUGUGUGAUCACAGGAUUCCGCUCAUGGAGGGAGCACAACCUGUCAAUCAGCGCCCUUAUAGGCACAAACCAGAGCUAAAGAAUGAAACUGAGCGUCAGGUUAAGGAACUGCUCGAUGCUGGCAUCAUCAGAGAAAGCUCGAGUCCAUUUUCCUCGCCCGCAUUGCUUGUGAAGAAGAAAGAUGGCACAUGGAGGUUGUGCGUGCAUUACAGAUGCUUGAAUGCCAUGACAAUUGUCAGCAAGUAUCCUAUUCUGAUUAUAGAUGAGCUGCUCGAUGAGUUGGUUGGAGCGAAAUGGUUCUCUAAGCUAGACUUGCGUGCUGGGUAUCACCAGAUAAAAUUGGCAGGAGGGCAGGAGUAUAAAAAAACAUUCACAACUCAUUCAGGACACUAGGAGUACCUAGUCAUGUCAUUUGGCCUAGCUGCAGGCCCUCCAACAUUAAUCAGCGCCAUUACUUGUACUCUACGCCCCUUGCUGCAAGAGUGCGUCAUCCUCUUCUUCGAUGACAUACUGGUUUUUAGUAAAACAUUGGCAGAGCACGUAGAUCAUCUCCGUCAGGUUCUGCAGCUACUCAGGAGGGAUCAUUGGCAGGUCAAACAGUCCAAGUGUGCUUUCGGGCAAAAGAAAACGGCUUACCUAGGGCAUGCUAUCACUGAACAUGGUGUCUCAACAGAUCCAAAAAAGAUCGAGACCAUCAAAAAGUGGCAUGUUCCACGCAAUAGUAAAGAAGUGCGCAGUUUCCUCAGGUUGGCUGGCUAUUACCAGAAGUUUGUCAAGCACUUUGGCAUUAUUGCAAGGCCUCUAUUCAAUGUCUUGAAGAAGAAGCAUCCUUUUGUGUGGACAGCUGAAAACACUAAGGCAUUCGAGUUACUGCAGCAAAGUGUGAUCUCUGCACCUGUUUUGCACCUGCCGGACUUCUCCAAACAGUUUGUUAUUGACACUGAUGCAUGUGAUUAUGGAGUGGGAGAAGUACUUCAGCAAGCAGGUCAUCCAAUAGCUUAUAUGAGCAAAACGCUGGCUCCCAAAUACAGGGGUUUGUCCACCUACGAGAAGGAGUGUUUGGCUAUCCUUACGACAGUGGAGAAAUGGCGACCUUACCUACACCAUGACGAGUUUCUGAUAAGAACGGAUCAGCACAGUUUAGUACAAUUGGAUGAUCAACGACUAUCAAUAGUGUGGCAGCAGAAAGCAUUUACCAAACUCUUGGUCCCGCGCUACAAAAUUUGCUACCGGCAAGGGACCACCAACGAUGCAGUAGAUGCCUUGUGUAACGCCCGGAUAAUCAAGCUACAGUAAUCCCCUGCUAAUGAUGCCAUGUCACCAUGAUUAUUGUUUCUAAUCUUGAGUUAGUUCAAACAAUUCUAAUUCGAAUUUAAAUUUAAAGGGAAACAACAAAGGUUUUCAAAAGUUAAAACUAAAAUGUUUGAGUAGGUUUAUGCUAUGCGAUGAUACUUGGUGAACUUACCAUCUACUCUCUUCUACAUGCUGCACUUCCAAAAGCGUAGUCUUCGACAUGACUAGCUAUCCCCCUCUUAUGCUGGCAUUUUGCAGUUCAGUCCACCGAUAAUGCCCCUUUACAUAGAUACCCAUGCAUAUGUAGUGUAGAUCCUUGCUCGUGAGUACUUUGGAUGAGUACUCACGGUUGCUUUGCUCCCCCUUUCCCCCUUUCCUUUCUUCUCGAUUGUCGCAACCAGAUGCUGGAGCCUAGGAUCCAGAUGCCACCGACGACGACUCCUAUUAUGCCUACUACUACGUGCAGGCCGCUGACGAUGACCAGGAGUAGUUUAGGAGGAUCCCAGGCAGGAGGCAUGUGCCUCUUUCGAUCUGUAUCCUAGUUUGUGCUAGCCAUCUUAUGGCAACUUGUUUACUUAUGUCUGUGCUUAGAUUUUGUUGCUUCCACUGACACGUCUAUGAUCAAGCACUAGUAUUCGAGCCCUCGAGGCCCCUGGCUUGUAUUAUGAUGCUUGUAUGACUUAUCUAUGUUUUUAGAGUUGUGUUGUGAUAUUUUCCCAUGAGUCCCUGAUCUUGAUUGUACAUGGUUGCGUGCAUGAUUAGUGUAUGAUUGAAUCGGGGGCGUCACAAGUUGGUAUCAGAGCCGACUGCCUGUAGGAAUCCCCCUUUCCAACUCCUUGGCCGAAGUUGAGUCUAGUCAUUGAAUUUUUUUACUAACAUGGAUGUGCGGCUUAUGGCCACACGUCGCCAUUGGGUGGUAUUAGGAUCUUUUAUUCCUCGUCUAUACUCUGGGACUCUGAUCUCUCUUCUGUUCGGGUUAAAUGAUUUUGCUAAAAAAAACUAACUUUAGGUUCUCGAAAUACUUUCCCGGAGAGCCCCUUCAUUUCGGAUGAUCGCCUGCUGCACCAGAAGAUUCGGAAGAUACUCUACGAUGUUCUCUCGAGACUUUAUGCCAUCGCUUUUGCAAUUCCCUUCCCUCGAUAAACCCCUAUGGAUAACAACAUACACUUUCCAUUUAUACAAUCAAACCCCAUUGAUCUUGUUAUUACAAGAUACCCCAAAGUUCUCUCCAUUGUUUCAAAAAUACUUUGAGCCUACUGCCUUGCAGUUCCUUCCCACAUGAAUACCCCUACUGAUAAUUCCUUGCACUUACCGAGUAUCCACUCAUUCCCAGUUGUUCAUGUGUUUCACCAAACUCUUCAAAAUACUGUUUGAUCUUUUGAAAAUCCUCAGCAGCUUGUUGUUCUUGAAUUCUUGCUUGCUUGCAUUAUGGUUAAUCCCAUAAGUAUAUUAAUCAUAUUGGCAUCCUUUGUUACUAUCAAUUUUUGAGUCCACUGAUUCAUUAUGUUGCGAAUGUUCACAAUCAUCAGUCAAAUUCUAUAAUUAUCCUUUCGGCUCAGACACCAUUUUAAACAUGAGCUGGAUCUCGACCAAUCAAAUUGUCGUCGAUUGUACCCCUAAGCUUACUCAUCUUAUCCUUCCUUAAUCAGAGCAUUUGCUUCUGAUCCCUUGAUUUGGAAAUCAUAAUUCCUUUGAUUGUUGAGCUUUCAAUCAAUCAGUUGUUUCUAUAAUCUGAUCUCCUUGCAUUCUUUCUUCCUCUAGUUGAGUACCGAUGCUCACAUCAGAUCCCUUGAGGACCACCGGGUCCUUUGUUGGAUUUUAUCCGACAACGUCCUUCAUAAUCAAUCACUUUGGAAGUUAUUUCUCUAAUAUAUAAUGCCAUUGGUAAAUUCUAUCCUCUGAUUGGCCAACCAUGCCCUGCUUUCGAGCUGGUGAUAAUUACUCUCGAAGCUUGUAGUAUAUGUUUCUUAGAUGCCCUGAUGGGUUGAACCUAUGCCUUCCUUAAUAUGUGUGAACCCGAAAGUUUUCCAAGGUUCAUACUCCUCUGGUAAUUCACCAGGUAGAUCUUCGCACUCAAAUCAUUUUUAGUAGAGCAGCGAAUGAAAGGUUAUGCAUUGAAGAAGUGGGAGUCGACCUUGAACUUUGUGUUCAUGCCAACGGACACGAUGUGGAACUUAUCAUGAAAGCUUCUUGCAAGAAUAUUUAAUCAUUCUAAUAAUUCUUCCGGUGUCAUAAAUUGGAUCCCUUGCAGUUUAUGGUUCCGACCAUGCUAACCUUGUUCAUUAUAUCUGAAAGGAAACCAUUCCAUUGCCUCGUCUAUUAUGACAAGAUUAAAGUAUCUGCUAUUGCAAGGCAACGCUCCAGUUCAGUUUCUAUUCUGAUCUGCCUUCGAGUAUUACCCUCUGGUAUCUCGAGAAUACCAUGGAACUACAUAACUUCUUAUGAGUUUUUCAUCAACUAUUAUUCUCUCCUAUUCCAUUUUUUCAAUGGGUUCUGAGUUGUUAGAACCCCUCAAGGACACGGACAACUGAAUCGAGUCUGCACUGCAUUUCAACAACUCUUAGUAAUCUUCAUUGCUUACGAGUUUGUACUCGAUCGUAUCAUUCCCAGCUGAUUGACUACAUCAUCAUUGUCGGGCUGACUGCUUAACCAUUCUACCUAUGUCCUUCAUCCUCGGGACACAAUCCCGACAGUGCUCUAAGCUUACAUAAACUUUCACGAUCAUAUUGUUUGUCUUGAGAGACGACUCUAAAUUGUGAGAUGGCAUCUUAUCUAUGGUUAUAAUAGCCUUUUGCUUCACCAUUCCCUUGGCUUGAUGUCGUGGCCGUGCGAUUGCAUCUUCAUGGAGCCUCUCGACAAAAUUUGUCAUGAUCAUCGUCAACAUUUUGACUCUUUCUAGGGUAUCAAUCAAAUUCAUGAUGGGAAAUACCAUCCUUUCCCCUCGAUGAUUGUGUUAUCAUCGACAACAUUCUUUCCUUCCCCCAACACAAACUUGUUCAUGUUAUGGAUGCAACUUGCUAUCCGGCUUGUAUGAUGUUCUACCUUGAAGUAUUACUGUCUUUUAUGUCAAGGAUGUUGUGAGGAUUGCUCCAUCUAUUAAGAAUUCUUGGUAUAGUAAUACUUCUCACAAACACCAUUGUUUCUUGGUCCCUGUGUUGAUUCUAACUGGGAUACCAAUAAGUGAACGAUGCUACUUGGUUUCUAUACUUCUAGCAAACCUAUUGCUUUGAAGUUAGUGGUCGACAUUUCAUUCUCAGACCAUUGGUUAUUGAAUCACCAUUUUAACAUUGAUCAUGUUACCUGAGCCCAUACCUUUCAACCAAUUAUCAGUUGUAUAUGCUUUCCUCGAGCAUACAUCAAUAUAUCACUUGAUCUGACAAAUGUUAUCCCCUUAUUCACAUAAUUGUCAGAAUCCAUCUUUUUAGAAAUCUCGAUGAGUUGUCGCCAAGUCCAUCAGCCACCUCCUCAUCCUCUCCUUGAUUAAUGGUGAACUCUUGUUUCAGAACUCGCUUCCAUAUUCAAUUCCCGAGAAUCUUACAAUGUUGUCUUGACAAUUUGUGUUGCACCUUUCUUCUUAGGCAUCCCGAGUCUGAGUUAUCCUAACACCAAUCAGAUCUGAAUUUCGGUCAGAUAUGAUGGUUGGAACAUAUUUCCAAGAAUUAUAACAUUGGUCUUUAUGUGACCCGGUAAGGUGAUGUCGUGCCUAGCACACCUGGCUGGAGGCCCUAUUGUUAUAGAUUCCUUUUCAGCAAGGUUAUCCAUUCUUCCAUGAGGAAAUCGUAAGACUUAUUCUACAAGUUAUUCCUGAUGGAUCCUUUGUGUAUCCAAGGUCUGACCUUUUCUUGAAGACCUUGUCAAUGCUAUCUCGAAGCAUGUCUGUGGUACUCCGAUCUUCAAUAAGAACAUUUGAAGCACAAUGCUAAAAUUCCCUUAUCAAUUAUCCAAACACCAUUGAGUGGGUAAUGUCACGAAAUUUCUCUCCCCUUACCUUAAAGGGGUUUCUACUUUAUAUCAUGUCAUGGUUAUCAUGCUCUGCUUGUCCUUGGGAGGGAUAUACCCCUGAAAUAUGUGUUUAAACACAUUUUCAUUUCCAUUGUUUUGAUUAACCUUUCUUGUAACCUGACUUAACUAAGCAGUAAUAAUUCCGUGCUUAGGUAAGCACCUUGUUGUACCACUCUAUUAGUAAGACCCUGAUAUUAUUGUUGAUGACUUCCAGUAACCACCGAUGGACGAGAACUUUGCCUAUUGGUCUGCCUCAUUCAGCGAGUAGGAAAAUGGUUCUCUUUGUCCCUCGCCCUUGGUAUCAAUGUUGUUGCCGACAUAACUGACAGACUAUCCUCUGACAUGCUUGCUUACAUGAUCGUGUAAGACGUCAUCGCCUUCCUACUUUUAACCCACAUGAUGGGCCCAUAACCCACAGUUCCACAGGAUCGAAACCUGAAUCUCUUAUACACCCCCAUUUCCAAAGUUAUUCAUUGCGUGUCGCCUUGUAUGUAAUUCAUGAGCCACCUUCCAAGAGAUCAUCAAUUCUGGUAUCAGACACAAUACUUAUUCCCGUUGCUUUGAGCCCCCUUUCACGCCCUGUUUCAGGCAUCAAACGAUUGCCUGCCCGCUCGAAACUUCCCAUGAUACCUCCUUACUUUGAUCUUGAUAUUUUCUUAAGUUUCAAUUCGAGAGUUACUUUCUGCCACCUUCCUCGAUGUUAUCGACCAGAUAGUCAACCUUGCGGAGGUCCGUUCUCCCAUAAUACUUCCCUUUUUUUUCUCUUCUUUCGUAAGUACGAUGGAGUUUUUGAAGAAAGGAUGCUGACUUCAUCAUGAUGACAUGAAGCAGAGAAAUGGAGACCUCAACAUAAUGGAUUGACCUCCUCGAGAAGAGCAACCCAGAACGAGAAGAUCCAUUAUAAUUUCGUAACUAAUUCCUUUCCCCUUAACUCCACCUCUUAAAUCUCAGGACGAGAUUUCUUGUAGUGGAGGAGGAUUGUAACGCCCGGAUAAUCAAGCUAUAGUAAUCCCCUGCUAAUGAUGUUGUGUCACCACGGUUACUGUUGUUAAUCUCGGGUAGUUCAAAUGAUUCUAAUACGAAUUUAAAUUUAAAGGCAAACAACAAAGGUGUUCAGAAGCUAAAACUAAAAUGUUCGAGAGGUGACUUAUAAUGCAUAGGUAAUUAUGGUGAUGAAACCACAUUUUUAUAAAAGGUUUAAAUGCUCAAAGGUAAAUAAAAUAGCAGCUAAAACAAAUAUUUAAAUGCCUUUUAAAUAAUAAAAAUAUGCAAAGUAUUUUAUUAUUGCACCAAACUUUUUGUGGCAGUGUACUAAAUUGAAAUUCUAUCUUAGGAGAUGGAUUCAUAAUAAUAGAAAAUAAAUUUGAAAACAAAUCAACAAAAAAAUAGAUUAAAAACGUAUAAAACAAAAAGGCCACUCCUUCCUCAUUGGGCCUCUUGGGCGAGUCGGCUCAGCCGACCAGGCCGGCCAAGCCGUCCCUCCCCACUCGCCCGCUACAGGGGCGAAGUCGUGGCCGCACCCGAUGGCCGCCACGGUCACGGACGUCACCGUCGCAACCAUCUGGCGGUGCCCGCCGGUUCCUCGCUCGCCUAUAAAGCUGGCAUCGCCCCUCUCGUCCUCUCCUAUCCCCCCGCGCCUCUCUUUCUGUCCUAGACACGUCGGAGCCUCCCCAACACAGCAUCGCCAUGGCUGCCGUCGCCCUCGCGCUCCCCGUCGCCCACGAGCCCAGCUAGUCCAUGGAUGCCCCCGCGAUGCUCGGCUACGUCGCUUGUGCCACCGGACCGAGACGGGAGCCACCGAUGCGUCGUCCACAACGUCGUCUUCUUCCUCUGCCUCGCUGGUGAACUUCGUCGAAUUCGGCCACCAUCUGCGCUAUAAGCUAUCAUCGAGCCUCCUUGUGCUCCCUUGGUGAGCUCCGCUUCUUCCCUCUCUCUUUUCUUCGCGGAUCCGCCCACUAGCCGUAGUCUCCGCCGUGCCAUGCCUCGCCGCUUGCUCCUGCCUACGCCCUAGGACGCGCCUCUGUGCGCGAGGCCAUGCCCCGGUCGAACCACCACUCCACCAGCACCACUGGCCGCGCCUCGCACCACCGGGUCGUGCCCCUGCUCACCGUGCCCCGCUUCGCUCCGGCCGCCGCCUGCUCCGCUCGCCCGCUGUCGCUGCCUUUCUGCAGCCGCUGCAGCCACUCGCACACGCGUGCGCGCCCAUGCCUCACGUCUGUCCCGCCCUGCGCCCAGCAUGCGCGACCGCGAGCAUGCCGCCUGCUUCGCUGCUGCUUUGCUGCUCUCGCCGCCGCCUGUUGGUGUUGCCUACUGCUACUAAUUACUGUAGAUACGGCUAGCUUUGUGAAUAUUACAUCGAGUAACCCCCUCGUCUGCUCCUAAACUGCGGUUAAACAAAUGUUAACCGGGCUAAAAAAUGGAAGGUAGUACACUUGACAAGGCUCAAAUGUGUUCAUUGGACCAAAUCCAUUUGAUGCAUGGAUUAAAUCCUAUGAAAAUCUCAAAUUGCUAUCUUCUGUUAACAGAGAACAUAUUUAACCCCUAGGUGUUGUCUGUUGUGUGUGGCCGGCUUGGCCACGGCCGUGUGUGGCCGGCCCUGUGUAAUUAGUGUGUGUGUUAGGUUAGUAGUGGCACACUGCCAGGUAGCCCCCAUUGUUAGUUUAAUUACUACCUAGUCUAACAUGCAUAUGCCAGUGAGCAGCCACCGCUAAUUAGACUGAAUUAAAACAAUCUGUUUAACGCAUGAAUGUAUGCCAUAUGGGUCCAUUUUGAUCCUGUUGACCAGUCAACAUUGACUAGUCAACUGCUGAUCGGACUAGUUGACUGGGCCCCUGGCCCCCACUGUCAUACGCUUAGGCUAGCGCACUUGUGGGUAUAAAAUGUAAUCUGUCAUAUUUUGCUAUUUGAAUUAACUAGAUAAAGAAAAACUAGAAAAUGCAAUAAACUCUGAUAAAUCGUAUAAAAUAGAUCGUAUCUCGAAUGAGAAAACUUUGUACAUUAAAGUUGCUCGGAACAACGAGUCGAAUCCGAGUACACGGCCCUUUCGUCCGCCACACAUCCCUAGCAUAGCAAACACCCAACUUUUCCCCCUCAAGUUUGACUGUCUAAAAAUGCCAAACACCGGGAAUACUUUCCCGGAUGUUUCCCUCUUUUGCCGAUAUCACCUUCCCUGCGUUAGAUCACCCCUGAUACCGCGUAUUGCCUUGUUAUAGUUUGUGAUGCUUUGUUUGCUCUAUAUUUACUGUUUCUUCCCCCCUCUUAUUCUCCAGUAGACCCCGAGACCGGCGCUGAUGCCAUCGAGUACGGCUACGUCACCGACGCCCCCUCCUUGCCAGCGCAACCAGGCAAGCCCCCCUGAUCACCAGAUAUCGCCUAUUCCUUCUCUCUACUGCUUGCAUUAGAGUAGUGUAGCAUGCUACUGCUUUCGGUUAAUCCUAUUCUGCUGCAUAUCCUGUCAUUGUUGCUACAGUUGUUACCCUUACCUGCAAUCCUAAAUGCUUAGUAUAAGAUGCUAGUAUUCCAUCAGUGGCCCUACCUUCUUGUCCGUCUGCCGUGCUAUACUACCGGGCCGUGAUCACUCGGGAGGUGAUCACGGGUAUAUACUUACAUACAUACUAUAUGAUACAUGUGGUCACUAAAGUCGGGUCGGCUCGUAGAGUACCCGCAAGUGAUUCCGAUGUGGGGGCUGAAAGGAUAGGUGGUUCCAUCCCUUUAGUGGUGGGCCUAGGUUGUUGACGGCCCCCGACUGUUACUUUGUGGCGGAGCGACAGGGCAGGUUGAGACCACCUAGGUGAGAGGUGGGCCUGGACCCUGGUCGGCAUCCGCGACUACUUCUAAAUAACACACUUAACGAGAUCUUGGUAUUUGAUCUGAGUCUGGCCACUGGCCUAUACACACUAAUCAACUACGCGGAAACAGUUAUGGGCACUCGACGUCAUGGUAUCAGCCGAAGCCUUCUUGACGUCAGCGAUUGAGUGGCGCGCACUGGAUUGGACUGGAACGCCUACUCUUGUAUUAGGGAGGCUAGGUCUGCUUCGGGCCACCCUCGCAACGUGCAGGUGUGCAAUGGGCGAUGGGCCCAGACCCCUACACCAUAGGAGUUAAACCGGCGUGUUGACCUCUCUUUUGAGCCUAGGUAGGGCUGCGACGUGUUGAUCUUCCGAGGCCGGACAUGACCCAGAAAAGUGUGCCCGGCCAAAGGGAUCGAGCGUGUUGGGUAAUGUGGUGCAACCCUGCAGGGAAGUUUAUCUAUUCGAAUAGCAGUGAUCCUCGGUAACAGGACGACUCGGAGUUGUACCUUGACCUUAUGACAACUAGAAUCGGAUAUUUAAUAAAACACGCCCUUCCAGGUGCCAGAUAUAACCCGGUGAUCGCUCUCACAUAGGGUGAUGAGGGGAUGAUCGUUGGGUAGGUUUAUGCUAUGCAAUGAUACUUGGUGAACUUACCAUCUACUCUCUUCUAUAUGCUGCAAGAUGGAGGCUUCAAGAAGCGUAGUCUUCGACGGGACUAGCUAUCCCCCUCUUAUGCUGGCAUUCUGCAGUUCAGUCCAUCAAUAAUGCCCCUUUACACAGAUACCCAUGCAUAUGUAGUGUAGAUCCUUGCUUGCGAGUACUUUGGAUGAGUACUCAUGGUUGCUUUGCUCCCCCUUUUCCCCCUUUCCUUUCUUCUCGGUUGUCGCAACCAGAUGCUGGAUCCUAGGAGCCAGACACCACCGACAACUACGACUCCUGCUACACUAGAGGUGCCUACUACUACGUGCAGGCCGCUGACGACGACCUGGAGUAGUUUAUGAAGAAAAUAUGCCAUAGAGGCAAUAAUAAAGUUAUUAUUUAUUUCCUCAUAUCAUGAUAAAUGUCUAUUAUUCAUGCUAUAAUUGUAUUAACCGAAAACAUGAUACAUGUGUGAAUACAUAGACAAACUUAAUGUCACUAGUAUGACUCUACUUGACUAGCUCAUUAAUCAAAGAUGGUUAUGUUUCCUAACCAUAGACAUGUGUUGUCAUUUGAUUAACGGGAUCACAUCAUUAGGAGAAUGAUGUGAUUGACUUGACCCAUUCCGUUAGCUUAGCACUUGAUCGUUUAGUAUGUUGCUAUUGCUUUCUUCAUGACUUAUAGAAGUUCCUAUAACUAUGAGAUUAUGCAACUCCCGUUUGCCGGAGGAACACUUUGUGUGCUACCAAACGUCACAACCUAACUGGGUGAUUAUAAAGGAGCUCUUCAGGUGUCACCAAAGGUACAUGUUGAGUUGGCGUAUUUCAAGAUUAGGUUUUGUCACUCCGAUUGUCGGGGAGGUAUCUCUAGGCCCUCUCGGUAAUGCACAUCACUAUAAGCCUUGCAAGCAAUGUAGCUAAUGAGUUAGUUACGGAAUGAUGCAUUACAUAAUGAGUAAAGAGACUUGCCAGUAACGAGAUUGAACUAGGUAUUGGAUACCGACGAUCGAAUCUCGGGCAAGUAACAUACCGAUGACAAAGGGAACAACGUAUGUUGUUAUGCGGUUUGACCGAUAAAGAUCUUCGUAGAAUAUGUAGGAGCCAAUAUGAGCAUCCAGGUUCCGCUAUUGGUUAUUGACCAGAAACAUGUUUCAGUCAUGUCUACAUAGUUCUCGAACCUGUAGGGUUUGCACGCUUAAGGUUUCGAUGACAGUUAUAUUAUGAGUUUAUGAGUUUUGAUGUAUAGAAGUUUGUUCGGAGUCCCGGAUGAGAUUAUGGACAUGACGAGGAGUCUCGAAAUGGCCGAGACAUGAAGAUUGAUAUAUUGGAAGCCUAUAUUUGGAUAUCGGAAGUGUUCCGGGUGAAAUCGGGAUUUUACCAGAGUACCGGGAGGUUACCGGAACCCCCCGGAGGCUUAAUGGGCCUACAUGGGCCCUAGUGGAGAGGAAGAGAGGAGGCAAGGGCUGGGCCGCGCCCCCUCCCCCCUAGUCCGAAUAGGAUAAGGAGAGGGGGGCGGCGCCCCCCCUUUCCUUCCUCUCUCCCUCCUCCUUCCCCCCUUCUCGUACUCCAACUAGGAAAGAAGGGAGUCCUACUCCCGGUGGGAGUAGGACUCCCCCUUGGUGCGCCCUCCUUGGCCGGCUGCCCCCUCCUCCUUGGCUAUUAUAUACAGGGGCAGGGGGGCACCUCUAGGCACAACAAUUGAUCUCUUGAUCUCUUAGCCGUGUGCGGUGACCCCCUCCACCAUAGUCCUUGAUAAUAUUGUAGCGGUGCUUAGGGGAAGCCCUGCGACGGUAGAACAUAAAGAUCAUCACCAUGUCUGUCGUGCCGACGGAACUCUUCCCCGACAUUCUGCUGGAUCGGAGUCCGGGGAUCGUCAUCGAGCUGAACGUGUGCUAGAACUCGGAGGUGCCGUAGUUUUGGUGCUUGAUCGGUCGGGCCAUGAAGAUGUACGACUACAUCAACCACGUUGUUCUAAUGCUUCCGCUUUCGGUCUACGAGGGUAUGUGGAAAACACUCUCCCCUCUCGUUGCUAUGCAUCACCAUGAUCUUGCGUGUGCUUAGGAAAAUUUUGAAAUUACUACGUUCCCCAACAGUGGCAUCCGAGCCAGGUUUUAUGCGUAGAUGUCAUAUGCACGAGUAGAACACAAGUGAGUUGUGGGCGAUAUAAGUCAUACUGCUUACCAGCAUGUCAUACUUUGGUUAGGCGGCAUUGUGAGAUGAAGCGGCCUGGACCAACAUUACGCGUACGCUUACGCGAGACUGGUUUCACCGCUACGAGCACUCGUUGCUUAAAGGUGACCGGCGAGUGUCUAUCUCUCUCACUUUACUUGAACCGAGUGUGGCUAUGCCCGGUCUUUGCAAAGGUUAAAACAACAUCAACUUGACAAACUAUCGUUGUGGUUUUGAUGCGUAGGUAAGAACGGUUCUUGCUAAGCCCGUAGCAGCCACGUAAAAUUUGCAACAACAAAGUAGAGGACGUCUAACUUGUUUUUGCAGGGCAUGUUGUGAUGUGAUAUGGUCAAGACGUGAUGCUAUAUUUUAUUGUAUGAGAUGAUCAUGUUUUGUAACCGAGUUAUCGGCAACUGGCAGGAGCCAUAUGGUUGUUGCUUUAUUGUAUGAAAUGCAAACGCCAUGUAAUUGCUUUACUUUAUCACUAAGCGGUAGCGAUAGUCGUAGAAGCAAUAGAUGGCGUAAAGAUAAAUAUGCUACGAUGGAGAUCAAGGUGUCGCGCCGGUGAUGAUGGUGAUCAUGACGGUGCUUCGGAGAUGGAGAUCACAAGCACAAGAUGAUGAUGGCCAUAUCAUAUCACUUAUAUUGAUUGCAUGUGAUGUUUAUCAUUUAUGCAUCUUAUCUUGCUUUGAUUGACGGUAGAAUUUUAAGAUGAUCUCUCACUAAAUUAUCAAUAAGUGUUCUCCCUGAGUAUGCAAUGUUGCGAAAGUUCUUCGUGCUGAGACACCACAUGAUGAUCAGGUGUGAUAGGCUCUACGUUCAAAUACAACGGGUGCAAAACAGUUGCACACGCGGAAUACUCAGGUUAAACUUGACGAGCCUAGCAUAUACAGAUAUGGCCUUGGAACACGGAGACCGAAAGGUUGAAUGUGAAUCAUAUAGUAGAUAUGAUCAACAUAGUGAUGUUCACCAUUGAAACUACUCCAUCUCACGUGAUGAUCGGACAUGGUUUAGUUAAUUUGGAUCACGUGAUCACUUAGAUGACUAGAGAGAUGUCUGUCUAAGUGGGAGUUCUUAAGUAAUAUGAUUAAUUGAACUUAAAUUUAUCAUGAACUUAGUACCUGAUAGUAUUUUGCUUGUCUAUGUGUGUUGUAGAUAGAUGGCUCAUGGUGUUGUUCCGUUGAAUUUUAAUGAGUUCCUUGAGAAAGCUAAGUUGAAAGAUGAUGGUAGCAAUUACACGGACUGGGUCCAUAACCUGAGGAUUAUCCUCAUUGCUGCACAAAAGAAUUACGUCCUAGAAGCACCGCUGGGUGCCAGGCCUGCUAUAGAUGCAACUGAUGACGUUAAGAACGUCUGGCAGAGCAAAGCUGAUGACUACUCGAUAGUUUAGUGUGCCAUGCUUUACGGCUUGGAACCGGGUCUUCAACGACGUUUUGAACAUCAUGGAGCAUAUGAGAUGUUUCAGGAGUUGAAGUUAAUAUUUCAAGCAAAUGCCCGGAUUGAGAGAUAUGAAGUCUCCAAUAAGUUCUAUAGCUGUAAGAUGGAGGAGAAUAGUUCUGUCAGUGAACAUAUACUCAAAAUGUCUGGGUAUAGUAAUCACUUGAUUCAACUGAGAGUUAAUCUUCCUGAUGAUAGUGUCAUUGACAGAAUUCUUCAAUCACUGCCACCAAGCUACAAGAGCUUCGUGAUGAACUAUAAUAUGCAAGGGAUGGACAAGACUAUUCCCGAGCUCUUCGCAAUGCUAAAAGCUGCGGAGGUAGAAAUCAAGAAGGAGCAUCAAGUGUUGAUGGUCAAUAAGACCACCAGUCUCAAGAAGAAGGGCAAAGGGAAGAAGAAGGGGAACUUAUGGAAGAACAGCAAGCAAGUUGCUGCUCAAGAGAAGAAACCCAAAUCUGGACCUAAGCCUGAGACUGAGUGCUUCUACUGCAAGCAGAAUGGACACUGGAAGAGGAACUGCCCCAAGUAUUUGGCGGAUAAGAAGGAUGGGAAGGCGAACAAAGGUAUAUGUGAUAUACAUGUUAUUGAUGUGUACCUUACUAAUGCUCGCAGUAGCACCUGGGUAUUUGAUACUGGUUCUGUUGCUAAUAUUUGCAACUCGAAACAGGGACUACAGAUUAAGCGAAGAUUGGCUAAGGACGAGGUGACGAUGCGCGUGGGAAAUGGUUCCAAAGUCGAUGUGAUCGCGGUCGGCACGCUACCUCUGCAUCUACCAUCGGGAUUAGUUUUAGACCUAAAUAAUUGUUAUUUGGUGCCAGCGUUAAGCAUGAACAUUAUAUCUGGAUCUUGUUUGAUGCGAGACGGUUAUUCAUUUAAAUCAGAGAAUAAUGGUUGUUCUAUUUAUAUGAGUAAUAUCUUUUAUGGUCAUGCACCCUUGAAGAGUGGUCUAUUUUUAUUAAAUCUCGAUAGUAGUGAUACACAUAUUCAUGAUGCAGAGUUGAUAAUGAUAGUGCAACUUAUUUGUGGCACUACCGUUUGGGUCAUAUCGGUGUAAAGCGCAUGAAGAAACUCCAUACUGAUGGACUUCUGGAAUCACUUGAUUAUGAAUCACUUGGUACUUGCGAACCGUGCCUCAUGGGUAAGAUGACUAAAACGCCAUUCUUCGGAACUAUGGAGUGAGCAACUGAUUUGUUAGAAAUCAUGCAUACUGAUGUAUGUGGUCCAAUGAAUAUUGAGGCUCGCGGCGGAUAUCGUUAUUUUCUCACCUUCACAGAUGAUUUGAGCAGAUAUGGGUAUAUCUACUUGAUGAAACACAAGUCUGAAACAUUUGAAAAGUUCAAAGAAUUUCAGAGUGAAGUGGAAAAUCAUCGUAACAAGAAAAUAAAAUUUCUACGAUCUGAUCGUGGAGGAGAAUAUUUGAGUUAUGAGUUUGGUUUACAUUUGAAGCAAUGCGGAAUAGUUUCGCAACUCACGCCACCCGGAACACCACAACGAAAUGGUGUGUCCGAAUGUCGUAAUCAUACUUUACUAGAUAUGGUGCGAUCUAUGAUGUCUCUUACUGAUUUACCGCUAUCAUUUUGGGGUUAUGCUUUAGAGACGGUCGCAUUCACGUUAAAUAGGGCACCAUCAAAAUCCGUUGAGACGACGCCUUAUGAACUGUGGUUUGGCAAGAAACCAAAGUUGUCAUUUCUUAAAGUUUGGGGCUGCGAUGCUUAUGUGAAGAAACUUCAGCCAGAUAAGCUCGAACCCAAAUCGGAGAAAUGUGUCUUCAUAGGAUACCCAAAAGAGACUAUUGGGUACACCUUCUAUCACAGAUCUCAGGGCAAGAUUUUUGUUGCUAAAUUCGGGUCCUUUCUAGAGAAGGAGUUUCUCUUGAAAUAAGUGAGUGGGAGGAAAGUAGAACUUGAUGAGGUAACUGUACCUUCUCCCUUAUUGGAAGGUAGUUCAUCACAAGAACCGGUUCAUGUGACAACUACACCAAUCAGUGAGGAAGCUAAUGAUAUUGGUCAUGAAACUUCAUAUCAAGUUACUACCGAACCUCGUAGGUCUACCAGAGUAAGAUCUGCACCAGAGUGGUACGGUAAUCCUAUUCUGGAAGUCAUGUUACUUCACCAUGGCGAACCUACGAACUAUGAGGAAGCGAUGAUGAGCCCAGAUUCCGCAAAAUGGCUUGAGGCCAUGAAAUCUGAGAUGGGAUCCAUAUAUGAGAACAAAGUAUGGACUUUGGUUGACUUGCCCGAUGAUCGGCAAGCCAUCGAGAAUAAAUGGAUCUUCAAGAAGAAGACCGACGCUGAUGGUAAUGUAACUGUCUACAAAGCUCAACUUGUUGCGAAAGGUUUUCGACAAGUUCAAGGGGUUGACUACGAUGAGACUUUCUCACCCGUAGCGAUGCUUAAGUCUGUCUGAAUCAUGUUAGUAAUUGCUGCAUUUUAUUGUUAUGAAGUUUGGCAAAUGGAUGUAAAACUGCAUUCCUGAAUGGAUUUCUGGAAGAAGAGUUGUGUAUGAUGCAGCCGGAAGGUUUUAUCGAUCCAAAAGGUGCUAACAAAGUGUGCAAGCUCCAGCGAUCCAUUUAUGGACUGGUGCAAGCAUCUCGGAGUUGGAAUAAACGCUUUGAUAGUGUGAUCAAAGCAUAUGGUUUUAUACAGACUUUUGGAGAAGCCUGUAUUUACAAGAAAGUGAGUGGGAGCUCUGUAGCAUUUCUAAUAUUAUAUGUAGAUGACAUAUUGUUAAUUGGAAAUGAUAUAGAAUUUCUGGAUAGCAUAAAGGGAUACUUGAAUAAAGUUUUUCGAUGAAAGACCUCGGUGAAGCUGCUUACAUAUUGGGCAUCAAGAUCUAUAGAGAUAGAUCAAGACGCUUAAUUGGACUUUCACAAAGCACAUACCUUGAUAAAGUUUUGAAAAAGUUCAAAAUGGAUCAGGCAAAGAAAGGGUUCUUGCCUGUAUUACAAGGUGUGAAGUUGAGUCAGACUCAAUGCCCGACCACAGCAGAAGAUAGAUAAAAAAUGAAAGAUGUUCCCUAUGCUUCAGCCAUAGGCUCUAUCAUGUAUGCAAUGUUGUGUACCAGACCUGAUGUAUGCUUAGCAAUAAGUUUAGCAGGGAGGUACCAAAGUAAUCCAGGAGUGGAUCACUGGACAACGGUAAAGAAUAUCUUGAAAUACCUGAAAAGGACUAAGGAUAUGUUUCUCGUUUAAGGAGGUGACAAAGAGCUAGUCGUAAAUGGUUACGUCGAUGCAAGCUUUGACACUGAUCCGGACGAUUCUAAAUCGCAAACCGGAUACGUGUUUAUAUUGAACGGUGGAGCUGUCAAUUGGUGCAGUUCUAAACAAAGUGUCGUGACGGGAUCUACAUGCGAAGCAGAGUACAUAGUUGUUUCGGAAGCAGCAAAUGAAGGAGUCUGGAUGAAAGAGUUCAUUUCCGAUCUAGGUGUCAUACCUAGUGCAUCGGGACCAAUGAAGAUCUUCUGUGACAAUACUGGUGCAAUUGCCUUGGCAAAGGAAUCCAGAUUUCACAAGAGGACCAAGCACAUCAAGAGACGCUUCAAUUCCAUCCGGGACCAAGUCCAGGUGGGAGACAUAGAGAUUUGCAAGAUACAUACGGAUAUGAAUGUUGCAGACCCGUUGACUAAGCCACUUCCACGAGCAAAACAUGAUCAGCACCAAGACUCCAUGGGUGUUAGAAUCAUUACUGUAUAAUCUAGAUUAUUGACUCUAGUGCAAGUGGGAGACUGAAGGAAAUAUACCCUAGAGGCAAUAAUAAAGUUAUUAUUUAUUUCCUCAUAUCAUGAUAAAUGUCUAUUAUUCAUGCUAUAAUUGUAUUAACCGGAAACAUGAUACAUGUGUGAAUACAUAGACAAACUUAAUGUCACUAGUAUGCCUCUACUUGACUAGCUCAUUAAUCAAAGAUGGUUAUGUUUCCUAACCAUAGACAUGUGUUGUCAUUUGAUUAACGGGAUCACAUCAUUAGGAGAAUGAUGUGAUUGACUUGACCCAUUCCGUUAGCUUAGCACUUGAUCGUUUAGUAUGUUGCUAUUGCUUUCUUCAUGACUUAUACAAGUUCCUAUAACUAUGAGAUUAUGAAACUCCUGUUUGCCGGAGGAACACUUUGUGUGCUACCAAACGUCACAACGUAAUUUGGUGAUUAUAAAGGAGCUCUAUAGGUGUCACCAAAGGUACAUGUUGAGUUGGCGUAUUUCGAGAUUAGGUUUUGUCACUCCGAUUGUCGGAGAGGUAUCUCUGGGCCCUCUCGGUAAUGCACAUCACUAUAAUCCUUGCAAGCAAUGUAGCUAAUGAGUUAAUUAUGGAAUGAAGCAUUACGUAACGAGUAAAGAGACUUGCCAGUAACGAGAUUGAACUAGGUAUUGGAUACCGACGAUCGAGCAAGUAACAUACCGAUGACAAAGGGAACAAUGUAUGUUGUUAUGCGGUUUGACCGAUAAAGAUCUUCGUAGAAUAUGUAGGAGCCAAUAUGAGCAUCCAUGUUCCACUAUUGGUUAUUGACCGGAAACAUGUUUCAGUCAUGUCUACAUAGUUCUCGAACCCAUAGGGUCCGCACGCUUAAGGUUUAGAUGACAAUUAUAUUAUGAGUUUAUGAGUUUUGAUGUACCGAAGUUUGUUCGGAGUCCCGGAUGAGAUUAUGGACAUGACGAGGAGUCUCGAAAUGGUCGAGACAUGAAUAUUGAUAUAUUGGAAGCCUAUAUUUGGAUAUCGGAAGUGUUCCCGGUGAAAUCGGGAUUUUACCGGAGUACCGGGAGGUUACGGGAACCCCCCGGAGGCUUAAUGGGCCUACAUGGGCCCUAGUGGAGAGGAAGAGAGGAGGCAAGGGCUGGGCCGCGCCCCCUCCCCCCCCCCUAGUCUGAAUAGGACAAGGAGAGGGGUGCGGCGCCCCCUUUCCUUCCUCUCUCCCUCCUCCUUCCCCCCUUCUCCUACUCCAACUAGGAAAGAAAAGAGUCCUACUCCCGGUGGGAGUUGGACUCCCCCUUGGCGCGCCCUCCUUGGCCGGCUGCCCCCUCCUCCUUGGCUCCUUUAUAUACAGGGGCAGGGGGGCACCUCUAGGCACAACAAUUGAUCUCUUGAUCUCUUAGACGUGUGCGGUGCCCCCUCCACCAUAGUCCUCGAUAAUAUUGUAGCGGUGCUUAGGCGAAGCCCUACGACGGUAGAACAUCAAGAUCGUCACCACGCCGUCGUGCUGACGGAACUCUUCCUCGACAUUCUGCUAGAUCGGAGUCCGUGGAUCGUCAUCGAGCUGAACGUGUGCUAGAACUCAGAGGUGCCAUAGUUUCGGUGCUUGAUCGGUCGGGCCAUGAAGACGCACGACUACAUCAACCGCGUUGUUCUAACGCUUCUGCUUUCGGUCUACGAGGGUACGUGGACAACACUCUCCCCUCUCGUUGCUAUGCAUCACCAUGAUCUUGCGUGUGCGUAGGAAAAUUUUGAAAUUACUACGUUCCCCAACAGUUUAGGAGGAUCAUAGGCAGGAGGCCUGCCUCUUUCGAUCUGUAUCCCAGUUUGUGCUAGCCAUCUUAUGGAAACUUGUUUACUUAUGUUUGUGCUCAGAUUUUGUUGCUUCCGCUUACUCGUCUAUGAUCGAGCACUAGUAUUCAAACCCUCGAGGUCCCUGGCUUGUAUUAUGAUGCUUGUAUGACUUAUUUUUGUUUUUAGAGUUGUGUUGUGAUAUCUUCUCGUGAGUCCCUAAUCUUGAUCAUACACGGUUGCGUGCAUGAUUAGUGUACGAUUGAAUCGGGGGUGUCACACCUUGUCAUGUCGGCAUCAUGAGCACGACCAAUCGUUGGCGAUCUCAGUCUGCCACCCUACUUGGAUCGAUGAUAUCCGAGCUAGCUAUUCAGAUAACCCGCAAGCCAAUAGACUGCUCGAGCAAUUCUCUCAACAUGCAGACCCGAAGGGGCGUUUCUCUGUUUCUGACGUACUGUUGUAUUUCCGACAACGACUAUGGCUGGGGGGCUCGCCCUCGCUUCAGCAAACUAUGUUGCGUGCUUUCCACGAUAGCACUAUGGGUGGUCAUUCGGGCUUCCCAGUGACAUAUCGACGUCUUUGUAGGCUAUUCGCUUGGCCAAAAAUGAAGCAAGCCAUCCGUCAAUAUGUGCAGGGGUGUGCGACUUGUCAACAAGCCAAGCCCGAAAGGAUUAAGUACCCGGGUUUGCUGAACCAAUUCCACUUCCAUAUGGGGCCUGGCAAGUGGUGACAAUGGAUUUCAUUGAUGGUCUCCCUCAAUCCGGCAAGUCUAAUUGCAUUCUGGUGGUGGUGGACAAGUUCACACGCUACGCCCAUUUUCUGCCCCUUCAACACCCAUUCACUGCAGCCAGAGUCGCACGAGCAUAUCUGGACAAUGUUCACAAACUUCAUGGCCUGCCCAAGCCAUCAUCUCGGAUAGAGACCCGGUGUCACAAGUAAGUUUUGGCGCGAACUGUUUGACUGCAUUGGUUCUGAACUAAAGAUGAGCACACCUUACCACCCGCAAACAGAUGGGCAAUCGGAAAGAGUUCAUCAAUGUUUGGAAAUAUAUUUGCGUUGCUUCAUCCAUGCGUGUCCCAAUCACAAGAGCCACUUCCUUUCAUUAGUUGAGUUCUGGUACAAUUCAAGCUACAACUCUGCAUUGGAUAUGUCACUGUUUCAAGCUCUUGUAUGGACAUGAGCCAAGGCAUUGGGGGAUCGAAGCAGCGUCUGUUUGCAAAAUACCAGCUCUAAAGGACUGGCUUGAAGAACGAAAGACGAUGCAACAAGUUCUGCAGCAGCAUCUGCAUCGAGCACGCCACAUUAUGAAAGUCCAAGAUGACAAUAAAAGAUCUGACAGGGUGUUCAAAGUGGGUGACACCAUUUUCGUCAAGCUGCAACCAUAUGUCCAAUCUUCAGUCCAUCGCCGGGCAAACCACAAACUCGCUUUCAGGUACUUUGGGCCGUUCAUGGUGACCCGCAAAAUCAACCCGGUGGCGUACGAACUAGAGCUGCCACCAGAGUCACGCAUACACCUGGUUUUCCAUGUCUCUCAAUUAAGGCAAGCACUCUCAACAUGUACCUUUGCAUCUGCUUCCCUGCCGGUUCCUCGCUCCUUUGAACUAUCUCCGGUUGAACUUUUGGACAAACGCUGGCGGCAAACACCUGAUGGCCGCUGAGAGCAGUAUUUGGUGCGCUGGUCGGAUUCGGAAGUUUUGGACGCUUCAUGGGAAGAUGCUCUCACUCUCAAGGCUUGAUAUCCGGCUGGGGCAGCUUGGGGACAAGCAUGCUCUCAAGGAGUAGGGGAUAUCAGCGACCCAAAUACAGUUACAGUCUCAGGUGACAGGCUUGCUGCCAAAUCAGCAAGGGGAAACAGCAUGGCCGAGGAAAAGGCAACAUACCAUCAAUCAGGGAUAAGGGCGCGUCACCUCCAGGCCACCUCGGAUCAAACAACCUAACCACAGGUACGUGGGGCCAGAGUGGGUGAGCUCUACAUAAUGGACCAGUCGCGAGGGAAUCGUCAUCCGGUAGGAUCAGGCAAUCGGCAAGGCAUGACACGGCUCCUGUAUUUUCUUGCUUUCUUUCUUCCUCCCAAAGACAAAGUGUAUUCCUAUAAGCUACUUGUGAGUGAUAAGUACCAGAUCAGAGAUCCAUUGCCUAACACACCGGUAGCUCCCACCACCGGUAAAAAACACUUUGCAAUGGCCGAAGCUCACCCUGCCGAGCAUUGAUGUCUACUACACAACCUUCUUCUUGUAGACGUUGUUGGGCCUUCAAGUGCACAGGUUUGUAGGAUAGUAGCAAAUUUCCCUCAAGUGGAUGACCUAAGGUUUAUCAAUUCGUGGGAGGCGUAGGAUGAAGAUGGUAUCUCUCAAACAACCCUGCAACCAAAUAACAAAGAGUCUCUUAUGUCCCCAACACACCCAAUACAAUGGUAAAUUGUAUAGGUGCACUAGUUCGGCGAAGAGAUGGUGAUACAAGUGCAAUAUGGAUAGUAGAUAUGGGUAUUUGUAAUCUGAAAAUGUAAAAACAGCAAGGUAACUAAUGAUAAAAGUGAGCAUAAACGGUAUUGCAAUGCUAGGAAACAAGUACUAGGGUUCAUACUUUCACUAGUGCAAGUUAUCUCAACAACAAUAACAUAGAUAGAUCAUAUAACAAUCCCUCAACAUGCAACAAAGAGUCACUCCAAAGCCACUAAUAGCGGAGAACAAACAAAGAGAUUAUGGUAGGGCACGAAACCACCUCAAAGUUAUUCUUUCGGAUCAAUCUGUUCAAGAGUUCGUACCAGAAUAACACCUUAAGACACAAAUCAACUAAAACCCUAAUGUCAGCUAGAUACUCCAUUGUCACCUCAAGUAUCCGUGGGCAUGAUUAUACGAUAUGCAUCACACAAUCUCAGAUUCAUCUAUUCAACCAACACAAAGUACUUCAAAGAGUGCCCCAAAGUUUCUACCGAAGAGUCAAGAUGAAAACGUGUGUCAACCCCUAUGCAUAGGUUCAUGGGCGGAACCCGCAAGUUGAUCACCAAAACAUACAUCAAGUGGCACAUGAUAUCCCAUUGUCACCACAGAUAAUCACGGCAAGACAUACAUCAAGUGUUCUUAAAUCAUUAAAUACUCAAUCCGAUAAGAUAACUUCAAGAGGAAAACUCAAUUCAUCACAAGAGAGUAGAGGGGGAGAAACAUCAUAAGAUCCAACUAUAAUAGCAAAGCUCACGAUACAUCAAGAUCGUGCCAUAGAGCGAACACGAGAGAGAGAGAGAGAGAGAGAGGGAGAGAGAGAUCAAACACAUAGCUACUGGUACAUACCCUCAGCCCCGAGGGUGAACUACUCCAUCCUCGUCAUGGAGAGCACCGGGAUGAUGAAGAUGGCCACCAGUGAUGGGUUCCCCCUCCGGCAGGGUGCCGAAACGGGCUCCCAAGAGGUUUUUGGUGGCUACGGAGGCUUGCGGCGGUGGAACUCCCGAUCUUUAUUGAUAUUGAUGUUUUUAGGGUACGUAGGCUUAUAUAGGCGAAAGAAGUCGGUCGGGGGAGCCUCGAGGGGCCCACGAGAGGGUAGGGCGCGCCCAGGGGGUGGGCGUGCCCCCCUAUCUCGUGGCUUCCUUGAUGCUCCCUUUACUUCAACUCCAAGUCUCCUGGGUCAUAAUCUUCCCAAAAAUCACGCUGCCGAAGGUUUCAUUCCGUUUGGACUCCGUUUGAUAUUCCUUUUCUUCGAGAUACUAAAACAGGCAAUAAAACAACAAUAUGGGCUGGGCCUCUGGUUAAUAGGUUAGUCCCAAAAGUAAUAUGAAAGUGUAUAAUAAAGCCCGUAAUCAUUCAAAACAGAUAAUAAAAUAGCAUGAAUGCUUCAUAAAUUAUAGAUACGUUGGAGAUGUAUCAGCAUCCCCAAGCUUAAUUCCUGCUCGUCCUCGAGUAGGUAAAUGAUAAAAGAAAGAAUUUAUGAAGUGUGAAUUCUAGAAGGUGCACAAGUUUGAUCAAUGAUAAUUUCAAUCACCUUUUCUAGCAUGAUAAUAUGUCAUAACAGUAGUUCAUCUCAUAAAACUUCUCACGAACAAGUAACAAGCUAUUCACAUGUUAAAACAUAGACCAUAAACUUUCUUGAAAACUAGCAAACUUCAUUCUCAGUCAUCAAACAAUUGCAAUUCAUCUUAUUUUCAGGAAUAGCAAACUCCACAUACUCAACUAUCAUAUAGUCUUCUACAAUUGCUAACACUCACGCAAUACUAAUGGUUAUGGAGUUUCAAUCGGACACUGAGAAAGAUAGGGGCUUAUAGUGUUGCCUCCCAACGUAUUCACCUUUGGGUGAUGUCAACAAUAAUAGUUCAUGCUAACUUACAUCCAAUUGGAUGUACAUAUCAGGAUCUUCCCAACACGAGGUGCUUGCCAAAGGAUAAAAUGAAAAGGGGAAAGGUGAAGAUCACCUUGACUCUUGCAUAAAAGUAAAAGACAUAAAGUAAAAGAUAGGCCCUUCGCAGAGGGAAGCAGAGGUUGUCAUGCGCUUUUAGGGUUGGAUGCACAAAAUAUGAAUGCGAAUGAACGUCACUUUAUAUUGCCACUUGUAUAUGGACCUUUACUAUGCAGUUCGUCGCUUUUAUUGCUUCCAUAACAAGAUCGUAUAAAGCUAUUUUCUUCACACCAAAAGAUCAUACAUAUUUAGAGAGCAAUUUUUAUUGCUUGCACCGAUGACAACUUACUUGAAGGAUCUUACUCAAUCCAUAGGUAGGUAUGGUGGACUCUCAUGGCAAAAUUGAGUUUAAGGAUAUUUGGAAGCACAAGUAGUAUCUCUACUUGGUGCAAGGAAUUUUGGCUAGCAUGAGGGGGAAAGGCAAGUUCAACGUGUUUGAAUGAUCCAUGACAAUAUACUUUAACUGAGAUGUGAGAAAACAUAACCCAUUACGUUGUCUUCCUUGUCCAACAUCAACUCUUUAGCAUGUCAUACUUAAUGAGUGCUCCCAAUUAUAAACUAUGUCUAGGAUAGUGUAUUUAUAUGUGAAAUUUCUCUUCCAUCAAUAUUCUUUCAUGAAUUGUUCAAAUGACCAAUACAAUGCUUGCUAACCUUCAAUGAAUUUACAACCUCUACUUCUUAGUGUGAAGUCAUUACUCCCCAUGGGAUAAGCAAACGAGACAUAUAUAAUUUCAGAUUUAUGACAAUCAACUCAUUCAACCAUUUACUCAUAGGAUAUAAGUGAAGCACAUGAGUAAAUGACAAACUACUCCAAAAAGAUAUAAGUGAAGAUCAAUGAGUAGCUAAAUAAUUGUGUAACUAUGUGAAGACUCUCUCUCAUUAAAGAAUUUCAGAUCUUGGUAUCGUAUUCAAACAGCAAGCAAGGCAAAACAAAAUGACAUUGCAAGGAUAGCACAACUCAUGUGAAGAAGCAAAAACUUAGGUUCAACCGAUACUAACCGAUAGUUGUUGAAGAAGAAAGGCGGGAUGCCCACCGGGGCAUCCCCAAGCUUAGAUGCUUGAGACUUCUUGAAAUAUUAUUUUGGGGUGCCUUGGGCAUCCCCAAGCUUGAAUUUUUGUGUCUCCUUAAUUCCUUUCAUAUCAUGAUUUCUCUUUUUAUCAAAAGCUUCAUCCACACCAAACUCAACAAGAACUCGUGAGAUAGGUUAGUAUAAACCAAUGCAAAACCUUAUCAUUUUCUACUGUAAUAAAUCACUAAAAUUAUUAUUCAACAUUGCAUACUAAAUGCCUCUGCAUAUUUAAUACUCCUAUCCUCAAAUAGAAUCAUUAAACAAGCAAACAUAUGCAAACAAUGCAAACAUAACAGCAAUCUGCCAAAAUAGUACAGUCUGUAAAGAAUGCAAGAUUCAUUAUACUUCCCUAACUCCAAAAAUUAUGAGAUAAAAUUACCACUAUAAUAAAUUUAUCAGAGCUCAAAAUGCAAAAAGUUUCAACAUUAUACCAUUCUCUGACUUUUCUAGGGAAUUUCUGCAACAGCGGUAAACUUUCUGUUUUCAAACAGCAACAUGUAUACUAGCAAAAUAAGCAUGGUAAAGGCUAUCCUUGACAUUUUUAUUGAAAAUAAAGAUGCAAAACAUUAUUCCAAAUAACAGCAAGAAAAUACUAACAAAAGAAAAUGACGCUCCAAGCAAAACACAUAUCAUAUGGCGAAUAAAAAUAUAGUUCCAAAUAAAGUUACCGAUGAACAAAGACGAAAGAGGGGGUGCCUUCCGGGGCAUCCCCAAGCUUAGACUCUUGGUUGUCCUUGAAUAUUAUCUUGGGGUGCCUUGGGCAUCCCCAAGCUUAGGCUCUUGCCACUUCUUAUUCCAUAAUCCAUCGAAUCUUUACCCAAAACUUGAAAACUUCACAACACAAAACUCAACAGAAAACUCGUAAGCUCCGUUAGUAUAAGAAAAUAAAACCAUCACUUAGGUACUGUAGUGAACUCAUUAUAAAUUCAUAUUUGUGUAAUAUCUACUGUACUCCAACUUAUCUAUGGUUCAUACCCUCCGAUACUACUCAUAGAUUCAUCAAAAUAAGCAAACAACACAUAGAAAACAGAAUCUGUCAAAAACAGAAUAGUCUGUAGUAAUCUGUAUCAAACGUAUACUUAUGGAACUCCACAAAUUCUACAAAAUUAGGAAGUUCUAAGAAAUUUGUGUACCAAUCCAUAGCAAAAAGAAUCAUAUCAGCAGCACGUUUCUGUGAAUUAAGAAAACUAAUUUACUGGGUGCAAAGGUUUCUGAUUCUCAGCAGGAUCAACACAACUAUCACCGUAAGCUAUCAUAAAGGUCUUACUUGACACUUUAUUGAAACAAAAGCUAAAACAUGAUUACUACAGUAGCAUAAUCAUGUGGACACACAAAAACAAUAAGGAUAAGUAUUGGGUUGUCUCCCAACAAGCGUUUUUCUUUAAUGCCUUUCUAGCUAGGCAUGAUGAUGGCAAUGAUGCUCACAUAAAAGAUAAGAAUUGAAACAUAGCAGGAGCAUCAUGAAGCAUAUGACUAGAACAUUUAAGUCUAACCCACUUCCUAUGCAUAGGGAUUUUGUGAGCAAACAACUUAUGGGAACAAUAAUCAACAAGCAUAGGAAGGCAAAACAAGCAUAACUUCAAGAUUUUUAAGCACAUAGAGAGGAAACUUGGCAUUAUUGCAAUUCCUACAAGCAUAUAUUCCUCCCUCAUAAUAAUUUUCAGUAGCAUCAUGAAUGAAUUCAAAAAUAUAACCAGCACCUAAAGCAUUCUUUUCAUGAUCUAUAAGCAUAGAAAAUUUUCUAUUCUCCACAUAAGCAAAAAUUUUCUCAUUUGGAAUAGUGGGACUAUCAUAAGAGACUUGAACACUAAAAAUUGUUUCCACAUUAAAAGAGUAAUGUUCAUAAAAAGGGUAAUCAUAAUCAUGACAAGUUUUAUAAAUAUAAUCAUCACUACUUCUUAUAGCAUAAGUUUCAUCACAAUAAUCAUCAUAAGUAGCAACUUCGUUCUCAUCAUAAUCGAUUGAAACCUCUCCCAAGAUAGUGGAAUCACUAAAUAAAGUUGAAACUCUUCCAAAUCCACUUUCGUUCCAUCACAAUAAAAUUCAACACCCUCCAAAAUAGUGGGAUCACUACUUCCUAAAGUUGACACUCUUCCAAACCCACUUUCAUCAAUAUAAUCAUCAUAGGUAAGAGGCAUGCUAUCAUCAUAACAACUUUGCAUAUCAAAACUUGGGAUGUAAUAUCAUCUUCAUUAAACAUAGCAUCCCCAAGCUUGGGACAAACAUUAAUUUCAGCAAAUAUAUUCUCAAAUAUUUCAUCCUCAUCAAACAUAGCUUCCCCAAGCUCGGGCCCUUUCAUAUCAUAAGCAUAAUCACUCUCAUCAUUAAAAAUAUGGAUAGCACCAAUACUAUAGCAAUUAUCAUCAUCACAAUGAGUAGUAGGAGCAACAUCAUUUGGGAGGGUUACCUUUCUACCUUUGUUGCUCCUUCUUUUCUUUUUCUUCUUCACAUUAUGUGUGGGUUCAACCUUCUUCUUUGAGCUCCUUAUGGAUGAGAUUGGUUGAAUAGAAAACUCCUCCUCGUUACCUGAUUAAACAUAAGAAAUAAUAGGAGGAUAUUGGGAAGUCUCUUCCCUUUCAUUAGUAUUCUCUUCAUCUUCUAAUUGCUUUCUUUUCUUUAGGUAAUUGGCAAUAUAAGGAUUUUCAAUGCAAUUCACCGCACAAUACAAAUAAAUCUGUUCUAGAUCAAAAUCAAGAAAUCUAUCAAGACUAACUUUUGGAAUAUCCUCAGUUAUAUGUUUCAUUUCUUCAUACCCCAAAAGAAGACUAAGAUCUUUAUGAUGCUCAAGGGUAAUCAAGCUAUCACAAUUUUUGGACACGAUUCGGUCAUGAAACAAUUUGCAUUGGAGAUUUAAAUGACCACGUUCAUUGCAAAGUUCACAAGGAGCACGAAAAAUAUUGAAUUUUUCAGCACAAACAUCAAGACUUUCUUGCAACCCUUUAGUUUCUGAAUAUUUAUGCCUCUUGCAGUAUCUAUUUUCCCUAUUUGGUGUAUACUUGCAAACCCAAUCUACUCCACAAAAAUCAACAUGCUUAUAAGAGACAUUUUCAUCAUAACUAGUGCAAUCAUCAUUAGCACUAUGGAUAUUCAAAGAGUUCAUACUAACAACAUUGCAAUCAUGCUCAUCAUUCAAAGAUUUAGUAUCAAACAUUCUAUAGAUUUCUUCUUCUAGCACUUGAGCACAAUUUUCCUUUUCAUCAUACUCACGAAAUAUAUUAAAAAGACGAAGCGUAUGAGACAAACCCAACUUCAUUUUUUUGUAGUUUUCUUUUAUAAACUAAACUAGUGAUAAAACAAGAAACAAAAAUAUUCGAUUGCAAGAUCUAAAGAUAUACCUUCAAGCACUCACCUCCCCGGCAACGGCACCAGAAAAGAGCUUGAUGUCUACAACACAACCUUCUUCUUGUAGACGUUGUUGGGCCUACAAGUGCACAGGUUUGUAGGACAGUAGCAAAUUUCCCUCAAGUGGAUGACCUAAGGUUUAUCAAUCCGUGGGAGGCGUAGGAUGAAGAUGGUCUCUCUCAAACAACCCUGCAACCAAAUAACAAAGAGUCUCUUGUGUCCCCAACACACCCAAUACAAUGGUAAAUUGUAUAGGUGCACUAGUUCGGCGAAGAGAUGGUGAUACAAGUGCAAUAUGGAUAGUAGAUAUGGGUAUUUGUAAUCUGAAAAUAUAAAAACAGCAAGGUAACUAAUGAUAAAAGUGAGCGUAAACGGUAUUGCAAUGCUAGGAAACAAGGCCUAGGGUUCAUACUUUCACUAGUGCAAGUUCUCUCAACAAUAAUAACAUAGAUAGAUCAUAUAACAAUCCCUCAACAUGCAACAAAGAGUCACUCCAAAGCCACUAAUAGCGGAGAACAAACAAAGAGAUUAUGGUAGGGUACGAAACCACCUCAAAGUUAUUCUUUCGGAUCAAUCUAUUCAAGAGUUCGUACUAGAAUAACACCUUAAGACACAAAUCAACCAAAACCCUAAUGUCACCUAGAUACUCCAUUGUCACCUCAAGUAUCCGUGGGCAUGAUUAUAUGAUAUGCAUCACACAAUCUCAGAUUUAUCUAUUCAACCAACACAAAGUACUUCAAAGAGUGCCCCAAAGUUUCUACCGAAGAGUCAAGACGAAAACGUGUGUCAACCCCUAUGCAUAGGUUCAUGGGCGGAACCCGCAAGUUGAUCACCAAAACAUACAUCAAGUGGCACAUGAUAUCCCAUUGUCAUCACAGAUAAUCACGGCAAGACAUACAUCAGGUGUUCUCAAAUCAUUAAAGUCUUAAUCCCAUAAGAUAACUUCAAGAGGAAAACUCAAUUCAUCACAAGAGAGUAGAGGGGGAGAAACAUCAUAAGAUCCAACUAUAAUAGCAAAGCUCGCGAUACAUCAAGAUCGUGCCAUAGAGAGAACAUGAGAGAGAGAGAUCAAACACAUAGCUACUGGUACAUACCCUCAGCCCCGAGGGUGAACUACUCCCUCCUCGUCAUGAAGAGCGCCGGGAUGAUGAAGAUAGCCACCGGUGAUGGGCUCCCCGUCCGGCAGGGUGCCGGAACGGGCGCCCGAGAGGUUUUUGGUGGCUACAGAGGCUUGCGGCGGCGGAACUCCCGAUCUUUCUUGAUAUUGAUGUUUUUAGGGUAUGUAGGCUUAUAUAGGCGAAAGAAGUCGGUUGGGGGAGCCUCGAGGGGCCCACGAGAGGGUAGGGCGCGCCCAGGGGGUGGGCGCGCCCCCUAUCUCGUGGCUUCCUUGAUGCUCCCUUUACUUCAACUCCAAGUCUCCUGGGUCAUAAUCUUCCCAAAAAUCACGCUGCCGAAGGUUUCAUUCCGUUUGGACUCUGUUUGAUAUUCCUUUUUUUCGAAAUACUAAAACAGACAAUAAAAUAGCAAUAUGGGCUGGGCCUCCGGUUAGUAGGUUAGUCCCAAAAAUAAUAUAAAAGUGUAUAAUAAAGUCCGUAAUCAUUCAAAACAGAUAAUGAAAUAGUAUGAAUGCUUCAUAAAUUAUAGAUACGUUGGAGAUGUAUCAAGCAUCCACGCGAGCCCCCUUGCCGUCGCCCCCAAUCACCGAGAUCAACCGCCCACGGCCCGACCUCGCGCCAAUGGCCAGUCCCAAGCCAGACCUCUUGCGCUGUUUGCACAAGCUGGCCGAGGCUGCUCGCGCUCGUGGAAUCCGUGUGUGCAUCCGCGUGCCCGCACGCCCGAACUCACGCCCAACGGCCCAAGGCUGCUCCCAGAUGGGAGCUCGCGCGCCGGCGACGCCGCCUGCAUGAGCUGGCCGUGGCCGCUCACGCCCGUGGCAUCUAUGCAUGCUGCCGCGCCCGCACGCCUACGACCUCUCCUAGAAGGAGCUCGUGCGUUCGCCCACGGCCACUCCGGCAGGAGCUCAUGCGCCCGUCUGCCCACGACCGCUCCUAGCCGAAACUCGCGCGCCCACGACACCGCCUGCACGGGCUGACCACGAGCUGGCCGAGGAUGCUCGCGCUGCAUCGUGGCUGCCGCGCUCUGGCUGUCAUGCUCGCACUGGCUGCCGCGCUCGCGUGUUCACACAGUCGUGCAUGUGCCGCCAUAGCCGCGUGUGGGCGUGCUGACGGGCCGCUAGCUUGUGUGCUAGCCGCAGCCGAACACUUGCUGGCGUGCUUGCCGUGGCGUGGUAGCUAGACGCCGGUGCUGCUGCUAUGCAUGCGUGCUUGCUCUGGCCAGGGAACGGGUGCUGCCGCUGCAUGCGUGCUCUGUCCGGGCAGCAUGUUUGGCCAGGCAGCCGUGUGCGUGCAGCGCGUGUUCAUGCAAGCGUGCUUCAGCCGGCUGGCGACGACGCAUCCCAUGUGUUUGGUAAAAUGUCUAAAACUAUGAGAGGUUGAAAACAGGGGUCGUGAUUAUUUUGCAGUAAAAAUUAAAGGAUUGCGUGAACGCGCCCGGACGAUGACUCGGUGCGUGCGCGAGCGUUUGGGGUUCCAAAUUAGAUGAUACUUGUUGCAGAUGCUCUUAGGCCGCGGCUAUCUCGCAAUGUCCCGCAACGAAUGUCAGCGGCGAGGAUGUGCGCCGCCUUACCUUGCGCCUCCAACCCAUCCCUCAGACCCAAGGUCCCGAAGCCACCAUGGCUGAUGGCCUCAAGUCCUAGAUCCAAUGGGUUUCCAAUGACUUGGGCUCCAUCUGUGGUUGUCUGAGAGGAUGCGUGCGCCUGUUGUGUAGUCAAUGUGGAUUGCCUUGGCAUCUCUGCUAGAUCUCUGCCUUCUUGCCGCCCCAGAUGGAUCAGGCGUGGGUGUUGCGUAACACAGAUUGGUCUUCCUUGCUCUAGAUCCGAGGACAUGCCAUCCCCUUGGCCAACGGGUCUGGGCAGGGCUAUCUCCGGCUAUAUCACAAUCUGUGGUGAUGUUCUUCAUACACCGUGUUUGUGCAUGUUGUCACCACUUCGGCCUGCGUGGGAUGGGGGAUGGGGUCGUUGGGAUAGUAGUGCCAUCAAAAGGUCUUCUCGAGGGUUUCUCUCUCGAGAACAUGUGGUUGCCUCAGCGUUAGAUGUGAUCUAUGGACGAUGACUUGACACAGAGCUAAUGGUUGUGCAACGGCGAUCAGUUUUCUAGCCCAACUCAUGCACGUGCUAGGUUUAAGGAAAAGUGAUGGUGACGUCACAUGAUUGGCUUUGAUGGUGGUGCUUCUUGAGUGCCUGGUCUCAAGCUUCGAGGUGAAAAUCUAGGUCUAGCCCGAAUUGGUUAUACUUGGUAAUGGCGAUAUUUUUGUGUCGUUACCUUGUUGAAAGCAUUGCUCGGAUAUGCUCGAAUUAGUUUUUAGGGAGAAACCUAGAUUCUGCCUUUUGGUGGUUGGAUCUAGGGACGGUGGCUCUUGAGCAUCGCUCCCUUUCUGAAGACAUUGUUGCUGAAGAACCUCAUUGUCCUUGUGCUGUCAUUGCCCUGGUGCGAAUAUGGUCAUUAUUUUAGUUUGUCAAUCGCGGAUUUGAUCGCUCUGGGUGCAAGUGAAAUUGAGGUUUAUCUUUGCUUAUCACCCACAACCACAUGGCGAGGACAGAGAUGCCAUUUCUAGUCUUGAAACUCUCAUCGAAACAUCGAGAAAUUAUGCAUAUAGAAAACUCUAAAGAAAGAAAGAAAAAGGAGAAUCGUGCCAUGGCAAAACCAGGUGUGCCCCCCGAAGGUAGAAAGCUAUCAUUUUUGUGACUUCAUAAAACACAGCCUCGUUAUUUGCAGAUAAAAUGCCGUACAUUUGGCUUACUGAAUUGGUAAUCAAUCGAGCAAUUCGUUAAACGAUAUAUGUAUUAUGAGUACCUCGAGAAAAUACUUUUCUUGUAAUGUUUUUCCUUUGCUGUUUUUUCUUGGAUCUCUUGUUGAUGAUUCAAAGUACUUGGACCUUUUUUCCUUUUUCCUCUACGUGUAUUUUACAUACCAUAGGUUGAAGGGAAUCACUCUUGGCAACUCCUAGAAUGCCCGUAAUAAUGUAGCUUCCGCAAUAUAAGUUGGUACUACGGUGAGACGUGAAAACACCCGAUCCCAUUCCGAUCUCGAUACAUAUGUGGUGGGCGGACAUAGAAAUUCGAUUUCCAAUAGAGUUGCAAAGGCUACUCGCCUGGGGUCCUGAAUUUCUGGUGGGAGAAUGAUAAGAAAGGAGGAGCGGCUUCAUUUGGUGAUGCUUUUCUUGUUUCUCUGGAUUUAUUAGGCAUAUGCGGCGGGCUAGCAAUCUCUUGAUACUAUGCCUAGCCGCAAAAGGAUUGUAUUAAAGAAAACUAGAAAGCUCAAUUUUCCUCAAGGUCAUAAAGAUAAGUCAUCUAGCGUGGACUUCUGACUCUAAGUGGAAAGUCUUUCUCAUGUGCCUCUUCCAUCCAAAACCGUUUUUCGUGUUUUCGUUUUCCUCGCUUAGGCGUAGUUUUGGUUUUAUAUGACUUUGCUAUUUGCCGGUAUUUCUUAUGUGUGUAUUAGUGUUGAAUGUGUGCAUCCUAUUCGUAAAAACGCCAUGAUGUGUGAUCAUCGUGUUUGUCUCCACUUUAUGCUUCAUCUUGAGUAACUAAAAAUCACCAUUUGUAGAAAAGGAGAUACAAACGGGGUUGUCUAAAGUGCGCGCGUCCGAGCUCUUAGUUUCAGACGGUCCAAUUAAGAAACUGGGGAUGAGAGGGGAUUGGGCAGUAGGGCCCACUCUAAAACUCAAGGGGUGCUGCAAGCACUAUCGCGUCGUCGCCUACGCGCAUUCCGGCCCAUAAUGUUUGCCAAGCGAGCAAUCGAGAAGCAUAAAAAAAGGAGCAACCAACUGUCAUGUAUCCCUUGCGGGAGCCGUGGCGGACACCGUUGUGAGCGCCCUAGUGUCACCACGUUUCGCAUGCAGUGCGUCAUAUUGUUUCCUUUUUUUGCUUAUGUUGUGUUUUUUAAAUUCAUGAGUAUUUGUUGAACUUGUGAAUAUUUUUAAAGUUUUCAAAUAUUUUUGAUAUUUGUCAAUAAUUUUUAAAUUCUUGAAUAUUUUUUAUUUUUAUGAUUUUUUUAGUUCCAUGAACAUUUUUGAAUUCAUGAACAUAUUUUGAGUUUCCUGAUUGUUUGAAUGCACGAACAGUUUUUGAAUUUCAUUGACAUUUUUGAACUCUCAAAUAAAAAAAUUUAUAUCAACAAAUAUUUAAAUUGUUUUUGAAAAAAGCAAACAUUUUUAGAUUUGCAAAUAUUUUUGGAAUCCGCAAACUGUUUUUGAAUGCGUGAUUUUUUUAAUUUCACAAGUAUUUUUAGAAUUCCUGGACAUUUUUUGUAUUUGUGGAUAUUCAUUGAAUUGGUGAAUGUUUUUCUAAUUUGUUUGAACUCCUUUUUUCUGUGUUACGGGUGAACAUAUUUUGAAUACAUGAUUUCUGUCUUCAUGAUUUUUUUUCAAAUUUAAAAUAAAACUGACGUGCGCUUUGUCUCUAGCUCAGCUUUCGCGACCUAGGCCAUGCCCAUGUUGCGCGAUGCAAGCAACGCGAGCGAAGGCGCACCUAUAGGGCGCCCUAUAGGCGCGCCCCUAUUUCUCGCUUUAAGCGAGCAAGGGGUAUAGCUCUCACGUCGGAAAAUAUUCUACACACAAACACACAUACUCUCUCCGUUCUGAAUUACUUGUCGCGGGUAUGGAUGUAUCUAGAUGUAUUUUUGUUAUAGAUACAACCAUUUCCGCGACGAGUAAUUUGGAACGGAGGGAGUAUAUAAAUAUAUUAUAAAUAAACACUUUUUAAAACACAUUUGGAAAAAUGUUGAACAAGUCGCAGGAAAAAUGUUGAAUAAGUAUUAAAAGAAUGUUGAACAAGAAUGUGAAAAACGUUAAACAGGUAUUUGAAAAAGCUCAAUAAGUACUAAAAAUGUUGAACAAGUGUUUUAAAAAUGGUGAAUAAUUAUUAUAAAAUGGUGAACAGGUGUAGGAAAAAUGUUGAACGGGUAUUUAAAAAUAUUGAAUAAGUACUAAAAAUGUUGACCAAGUAUUUGAAACUGUUGAAAUAAAUAUUAAAAAAUGUUGAAGAAAUAUUAAAAAAAUGUUGAAUAAGUAUUAAAAUGUUGAACGAGUAUUUAAAAAAUGUUGAAAAAGCGUUCGGACAAUGUUGAACGUGUGUACAAAAAAUGUUGAUCACUUAUUAAAAGACAUUUUUGACAUAUACAAAAAAGUAGUUUGAAAGCGAAAUCAAACAUAAGGAAAAAAAUGAAGAAGAAGAAAGAAACCAAACAAAUAAUGGAUAAGCAAAAGAUAAAACCAAAAAAAAUGGAGAAAACCAAAACGAAGAAGUCCUAUCAAAAUAAAAAUGAAAAAACAGAAAAAAAAAAAC
Molecule: long non-coding RNA, 91280 nt
Filed under: Triticum aestivum (bread wheat)
Lineage: Eukaryota; Viridiplantae; Streptophyta; Magnoliopsida; Poales; Poaceae
Description: long non-coding RNA (TAES_LNC016040)
Rfam family: MIR1120/MIR1122 microRNA precursor family (bases 90557-90671)
Source: RNAcentral